UUUUUUUUUUUUUUUUCUUUUGGUGGAAAAAUAUCUCAAAACUUAAAUGAUAUUAAUAACGGACGCAAAAGGCGAUUAAUCCUCGUAUCAGCCAUAUGCUGAAUGGCCCCUUCCUCGUUUCAACCUUCACUUCUUCUCAAAACUUCGGUCGUGGCGUGACUCUAACAGAGAUUGGUGAAGAAAGAAAAGAAGAAAGCGGACAACCUAAAGAUUUGAGUGGGAUCACAAGAGGUAGCAAAGUCCAUGGCCUCGAGAAGCGAAUCGAAAAAGACAGAAGACUUACUGAUGAUGCAUCGAAAGUGGGGUGCUGGGUUGAAACAAGAUAGAAUCUGGAUAUUAUUGUCAUUCUUGGAUUGGCCAACUAUAAUCGCAGCAUGGUUGUUGAUUAUUUUGUUGCUAGCGUUUCUGAAUUUUUUUUUAUUAUUAUUUUGUGUGUGUGUGUGCGCGUUCGUGAAUUUGGAAGCGUUAAUGCACCAGAAUUAGAGGAAGCACGUGCCAUCCUACCCAGCAAAUUGCCCCGUCGUUUUCAGUUUUCAAGCUCUUGUCCUUUAAUGAUAAAAAGAAGAAAAAAGGUGAGAUUGGAUUCUACAGAUUCCCACAGCUACUAACAUCCGACAAAACCAUGAGAUUAUACAUCGUUAUCUUUUUAUCCCCAAUCUUAUUCCGAGAUGCCUUGACGGGCACGGGCCUUCGAAAGUUAGGUGAAUCCUUUAAUUGCCCUACGCUGUUUCUUCGAUUAGAUAUUCCACCUAAAACAAGAACCAUGGUAUAGCUCCCACAGUCUUUACACCUAAAUCAAAACCUCGGAUCCCUGGAUAGAAAACCAAUGAAUGCCACCACACACACACACACGCAGAGGGACAUUAACGAAUGUGGAAUUGAUUUACCUGAGCAAAGUUGGCAAGGACCAGAAGUGGGAAGGUGGCCAGGAUAAGCAGUGAGACCCUCCAUUCCACUAUGAAGGCAACCAUAAACGACGUGAGCAGUGACGUCAUAUUCUGCAGGAUCACCGAAAUCCUCUCAGCAAUGGCGGAUUUUACAUCUGCUGCAUCGGUGGCUAAGCGGGCUGCCAAUAGGUUUGAAUUAUGUUCCUCCUCAUCGAACCAUCCAACUUCAUUCCUCAAGAUUGCUGACGUGUUUUGAGAGAGAAUUAAUGAGUAAAAUGAUAUUCAAGGCCUCCGUGAGAGAUGAAAUCAAUACAUUAACGUUUCUUAAACAGGUUAUAUACAAGACUCGGUCGUAUUAGGAAUGAUUUCAUAAUUUACCUGCAAGCAUCAUCCUCCGCACUCUUGUAGUGAGGUUCUCCCCCAUGAUACUGAAGAAGUAAUGCUGUAUCAAAUAUGCAACAACAGCAUAAAGACCAGCUCCAAUGUAAAUGAAAACAUACUCCUUCGUUUUCCUUUCCAUGCUAGCAGGAUUUCUGUAGUAGAAAACCUCAAUCAUAUUGCCCAUCACAAUGGCAAAUGUUGGACCAAUGAAUCCUGACAGAAUGGAUCCUACAGCCCCCAUUAUUGAAUAAGGCCAUUCAGGAGCAUUCAGCUUAAGAAGCCUGCAGAAGUACCCGUGUGGUGCUGGAUUUUUCCUAUCUGUUUCAGCAUUUGAUACCAUCUCUAUUCGACCGUCAGCCCCAGUGCUGUACUGAUAGCUCAAAUUCCUCAAACUGCCAGAGCGGAGGCUUAACGACUUUGUUGACAACGAGUGGCUUAACCUGGUGGAGCGAGACCGACGGGUUGAUGGAUUCGAAAAGUCUCUGUUGCCCACCAUUUCCUGGAACCUAAUUAAUGAACCAUAUGCCCCAGCUUUGGCAACUAGUUCUUCAUGUGUUCCAGUUUCUACAACCUGGCCUUGCUGUAUAACUGCAAUAGAAUCAACAUUUCUUAUGGUGGAGAGGCGAUGGGCAACGACAACAGUCGUCCUUCCAACCAUGAGACGGUCCAAAGCUUCCUGAACAAUGCUCUCUGAACCCGCGUCCAGGGCACUUGUUGCUUCAUCAAGCAGCAGGAUCUUGGGGUUCUUCAACAUAGCUCUGGCAAUUGCUAUUCUCUGCUUUUGACCACCAGAAAGUUGGAUGCCACGCUCUCCCACCUACAUUUUAAGGAUACUUUCACAAACUAAAAAUUAAAGAAUAAUGAACUUAAAUUUGUUGAACAUGAGGCAAUUUUCAUAUGGCUGAUUUUCUUCUUCUAUUUCUUUUGUGCUUUUAGCACAAGUUGAAAUAGGUUUAUCAACGCUGGUUGAUGAAUCAUAUUUGUAUGUUUAUCAAAUACCAGGAGAAUUUGGAUAGAGUUGUAUGUGACUUUCAACCUGAGUGUUGUACCCAUUAGGAAGCAAGGUAAUAAAGCUAUGAGCAUUUGCAGCAGUUGCAGCAGCCUCCACCUCAGCCAUUGUUGCUUCAGGCUUUCCAUAGAGAAUGUUUUCAAGUAUGGUGGUAGCAAAGAGUGCAGGUUCUUGGUUCACCAAACCAAUUUGAUCCCGCAACCAUCUCAAUUGCAGCGUCUUUAUAUCCACAUUGUCCAGCAAAAUUUGUCCUGCCAGAUGACCAAUGAACUAAGUACAACUGCAUUUUAAAAUAGCACGAUUGGUCAAAACCUUGCAUGACAUAAUCUAUUGAUUACCCUGAUUAGGAUCGUAGAACCUUUCUAUCAGGGAGACUACAGUGCUCUUUCCUGAACCACUACCACCGACAACAGCCACCGUCUUUCCAGCAGGGAAGAAAAUAGAGAAAUCUCUGAAAAUCAUGACAUCAGGUCUUGAUGGAUAGCUAAAGGUUACAUUUUUGAAUUCAAUAUUCCCGUUGACCUCAGCCAAGCACUUCCCAUCAGAAGGAUCUUGCAAUAUUGUUGGUUUUUGUUUCAUAAUCUCCAUUAAUUUGUAUCCAGCUGCUUUACCUUUGCUGAAUGCCCCUAGGUUGGAAAACGACUGACCCAAACUCCUGAAAAUUUAAUUAAGCAUUUGGUUAUUGAUGAUUUUACUCGAUUAUACUAAUUCCAGGUAUUAGACAUUUUAAUUUAAGAUCUUACAUUCCCCCAACAAUAGCAGAAAAAAUAGCAGUGAAUGCCUUUCCCCCAUCAGUCUGUCCAUUCCUGAUAAAAACACCAGCAUACCAAAACACCAGGGCCCAUGACAUGCAUGCUAUUCCAUAGGUGCAUCCCAAUCCAAGGCCUUUGGCCAUUCCUGCCUUGUACCCGAGUUUCAAAGUAUUCUGUAUUGCAUCUGAAUAAGAAUUGAGAGCCUUACUCUCGCCAACAUAUGAGUAAACCGUCCUAACUUGUGCAAUGGCCUACGCAAAUGGCGAAUCAGUUAGAAGAUACUAGCAUAAAGCAACUAUAGUCAUGUAUGUGACCAAUCCAACUAAUUCACCCGUCAAGUAUAUGGUAAAAGUAUUUAAAAAGUGAAACUAAGCUUUUUCAUUAAAUGCUAAAAAGCAAAACCAGCAAAAAGGGGCAUUGAUUAUUAAGAUAGUUGUCAAAUUUAGUCAUUUAUACUGCUUGACGUUAGCUAAACUGAGCUGGGUUAAAAUGAAUAAAUUACAGAAGCUAAGUACGUCACGCUCAGUGUAGAUAAAGCUUUAAAGGUAAAAGCCAAUUGCCAACUAAGGGAAAAAGCUAUAAUUAUUAAAUUAAGGAAAGGUCAACAAACUUUUUGAUAGCAGCACAUGUAAGAUCAUUAUUCCUCUACAACAGUGAUUUAACUACUAUUAUGGCUAAAGAUAAGAUGAGGGACCAAUACAAAAACCAAACUAUCAAAGGGAGCAUAAAGAAAAAUGUACAAAAUUAAUUCAGAAGGAGGCAGGAGAUAAUUAAAUCCUACAAGAUGUUCAGAGGCCAAAGGCGGGAAGCUGGCUCACCUGUUCUGCAAUUAUACCGGCAUUGGCAUAAGAUUCGCGACUCUUGGAUGUUAGACCUGUGAGCGUGUAUGCAUACAAACCCCCAGCAAAAGCAAUUCCGGGGAUCACAGCCACACUCAGCAGAGCUAGCCUCCAUGCUGACACAAAACCAACCACCAAACCAGCCAAAAAUGUGGAAAGAUAAUGGAUGAAAUUUCCCACCUGAAAAAUCCCAAAUGCAGAAACAUAAUUACAGAAAUCAAGACCGUCUCUUUCGACACGACAAUUGAUAGCACAAUCAUUAAAGCGAAUUUCGAAUUAUAGCCAUGCAUAAAUAUUUUAUGUUACAUAAACAGGAACAUGGAUGAUGAUUAUUGGGCAUGCUCGCUGUUCUUAAUGGCUUUCAACUCCCCCUGAGUGGAUGCCGAAGAUGAAGGGAGCAGCAUCGAGGAGAGGCGCUACCAUGCGCCAGCAAAAGGUAAGAAUGAAAUUAAUUUCUGGGAAGGGUCCCGCAUUAAUUGAGAACCAACAACCCAUCGAUCACACCAUCCAUGUAUCCCUCUUUAAUGCGAGUGCAACACAUGAGUGCAAUACUAGAUUACACCGUUACUAAAAGACAGAGGGAGAAGAAAUAAAUGAGAAAAGAGAGAAAUUGAUAAUAAUAAUUAAAAAAAAAAAAAAGAACCUUCUCACUGAUGGCAUCUUGGACAAGAAGGGUAUCCGUUGAGACGCUGAAAACAAUAUCUCCAGUCCUAGCAUCUGUAUCGAAAAAUCCAACGUCCUGUUUCAACACCGCCUCCAAAUACUUCCUCCUUAAUGCUCCAGCUUGCCUCUCCCCACUAUGCAUCCAGCAAGCAAUCUCUGUUUAAUGCAUAAGUAUUUUUCACCACGCCAUUAGAAUUUGGCCAUCAAGCUAAUUAAUUAGUAUUUACUACUACCGCUACUGAGCUUAGCUUAAUCACCAGCUAAAAUAGAAUUAGACGUAUACUGCUAAUCAGUAACUCGAAUUCGUGAAGAUGGCCGUACUAAGUUCCUUUUUUGACGAUUGUUUUGUCCAUAUACUGCAGCCCCCCGGAAAACCAAGAUUGAGAAUUUUGAUGUAUCGCGCAGUGAAAGAGAUGUGAGAGAUAGUGGGAUAAUACUAUAAAAAUAGAGUGACAUUGAGGAAAUGGACAAAUGAGAGGGGAAAAAGACAGGGGACCGUCCACGGGCCACGUGCAAACCCAACUCCACGUUGAUCCAAAAUGACCUGGCUGGCUGGCUCACUACUAGUUGUACUCUACUCACUUAUUUUUAUGCUGCUACUGCCCAAAAUACCACCCCACGGCCACGACUACGAUUACGCGAAACUCAAAAAACUUUUUGCAUCUGCAAAUGUGCUUGUAGAAUUGUUGUACAGCAAUAAUUUUUUUUUUCCUUUUUGUUUCAAGAAAAUUAUUAGUAAUUUCAACAAAGAGAAGAAAAGGCAUGAGAAUUUGGAAAAAAAGGACUAGUAUGAAGCAGCUUUACCGGCGUAGGAUGAAAAGCACACAAUCAAUCCAAGGUAGAUGAAGUAGAGAGCGUACUGCAACGUUCAAAAACCAAGCGAUUUAGAUCUCAUAAUAGUAGUAGUAGUAGUAGUAUUAAGCAACAUCCCCCAAAACAAAAAAUAAUAAUAAUUUAAAAAAGAAAGAACUUGUAGGAGUGGGAGGAGAUUGGGGAACCUUGGCGACUUCAUGGAUCAUUUUAUGUAAAUCAGUUUGGUUUUUGCCGAAACCAUUGACCAUCUCGCCGAACAACAGGAAGAAAACCGGCAUGGAGGAGCCGUGUACAACGGCUCCGAGGCUCCCAGUGAUCAUCAAAAGCCAAUCAUACUUGUCUGCGAAGGAGAACAGCUGAUAGAAUGGUAGACUCUGCUCCUUCUUCUUCUCCGCCUCAGGCAUUGCCGCUAUCGCUUCACUAUUCUCAGCCAUUGCUUGUACAGAAACCAAAAGAACACCCCUCUAAAAGUCUUGAGAAGUUUUAAAGCUCUCAACAACCCACCACUCAGUGAGUGAGUCAGUCAGUCAGUCACCAGUUGAGAAGGAAGAAUCGUCUAUACCAGCUGCUGGGAGGUAAAUGGGUGGUGAUCAUGGUGAGACUGGUUUACCACCAUGUUAAGAAAUCAAAAGAAGAAGAAGAAGAAGAAGUACAGUGCAAUGGAUGAAGAAACGUGACUCAGAGAUCUGAAAGAGGGAGAGAAGAGGAGAUGGCUUUGUUUGUAUCGUACUAUAGUAGAGGGAUUUUUUUUUUCCCCUUUUAAUUUUCUUCAAUGCAGAGAGCCAGGAAGAACUGACAAGCUGUCGGUCACGUAUUCUUUCAAGAGGUGAUAGAUAGAAUGAGCGAGCGAGUAUUAACUAAGCAGCCGCACCAGACCGACCAAGGGAUAGAGAAAUAAAGCUUGGGUUCGCCGGAAAGAGGAAGUGAUGGCCACCUGAGUCCUGAGCGGGGAGGGGCUGGAAGUAGAAUUUAGUAAGACUAGCAGUCAAAGGAGGAAGUGGUAUUGGUGGUGGGUAUAGGGAAGAUGGGGAAAUGGUGGAGGCACACGAGAGACUUGGGGGUCGCGCUUUACAACUUUACUUAUAGUCAUUGAGGAGGAGACUGCAGUAAAGAGACGCUUAACCGGGGGUUAAAAUUUUGCGUUUGGUCCCGGUUUUUUUUUCUUUGGGGUCAGGGUUGGUUAACUCGAAUCUGACCCUUCAUUUUUUAUUUUUUAUUUUUUAAAAUCUCUACUUCCGCUGCUUUGAGCACUGUGCUCUCUGCCAAACUCUGUACCACUCUAUGCAGUACCCAAUUUAUUUAUUUAUUUUUCAUGUUUAUUGUUCUUGCCCAGUUGGAAAUUGGAAUUCAACGAGGAGUAGAAAGUUGAAUUCGCAACUGCUGUACAUAUUAUCUUCAUCCCUUUUUAUUUUAAGGAACUGUACAUAUUAUCACUAUCAGUAAUUAUAGAUGUUUUCUAUAUUGAAGUACUAUUAUAUUUGAGUUUGUUUUAACUUAAAACAUGUUUGAUAAUUCAGUUCAUCACUUAAAUUUAAUGGAUUCAGAUCUUAACAUAGUUAGACUAUUUAAUAACUAAAAAUUGAAUAUCUGAAUUAAUUAAGUGACACUGAAUUUUCUAAACAAAACUUAUUCCCAAAAUUAAGUAAUAAACUAUUCACUUAUCAUUGAAUGUGGUAUGCACUCAAAAUGUAUUAUAUUUAAUAUUUAACAAUUUAAUAACUUAAUGAAUUCAAAUUUCAAAUUUCAGAUUUCAAAUUUCAUUUUUAUGAAACGCACCCUUAGUGUUCAUUCCAUUAUUCAUGUGUCAUUAAUCGUUAUUUGAUACUAAUACUAUUGUUAUUCAUACCCUGGAUAUGUUGAUUUCACCAUAAAACUACUGUACAUUGAUUGCAAUCACAUUAAAAAAUUAAUCAUAUUAGAAAAUUGUACUAAUUAUUCCAUUUAAAUGCAUAUUAUUAUCUUAGAUAGUGUCCAAUAUUGUGCUCCCUUUCCAAGUUCCAGAUUAAUGGUUUAGAAUAAUGCGGUUGACCUCUAAAGGAAAUGCAAAUAAGUUAGAUCAUAACAAAAUAACUUACUUACAAAGUGAGAUUUUACAGUGCAACAUACUAGUGAUGAGGGAGGCCAAUAUUGAGAUUUUUUUUUGUCGUCUCUUUUACAAAGUUAAGAAUUGAUACUAAAUUUCUUCUCUAAAUAAAAUAAAUUGUGAAGAUAUUGAUGGUAUUUCUGGGGAAUUUAAAAAAAAAUCUAUUGAUAUCGACACCAGAGCUAAAAAGAAAAGGUCAUGUAUGAGAAAAUUGGUAAUUAUCUGUUAGGUACAAGCGAUACGAUAAGUGCUUUCAAAGGGAGAAAAAACAAAAGAAAUGUUAAUUUUUUUUUCCCUUGAAGCUAAAUAGAAAUGUUACUUUGGUACAAUUAAGACCAAGGCCCAAAGUUUCCCAAAAAAAAUUUUAAGAGCAAGGCCCGUAUUUUCAUUACAAUUUAUCGCCCCGAUGAUACUUCCGGGACAUUCAGAUUCAAUAAAAGUGGAACCGCACAAUGAUCAUUGUGAAACCCUUCUCUCUCUCUUUUUUUCCUUAAUUUAUUGAGUAAGUUAUCACGGCCUUCUUCUGCUGUAAAAUUGUUUUAAAUGCUUUUAAAUGAUAGGGGAUUUUAUGACCCUUGAAUAAACUAUAAGGAGAUUUUCUAUAAUUUACACCAGAAGAAAACUAACAAGUGAGUCCAAGACCCCUGCCUUUUUUUCCCAAAACAAAAAAGGGGCUUCCCCCUCCAAGACCAGGGGUGUGUGAACUGGGCUAAAGCAAACAGCUGGACUUUGAUGGUAAAUUUUCUUUUUUUUUUUGGGAAAACAUUCUCAAAACAAUCAAGAAAUACUCGUUUGACAGCAAAAUGUACAAGUGGUUUUCUUCGUUUAAUUAAAUUUUUUUUAAUGAAAACUCAAAAGCAUUCUCUAUUUAUUUAAUUAAAUAUUUACUAAGCCAUACACUUUCAUGAUUAAACUUUUUUUUUUGUUUUAGGUUUUCGUGAUUAAACUUCUUCUCUGUUGUAAUGAUUGUCUUUUCAAAAUCCUCCUCAUAGUACCCAUAUUCGGAAAAGGUUAGAUUAUUUUCCAUUAUUGCUAGCUGUACUAUUACAUUGCUGUUUCGUUAUAGCUAUUAUUAGUGACUUGUCAAAUGAUGUGUAGUUUUAACUUUAAUAAAUUCGAUUUCAUUAUAAUAAAUAUACAAACUAACCUAAAAGCAAUAUAUUAUGAUCAUCCAAAAUACCCGAAAGAAUAUAAAACACACGCACACACAUAUAUAUUUAUGUAUAUUGUCCCUGUUGAAGACUUAAUUUUCUGAAAGGCCCCUUCAUUCAAAUUGAUUUCUACUUUUACCCCCCUGUCCACAUGAGUUAUUUGCAUUGGCCAAUUGUUCGUGCUCUUGUAGGGAUGAGGGGCAUCUAAACUACAAUUGCAAUUGUCGAAUGGAGCCCAUGCUUUGCGCUGGGUCUUUUUUCCCCCCUCUUUUUUUGCCUUAUAACGCAAUAGUAUUUUUGAGUUUUGUCCAGAAGUACAUGUCAGAUUGUUGUUGUUUCUACUUUCUACACCAUUGUGCAUGUAUGCAUUACCGGUGUUUAUGUGCACGUUACCAUUUUGGUUCUAACAUCACGCUCUGCAUUUAAGGUAGCUACACAUAGAUUGCUAUAUAUGUUUAGAAUUUAGAAGAGAUUGAGAUUUUUAUACAAUUGUAUGGUGCAAUUGAAAUUGGCAAUAAUGAAAGCUUCUAAACCUUUUAAAAGUAUCGUAAGAUGUUAAAUUCGGCUAAAGCAGCAAUCAAAUAAAGGGAGGCUCCUUUAAAGAUUUAUGCAUAUAUUUGGAAAUGUUUGGAUAGUAGAUUAUUUUUGGAUAUUUUUUUAUUAAAAAAAUAACGUAACAUUUUUUUAUACAUGUAUUACCAUUACAUGCGUCACCAAUGUAUCAGCACUUACUUAGGAUGUGGUAUGCCAUGUGAAUUCGACAUAUAAUUCAUCAAUUACAGCUAAAUUAUACUUAAGGUGCGUUUGAUAAAAUUGAAAUAUGAAUCCAUAAGUUAUUGAAUUGUUAAGUAUUAAAUCUAAUACAUUUGAGUGUAUAUUACAUUCCGUGAUAAAUGAAUAGCUUAUCACUGAAUUUUGAGAGUAAAUUUUGCAUAAAAAAUUCGUUGCCACUUAAUUAAUUCAGAUGUUCAAUUUUUGUUAUCAAACGAUUUGAAUAUGUUAAAAUCUAAAUCUAUUAAAUUUAAGUGCUGAACUAGGUUAUCAAACAGAACAUUAGUCAAAUAAAUACUUACAUAAAAUUAGACUAAAUUUGCCACGUUUGAGAUUUAAACUCAAGACCCGAUCAACAUAUAUAUAGAUAUGUAUAUUACUUUUUAAGGUAUGAAAACUAACUUUUAGGGAAAGAUAUUCGAAUCAAUGUGCUGAAUAACGGCAUUGCUUUGUCAUGCACAACGUUUUUCUUUAAACCUAUAGUUGAUGUGUACGUAUCAUUCACUUUUGUUAUUGAACUAUGAAUUGUUGCUCUGGUAGACGAACAAUGGACCCUCGUACGCAACGACGCGAGUCAAGAGGUAGAAAGUAUUUUGUUUUGUCUGCCCAAAUCCCAGCCGUAUUCUUAUCCCGCACCAAUGCUGAAUAUGAAAAAAAGGAGCCAAUCCUCCGCAAGCAACCUCCCGAAGUUAAUAAAUUUUGAGACACCGAAGAGAUAUCCCAUCUGUUUUAGAUUUGGAUGAUGCCAAACAAUCAAUCAACGGAGAAUAUUAUUAUUAGCCUGUUAAUUUCAUGCAGAGACGUGAAUCAAGAUAACACCAUUUGUUAUGUUUUGGGGCGGUGGGGGUGGUUGAGGUGGCUAAAUCAAGCAGGCAUUUUGGGCUCCUGUCCCUUCCAAUAUCCAUCCCAACUUCGAUACAUCUUUUUCAUCGCGAAAGAGAAAGAGAGAUGUGAGUGCCGAAUCUACCAUGUGCAUCCAAAACCCAUCUACUCAGGCUUGGUGACCUCUGCCUGGUGGUUCCACUCAAUUAAUUCUUCCCGCUUUAUCAUUUGGCUAUUUACAUUCUCAUGCUUUCAUUUCAUGUCUCCGACGAGGCUUAGCUACCAAUUAGUCUCACCUUCUAAAUACUACCAAACAAACGGGGGAAAAAAUCGCAACGGAUCUUCUGUUUCAUAUCCUGUGUCACUCUCUGUUCCACGUUUUAUUAUAUUACUAUUUCUCCUAUAUAAACAUCAUAUUUUAGUUUUUUUUUGUUUUCUUAAGAUUCAAUAACUAUUAAUUGAAUAAAAAAUAAAUACAGCAGCUUAAAAAAAGCAAUAUAUAAUAGAAAAUUAAAAAAUACAGUAGAACAUUCUUAAAAAAUCUCAUUUUUUAUGCAUUUUGAUUUUUUGAGUUUGUUAAAUUUUGUGUAUAACUCAAUUAAUAGUUAUUGAAUCUUAAGGAAAAAAAAAAACUAAAACAUGAUGUUUAUGUAGAAAAAAUAGCAAUAUAAUAAAAAGUGGGACAGAGAGUGGCACAGGGUGUGGGAUAGAAGAUCUGUUGCGGAAAAAAAUCCCCUUUUUUUUUUUCCCUGGGUACAAAUAAACAGAGAGAGUUUUCUCCUCCAUAAUUGUCAGGCAGAAAUGUUGGUCCAAAAGAAAUAGGCUUUCAUUCCAUGGAAGCAUUUUUUUGCUCAUGUGAUCCAUCACGAACUAGCAAAUUUGCCCGUGUGAUCCAUUUGUUUCCUUCAGUAAAAUCUCCUUUUUUUUUUUCCCUUCUGGAAUUUAUUCUGUUGAUCAUGAGUUAACGGAAUUCAUCCUGGGUGGGUUCUUCAUGAUUAUUCGCAAAUGAGAAGGAAAAUGGAAAUGUCAAAAGGUCGCACAACUAGGUAGGUUAAUACGAUUCCUUGCUCGUCUAAUGGAAGACCAUGCUCAUCGCGUCGAUCCCAAAUGCUAUGUCUAAAAGUUUUUCCUGUUCUUUGUUUCCUUGCAAGUAUUUAACGAAAAAUAAAUAAAUGCACGACAGACCCCAGCAUUAUAUCCUGGAAGAAAAAAAAAGAGGAAAGAAAAAAAAAAUGAAUAGAAGAGCUUUAUUGCUGUUCCAUUGCUUUUCCCCAGCCUAGCCCACCAAAGCUUUUCAUUUCGUAAAGAUGAAAAGAAAUUUCUCAAGAAAUGCAGCGUCGUGCUCCCAUCGUGCAUGUUGCCAUCCACAGCAGACCUUUGCUUUCGGCUUUCGCGAACCAGUUGAUCUGUGCAUAUAAAGGCUUCACCACCUUCCUCCCAAGUCCUACCUAAUCUUCUGAUCAAAAGUUACGAAUCAGAACUUGAUUACUAAAAUCAUGCAUACUCCUCUGCUCUAGCAGUAUAAUAAAUACUACUAAUAACUAGCUGCGGCUAGCCUUAUUAGCACGAUCAUGAGCAGCCAAACAACGUGGCUAUCUAGGUAUAGCUUGGGACUAGCAUCUCCCAGGAAAAUGUCAAGCGUCGUAGGAGGAAAUCCCAUGAUUCUUCCUCCUGACAAAUAGGUCAAGUGUCGUAGGAGGAAAUCCCAUGAUUCUUCCUAAACAUCGUCAGUUGACAGGGAAUUUAACGUUUUCUAGCCUGUUGUAAUUACGUUUUUCGGCAGCUGCAACAGUUUUAGUACAUUAUUAUUGGCAGACAAUGGUUAAACUAUCAAAUCAAAUGCUCGCGUCCUAGAAAGCGAUAUAUCCCUCCGUCCAGAUUCAACUGAUUAGAAGUCCUGAAAACAACGACGGAAAUGAAAAAAGUGAAAUCGCUGCCACUAAUGUUUACAAUCAGGAAAGUGAGAUUGAAUGAUCUUAAGUGGUGAGUGUCAGAUCAAACAGUUACUAAAUAGGAAAUACGCAUGGUCUGCUAAAGCGUUUGGCAAAAAGAAGCUCACAACUUAACUUACUAUGGUUUGGAAUCGGCCCUUAAAAAAUUGGGACUUCAGCAUCGAAAGGUGCUUUGGUCAAGAAAGUAUGGAAUGGGAACGAUAGAGGCCUGUUAUUUGUUUUUGAGCAAUGAGAUUUAUUAAUAAAAAUGAAGUGGCUUCGGUUGGGUUGUAGGCGCUUUUGGAGACAUUAGAUCCAUUUUCGCGAAUAAUUUAGGAAUGGUUUAAAUUUAGUUAACAGCAGGGACUGGUAGGCUACUAUGUAGGCAUGUGACAUGCCCCUGAAAAUUACGCUUCGUCCAUCUGCAAACAUGAUGCAUUUUUCUUUCUUUUCCAUCACUUUGUGCCGUCGCUUCUCCGUCCUCUAACCCAACCCGCCGCAAUGACGAUUUGAAGAAUAACCAUUGCGCUCUUUUUCUUUCUUUUUUCUUUUUACUGUUCCACGACCAUGAUCAAUGUCAUAGGAGCAGAUUGGUUCAAAAUUCCGCAAUCAUUUUAUUAUUAUGGGUAUGCUGCAUUGGGAAACAGCAAUAAAUUUGAAAAAAAAAAAAACAGCUUCACAACAAUGGACUUUUAAUAAUAAUAGAUAAAUGAAAACUUAUUCUUUAAUAUUUAAUUAUGAAACCCAUACAAGGAGUCUAUGAAACUGGCGGUUAACUGAUACAGGCUGACCUUAAACAAACAUUAUAUAUUGAUAUAAUUAAAAUUGAAACUUAUUUCCUAUCUUGAAAGUCACUCUUUUGUUUUUCAAUGUAAGUGAAAAGGUUCGAAAAUGAGUCUCUUACUUGCACUCUUUCCUUCUUUGAAAGUCACUUACCAUAAUGGCAAUUUAUUGUGAAGAAAAAUAGUACUAACAUAUAUAUUCCCCUUGGCCCCAACCAGAAAUAUAUAUGGUUCUCAAAUUGCUAAAAUUCUUUCCUUUGCUUUUAGUUUCUUAGGAAUGGGGAGGAAAGAGGGGGAACAUGUUUGGAUACUAAUUGUUUUAAAAUAUUAUUUUAUCUAUAUCAAAAAAUAUUUUUUUUAUCUUACGUAUAUAAAAUUAUAAAAAUAAAAAAUUUACAAUAAAUAUUUUAAAUAAUUUUCUAUCCCAACACGCUUAAAAUGCACCUGCGAUGAACCUUUUUUUUUAUUAUUAUUAUCGGUUUAAAUAGAAUUACGUAGAGGCCCAUCAAUGCGGCAGAGUGCAACUGUGCAUGAGGGAACCACAAGGCAAUGAAAAACACGAAAACUACUAAGAAAAGGUCUCGAAAACUAAAAGAGCAGCCAGCACCAAUGAAAGGCAAAAGUUGUAGCGGGAGGGCUGGACGAUGCGUGGAGCGGAAAAUGCUGGAGUAUUGGACCACCAACCAAACAAAAUAGUUUUAGUAUAUGGGGUUUCGAACUUUCCAGUCAACUUACAACAAUCUGCUUCUAUAAACAAUAAUAAAAGAGUAAUUAAAUUACUGGUAGCGUUGGUGUAUUUGGAUUUGCCAGCUUUGCUUCCAAACUCAUAUCAUCAAUUUGAUAGCACUUGGAUACGGAGAUCGCUUUUGUCUGCCUUAGUAUGAUAUGAUUGCUCACCCGCUGUAGACAUGAUUUAAAGGAAAAUAACACAAUAUAUAUAUAUAAGACCAACAAAUUAUAACUCAAAACUUUUCAGUAAUGUUAAUUCUAACACAUGUGACUAGACCUGCUAUCAUCAGCUGCAAUUCUAGAGGAAACUUGGACCAGAUCAGAAGUUGUAAAGGGCUGCAGUCCAUUCCUGCACUAUUCAGUUUACAGGUAGAUGGGUGGACCAUUAUAUGGAUCUGGUCCAGCGUGAAUGCAGUUGUAGUAAAGACAUGUUGGAUUUGUUAUGGAUCAAACUACUACUAGUAGGGAAAUGCUUCAAAGACUUCUCUUGUGAUUUUCUCCCAGCCGAAUGGUCCAAGUACACUAGCAAAAGAAGCACAAACGGUACCAAUGACUCGAGCGAGCUGAGAUUUUGGGCUUCAGAUUAGCACAAGACAAAAGGAUUUUUCACUUUUCUUCUGUAGGUGAUCCUGGACUCGCAGGUUGGCAUGCUCAAUUCAGGAGGUUUUGAGAUUGGAUAGGGUGUUGGUUAUGAAUGCACCGCAGGUUGGCAUGCUCAAUUCAGAGCCCUUCACAUGUAACCGUGUGUAGCCCAGGCCCAAAUGCCCCGGAAGUUUAAACUGAAAUCUCGGAAGAGCAGAUGGCAACGGUCGUAAUUCGUCAAGCAAUCCGAAACGUCGCCACACCCCCACGCCAGCUGGAAAAUCAGUUCAAAAUUCAAAAUCAUUUUGGAGCCGUUCAAACAAAAUUGUUUCAGUUUUGCCCCUCGCCUGCUGCCCUAAUCUUACCCCGCCAUUGGGGCUUGGAUUACUCGCUCCAGUCUAUAUAUAUAACUCCCUCCCGCAUUGCCUCACCACACGACCCCAAGUCCUCUCCUUCUUCUCCUUUCCCAGAUCUCGGAGGUCUCUCACUCUUCCGAUCCAGAGACGUCUUUGUAUACGCCUCUGGUAUCUCCAUUCCUCCUUUUUCCCUCUCUUCCAAAAAUCUCCUAUUCAUUUCUCAAAACAUCGCGAAAAUGAGAGAGUGCAUCUCCAUCCAUAUUGGUCAGGCCGGUAUCCAGGUCGGAAAUGCCUGCUGGGAGCUCUACUGCCUCGAGCACGGCAUCCAGGUAAAUUGCCUUCUAUCUAACCUCUUAUAUUUCAGAUCUGCUGUUUCUCUCAUUUUUGUUCAAGGAAAUGAUUCAUCUUUGGUUUGAUUUUGGGUGUUGUGGAAUAGCCUGAUGGACAAAUGCCGAGCGACCACACCGUCGGCGGCGGAGACGACGCUUUCAACACCUUCUUCAGCGAAACCGGAGCCGGCAAACACGUUCCUCGUGCCGUGUUCGUCGAUCUGGAGCCCACUGUCAUCGAUGAAGUCCGAACCGGCACCUACCGCCAACUCUUCCACCCUGAGCAACUCAUCUCCGGCAAAGAAGACGCCGCCAACAACUUCGCCCGUGGCCACUACACAAGUAUGUAACGUCAUAUCUAGUGCCAUAUAUGUCAAACACACGUAUCUCGUUUUAGUUUUAUCGUUUCAUUUCUGCAAUCUCUGGAUCUGUUUUGAGUUUUAGGCUCUUAUUUUAUUUUAGUUAUUAGACGAUUUUCGGGAUCUUAAUUGUUAGUUCGUAAAAUCACGAUGUAGUUGGGAAGGAGAUCGUUGAUCUGUGCCUGGAUAGGAUUAGGAAGCUUGCGGAUAACUGUACCGGGCUUCAGGGAUUCCUGGUCUUCCACGCCGUGGGUGGGGGUACCGGAUCCGGGUUGGGAUCUCUGUUGCUCGAGAGGCUUUCCGUUGAUUAUGGAAAGAAAUCCAAGCUUGGGUUCACCAUUUACCCAUCUCCCCAGGUCUCCACCGCUGUGGUUGAGCCUUACAACUCUGUUCUCUCUACUCACUCCCUUUUGGAGCACACCGAUGUUGCCGUUCUCCUCGACAAUGAGGCCAUUUAUGACAUCUGCCGCAAGUCCCUUGACAUUGAGAGGCCCACCUACACCAACCUUAACCGCCUCAUCUCUCAGGUACUCACUUUUUCUUAUUUUAAAAUAAAAUAAAGACCUUGGUCUGCACUCUCCGUUAUUAGUCGUUGUCAAGCAAAAUUCGUGUUUCUUAUUUAUGAAACAAACCUUGUUGUACCUCAGGUGAUUUCAUCAUUGACCGCAUCUCUGCGAUUUGAUGGAGCCUUGAACGUCGAUGUGAAUGAAUUCCAAACUAACUUGGUCCCAUACCCAAGAAUCCACUUCAUGCUUUCCUCCUAUGCACCCGUGAUAUCAGCCGAAAAGGCCUAUCAUGAGCAGCUCUCCGUUGCGGAGAUCACCAACACUGCAUUUGAGCCAUCCUCAAUGAUGGUCAAGUGUGAUCCCCGCCACGGCAAGUACAUGGCCUGCUGCCUGAUGUACAGAGGCGAUGUGGUGCCUAAGGACGUGAAUGCAGCUGUGGCCACCAUUAAGACCAAGAGGACCAUCCAGUUUGUUGACUGGUGCCCAACUGGGUUCAAAUGCGGUAUCAACUACCAGCCUCCGACUGUGGUACCUGGUGGAGAUUUGGCUAAGGUUCAGAGAGCCGUGUGCAUGAUCUCCAACUCCACCAGCGUUGCUGAAGUGUUCUCUAGGAUUGAUCAUAAGUUUGAUCUCAUGUAUGCCAAGCGUGCUUUUGUGCAUUGGUACGUGGGUGAAGGUAUGGAGGAAGGUGAGUUUUCUGAGGCUAGGGAAGACUUGGCUGCUCUGGAGAAGGAUUAUGAGGAAGUUGGGGCGGAGUCUGCUGAAGGUGAGGAAGAUGAGUACGACGAUUGAGCACAAGUUUGAGCUCAUGUUUGUGGUUGAGGGGUGCUAAUGAGUGCUGCUAAAUGAUUUAGUGUUUUUUUUUUUGUUUUUUUUGGUUCCUUGUUUGUGGGUCAAUUAAAAAACCAAUGUUCUCAUUGGUAUGAACAAAUUGCCGUGUUGAUUUUGGCUCAUUCUUAAAUCUGGAUUUGGUACUUUCUAUUUUGGUUUACUGUGUUUCACUGUUGUUUUGUUCUUGAAUUUCUAUUGAGCUUGAUUAGUAGUAAUUGGCCUGUUCUUUUUACUUCUUUCUUCUGUUCAUCGUAGUCAUUUCGGUAUAUAUAUAUUAGCUAUGUCAAUUCAACAUGCUGAUUUCAAGAACAUAAUUCAUAAAGCUUUUUAAUGACAGUUUACUGGUGCCACAAUUUUUGAGUUGUGUUCAUUUUACUCAAAAAACUUGAGUUGUGUUCAUUUUACUCAAAAAACUUGAGUUUACUCGAAAUUUUUGAGAACGGGUUUUGGAAUUUACGAGCCAGUGCGCGGGUCAAUUACUUCAAUUUUAGAACUUAAUAAACAACAGCUUGCGUAGAGAUUUAUAUAACGAAAGUUACAUAUAUUUGGUGAGAAAAGAAAAUUCAUAUUAUAUCUGGGAGAGAAAUUUUUUUAGUUUUACAAGCAAAAAGAUCAACAUAAGUAGGAGACAGAAGAGUUGAAGUUGCACUUGCACUUGGGUUUUUUAUGAAUAUUUGUUGAGUCGGAAGUGUACAAGAAGAGAUGAUUAUAAUUCAACACCCAUAAGAAGAAUAAGAGCAAAGCAGAUCUCGGAAGAUCCAGCCGUAAUUUUCAAGCAAAAUGUUGGGUAUCUGCAAUUAGGUAGCUAAUUAUGACAGCGAAGAUGGGAAACACGCUGAGCUCUUCUUCUUCUAGCUGUUGGAAUGAAUUGGUUGCAACAAUGAGAGGGGAAGCCCUGCCGCGGGCAUCAUACACUCAAUGUCAAUGUGGUGGCUAUAAGUAGAAAAGCAAAAAGGACUCGAUAUCUCCUUAAGCGUUACGUUUGCUGCAAAAUGUAUGUGGCAAGAGUGUAUAUUUUUUUUAUUAGCAGUGGUGUAUUUUUUUGAUGAAAAUUUUGAGGUUGUGGCAGAAUAAUUUCAAAUCCAAAGAUGGAAGAAAAUACAAUAAUGCCAGCACCCGCAUGGGCACUGCUGGCAGAGCAUAUAUAUUAGGUAUAAUACUCUACUUGUUACCACCAUUACUCAAAAAAAGAAAUGAGUGUUACCGCAGGCAGCCUUUCGCUUUCUCAAGAUUUGACGAAACUGCCUUCCGUUUCACUUAAUCUUGCUUUCCUUCAUUAGGAGUGCAUUGAAAUUUACGGCAAAAUUAUUGAAGCAGAGAACUAAUAUUUAAAACUGUACAAUAGCAAUAGUAGCAUCAUUCAGUUUAAAACCAAAACUGUACAGAUAGUAAAUAACCUCUCUACUGCCUAUUACAUUUACAUACACAAUCACCUCUCUCUCUCUCUCUCUCCUUCCACCACCAACCGCCUGAGUGUAUCGAUUGAACCUACGAAAUUCCGUGAAAUGCGUCAAUUCUCCAUAGAAGAGCACAAAAUCAUCAUUGAUUUACUCAAGAUAAGACAAGAAAAAAAGAUUAUGCUAGCUAGCUAGCAGCUGGGGAUGUUUGAAGAAAUGUUGGGCCUCUUCUCAGGAGGAGUUAAGAAGAGAUUAUUGAGUUUUUAUUUAAACCUUCUUGAUGAUGAUUAGUUAAAGGGAAGCUAGAAAGUAAUGAUUAACCUGACAUUCAUUAAUUAAUCAAUUGAAAAUUCAAGCAGGCUAUUGGUCCAGAUCAUUAGAUGGUGAAAGCAACCCGCGAAACCGCGGAUUCCUCCAAGGUUUUGGUUUUCUGUCUAAAAAAAUCUUAUGUGAAAAGAACAAGAAAUUGUCAGAUAAAACAAACGAUUAAGAUGAGGCAGAGGAGGGUGAAACAAAAUCAGGCACCAAAGUCAGGGAAAGAAAACAAACCUUACCAGACAUCAUAAAGCUAAAGUUUUGAUUUAGUCAGCAGCCUGGACGGACGGCAGAAGUACUAUUGUUUCCAGUACUGAGAGGUGAAGCCGGCAAGGCUGCUGGCCGCUUCGACAGCUCCAUCACAACGCCAACCUCGUGCUUAUUAUUAUUAUUAUUAUCAUCAUCAGAACAACCAAACAGGUUAAGAAGCACAUCCGCAUGAAUGUCCUCUCCUAUGUGGGAAUCCUCAUCUCUGAUCCUCCUUAUCUGGCUAUGCAGCAAACUGAAUCCGUCUCCAACGUUGUUUCUGGAUGUGGUGGUGGUGGUGGUCGUCCCGUACCUAUUACUACUACUACUGCUACUACUAUGACUCCCUGCUAUAUGAUUAUAUAUUCUAUUUUUGGUUAUGGGAAGCAGAACUGAUCUAGGCGAACAGUCCAUCUCCUCCGACGAUGAACCCACGCCCUCCUGACCUGCGUCCACCAACUCUCCUCCAACACGGCAAACCGUCCUCUUGACCAUCAUCAUCCUCUUCUCAUGAAUAUAUAUAUUUACUAGUCCUUAACUCUGAUCAAUAUUACUGCAUAAAUAGUUAAAAGCAAAUAUUCGGCAUGCACGGCAACGCUCUCACAAGCAACAAAACUAUGCCGCUCUUCUGAUGUCACCCCUGCUCCUGCCUUCUUCUUCUCUUCCAGUCUCUGAUAUAUAUAUAUAUAUAUAUAUAUAUGUGUGUGUGUGUAUUUAAGUGUAUCUUACGCAACACUGACGUACCUAAUGUGUUUAUAUAUGUAGGGAUAAUUUCUGAAACCUCCCCUGAGGUUUCUAAAUAUUUCACUUAGUUCACUUGAAGUUUUAAAAAUUACACUUACCUCCCUUGAUUUGACACUUUGGUAACCAAACCUUAAAAUAAGGUCAAAAAUUUAAUGAAUACCUUAAUAUGCCCUUAUCUUAUAAAGUUCAAUUCAUUCUUCUAAAUAGUUGUAAAGUAAUUUGACACAAUUAUUUAAAAAAAAAAGAGCAUCAAAUAUAUAUAUUUUUUAUAGUGCUUUAUUGGGAAUAUAGAUUAUUUUUAAGAUAGAGAAGAAAGUAUUAUUUUGUGUUUUUUAUGUUUAUGGACUAUUUUUUAAAAAUAAAAGUUUAUGUAGUAGUUUAGUAAUGGAACUACCAUAGUUUGGUAGUGAUUUUUGGCCAUUUAUUUUUAAUUAUUGUUGAUUUAUUCUUGAUUUUGAUACAAAAAAAAAGAGCUAAAAAAAAUGGAUGAUAUAAAAAGUCAUCAAAAAAAUUACUGGUUUAACGUUUAAUCUAAAUAAAUUUAGCGACAACGUUGAUAGUUCUUCUAUACUUCUAAUGAAAUAUAAGAGAAAUGAAUAAGAAGAAAAAAAGAAAAAAAUUAUGAAAUCCAUCCAUUGUAUAAACAUGGCAACAAGAGAGUUUUAUUAAAAUAUUAAGAUUAGUAUUGUCAUUUUAAAUGGAUAAGAGAGGUAGGUGUAAUUUUUGACACCUUAAGGGAGCCACGUGCAGUUAUCAAAAAUCUUAUGGGAGGUUUCUAGAAUUAUCCUAUAUAUAUAUAUAUAUAUAUAUAUAUAUAUAUAUAUAUAUAUAUAUAUAUAUAUGAUAGAAGGGUAUGUCUCGAAUAGAAGGAGCUUUAAAGGUUGAAUCGAAGCAAUUUGUGUAAUUCUUAUUGUUACUCGUGUACAAUUUUAAUAAAAUCCUCAAUUUAGUUGUUUAAGUUGAUCAAUUUAAAUUCACAUCCAAAUUGUUAGUAUAUUAGAAGUUACAAAAAUUACAUGUACUAAUUUAAAAUUAUACUACAAAACUGGAACUCCUGAGGCUGCUGUUAACUGUUAGGUGUGAGGGAGGGGACGUGUGGGUUAGGUGGAGGAAUACCAAAUAGCGGCGUUGUUCGGAUGCAUGUGCGUGUGUAUGCGGUGUUGAUGGUGUUUACUUGCGGAGGAUGGUCCGCUCGAUGCCAUUACUAUUCAUAUGAUUUUUGGUCAGUAUUAUGCUCUGCAUGUUCCUUCGCUCGGCCAAGUGUCUCGGACGGUUAAAAAAGCAUCUUCAUACAUCACGUGUUUGCGUCGCAUGGGGAAAUUUAAUACUACUGAUAUUAUCAAGACUAGCAAAGGAGUACUUGAAGCUGGACUUAAGACAAAGAGUUUGGAUUGAGUUCGAAUUUGUUUUUAUUUUGCAUUACUUGAAUUCGAACUCGAACUCAUGCUUAUCAACAACAAUCGAACUUAUUACGAGUUUAAUUGAGCUUAAUCAAAUCUAAGAAAUAUAAAUUUAUAUUUUAUAUAAUUUUAAAUAAGAGAUAAAAUAGACACUUCAUCUUAAUAAAUAAAAAAUUCAAAAAAAAUACUAUGUAAACUUCGAAUAGCUCAAUUAACCGCCAUAUCUUUCUCAUUUCACAUAUUAAAUUUGAGCGCGAUUUGUCAAAUAGUUUGAAAUGCUCAAACUCAAACUCGAAUUCAGGCAAAUACGAAUUCGAACUCAAAUUUUGAUCGAAUAAACUCUUAAACUACUCGAUCAAGUUCGACUUGUUUGUAUUCCUAAUAAAAAACUACAUGGUUUCGAGUAUUUUGUCUAUAUCAAUGACAAGACCUGUGCAUUUUAGAAAGUGAAAAAAAUAUUAAGCCAUAAAUAGAUGAAAUUAAUAAUUUUGGAUUUUGAUAUUUGUCAAACACUAACAGUUGCAAAUGCUCUCCUUGCAUCUGAAAUCGAAAACAUUUUAUUCAAGUAAAAAGCAGAAGCUAUUUUCAACUCCAGAAACUUCUGCAAUUGAGGACACUCACUGAUCCAUGCAUUUUUUUUUUCUAAACGAUCCAUGCGGUUAAGCACCAGGUCUGUUUAGAUAUUACUACUAGUAGUUAAAAAAAAGGUAUUAAUUUAGUCAGGCACUAAUGGCUAUGUACCGUGUGAUAUUGAUACCCCAUAAUAUAUUUGAUGUGUAGGGGGCCUUGGGAUGUUCCUUGACGUACGUGUACAAUAAGACAAGCCCCAUCCAUUUUAUUUUUUGAAAUUAGUAAAUCACGAUUCUCACGUGCCCCUUGGGAUAGCACUUAGCAGCGCGACAAGGAGAGGAUUAGGAAGUACUCAGUCCACGUGGCACGAAAUUAAGAGCGCGAGGGAUCGUGGCCAGCGAGCCUAAUCUCAAUUCUCAUGCAUUCACCCUUGGAAGAGUAUUGGACAGUGACUGGACACCCUUCCCGUUUGGGUUAGGACUUGGGAGUCUCAGAAGAGACCAUUAGUGGCCUGCGUGAAAUAUUAAGCUGGAUUAGGCUUCAACUUCUUCUCUCAAUUUCAAGAGACGCAGACAUCUGUAGGAGAUGGGCCUAUAUUUUGGGCUGGGUCCUGGGAGGGUAGGAGUUUGUAGUCUUCACAUUACACGUGUUAAACUCACAUAUCAUCGUAUCACAAAGUCAUCGCCGUACGCCAACCAACGUGAGUUGCCACAUCGGGUAUUUAUCGCAUGUCAACGUCCUCAUAGGACUCAAACAAGACCCGCGCCAUUCAUUUUUUUAUUUAUUUUUGUGAAUGGAGGAUAUCUAUAUGUGAUAGCUCGUACUUACCCUAUCUCAUACUCAACUGGGUUAAAGGAGACCAGAGGAGGAAGAAUUUACCUCUAGACCAAGAAAAGCAUUAUUGUACGGUUUUCAAAUUUUUAUUGCAAUGCAAAAACUUAAACCUCCUCUAAUUCACAGUUAAACUCGCUCUUAUAGAAACAAACAUAAACAUAUGCUACUUAUGCAAAAUGUGAAUUUUAAAUUUAAAAUUGAAUUACAUGACACACAUUCACACCCAUUUGUAUAUAUAUAUAUAUAUAUAUAUAUAUAUAUAUAUAUAUAUAUAUAUAUAUUAUCAGAUAUUGCCCAUAAAUAAAUGGAGUACAUAAUUUAACCAAAAAACUGUCCCUUGGAUUUAUCUUGCGCCCUUUCAGAAAAGCCGUUUUUCUCUCAACACAGAUACGAACGUACAUGAGAAAACUCCUUACUUAUCUACUCAAGGAUUCCUUUUCUGCUAGUUCACCAUUAUUUCAAAAAGUGUAUUGCUACACCAUUAGAAAUCGAAUUCGAGUUCUAAUUCCAGGCUUCGCUUGAUUUGCUUUUGUUGAUGAAUACUGAAAAAGUUUCUCCUUCGCGGGAGGGAAGCCUGGGAGAGGGAGUUGGAAUACCUAAUAUCUGAUCACCUUUCAGGACGAGAAAAACAAGCUGCACGCUUAAAAGUUAAAAGACCCAUAACUGAAGAUGAAACGCAGAAACAACGAGACAUACACCUAAAAAAAAUGAAAAGGUAGGGUGGAAAAGCCUGGAUCACACUGAAUGAAUCGAUAGCAUAACCACAAUAAUAAUAAUCCACGUUACUAAGAAGCAAAACUAGAUUCUGAAAAAUCUAAUAAGACAAAAUUCCAAAUAGCAGUCAGAUGUAAAUGUAAUGGCUAUCUUCUGGAGGGUAAAAGAAAGAAGGCAUCUAACACGAAAUGGCUCACUCUUCAUCUUCUUCAUCACCAUCACCACCAGCAGCUUUCUUUGCAGCUGCCUUCUGGUUCUUACGCUUGACUCUUCCAGCACGCCCGCCACCAAAUGGACUGGUGAUUGAAAAGUCAAUGUGCUUCUGGGAAUCAACUCUCACCAAAAAUGAAGGAACAUUAACUACCUGCCUUCCAACCCUGACAGAAUUAAACGAAUCAGUAUGUAGCAUUUUACCAUAUGCUUCCUAAUAAUGCAAGUCUAUAACCCAAAAAUCCAGGAGCCUUGAGCAAAUUUGUAAAACCAAAAGACACAAAAUUAAAACACUGAUAUUGAACUUACGCAAAUUUAUAAACCAAAAGAGGCAUAUUUGAGUUCCUGAAUCUUCCAUUGUCAAUUUUAUACAGGCCAAGUUAGACAAACUGCUUUUGGAUUAGCUUUUCAGUCACAGAAAAAGCAACCUCAACAAGGAGCACCUAGUCUAACCUCUAAUAUGAAGAAAUUAACUGAACUAGACCAAAAAGAACCUCCAUGCAUGAUUAUCCACACACACAACCUCAGAUUACAAAAGCACUGUACAUUUAUGGUACAAUAGUUCGACAAGGUUAACUUAAUUCAUUUUGGAAAAUUUUCUUUCAGGUGUUCAGCAAUCCUUGCUCCAUACCUUUCCAAUAGAACUGACUUCAUGAGCAUGUGGCAGGCUCAGAACUCUCAAACCUUAUAAUUAUCCAUCAUUCUGGAGAUAUAAUUAUUACCCAAAAUGUCUUAUUAUAUAUCCAAAUUGCCCACAAGCAGAAGCACUGAAGGAUAACAAGUGUAUAUAGCAAUGCAAAGGGCAUUAGCAUUCUUUUAUACCUCAUAAAUCAAAAACUCAUUAGAAGCAUUUCUCAUUAACUAAAGUCUUUCCAAAAUCACUGAGCAAUAUCAAAUAAGCCUUUCCAACUUCUGGAUUCACAUGUGAAGGUACAAAAGACACCUAAGCAACAUUAAGGCAAUCUUCCAGCAUCGAUAGUCAAAUGAAGAGAUAUAAAACACACUUAUCCAAUUUGACGAAGUACUCGUGAGCUGUGUAUAUACCUGAUGUGCCUCUGUCUAAUGAGCACGCGAGCAUGGUGAAUUGACUUGGCCAUGCCUGUCUUGAAGACGAGUGUUUGCAGGCGGCGUUCAAGAAAGUUCUCCACAGUCAGAGCCAAGACAUAAUCGAGCUUGUUUUGACUCUCUUCCAAAAGUCCAUACCUGUUCAUCCUGCGCAAGAGGGCUUCACCCUCAAAGAUACGACGAGGGUCUUUCUCAUCAAGAGUUAGAAGCAUUCUAGCAUUAUUACGAAUACGGCUCAAUGCAUACUGGACCCUCCAAAGCUCCCUCUUGCAUCUGAGUCCAUAUUCUCCAACAAGCCUCAACUCAGCAUCCAAACGCUCCUUCUCAUAUGGACGCCGAGGCUUUUUGAAGGUCUUCCCAUCUAAGAUACGAGGGGAGAAAUAUGUAUCCUAUUAAACAAAUCUGAAAAACAAUCCACUCCAAAUGAACUAAGCAGAAAAGAUUAAUCCAAUAAAAAAUAUCUCAAAAAUUGCAUCACUCAAAAGCUAUGCAGACAAGAACCACAUUGAACAGCAUCAGUAAAAUAAAAAAACCCAAAAAAAUUCGCAGAAUAAGAGAGAAAGGGUCAUACGUAUCAUAUAUCAAGAUAUGAUCUAGUUAAGAGAAGUGCUAUACAAGCAUAGGGCAGAUCACAGUUAUGAAACGCAUCAAUAACAUGCGCGAUCAAAAAGAAAGAGAGUUCGGUACAGUGAGAGAUCAUACAGUUGCGAUAGAAACUGACGUGAACCAUGGCUGCUACUGGGCCGGGGGAUUGCUCGCCGUCGUCAGUGGCAGUGGAAGUGAAACCGAGGAAGACACAGCCAGACAACUCUGCUAUUGGUUGGAUUCCUCGUUAUAUAUUUCAGUAUUCACUUCGGAGGCCAAUCCCACAAACCCUAGCAUAAAGCUGAAAGAUUUCCUGGCUUAUUUUAUUUUAGGCCUAUUGGGCUGCAGCCCAUGUCACCAAGCCCGAUCCAUAAUAAUACAAUUUUGUACUGGCUGUUAACAGUGUAGGAACUAUUAAUUAUCAGAAUAAACUACAACAUGGCUUGGCCCAUCUUAUUAUCUGGUUUUUGAAAUGGUAAAAUAUUUUGUCUCAUAAAUGCAAUUCGAAAUCAACUGUUGAGACAUUAACUAGUGAACUACUAAUGCACUUUUUUUUCCUUGUAAGAAAACCAUAAUGUAUUUGUUCUGGUUUUCCAUUAAACUUUUGCCCAUAAACUUUUCCCUUAUAGGCAAAGUCUUCAUUUUUUUUGUUGUGCAAAACAAAGUCUUCAUUCGAAUAAAAAAAAAAAAAUUAUCGAUGUGAAACAUGCUAUGGUAAGCUACAUUUUUUUUUUCAAGGGAUCGUCUGUGUACCGUAACCUUUGCAAGUUUGCACAUGUUUCUUUAAACUAUAUAUUGAUCAUGUUUAAUUUUUAGUGUCUCAAUAUACAUCUUAGCUGUGUAAACAAUUAAGCAAAGGCGUGUAGAACACAACAAUACAUUUGUUCCCCUGAGGGGAAGGAGAUGACACUACAAUAUUAGCACUACAAUAUUUUUAUUGUAGUACUACAAAUCUAAUGUCAACUCCUAGUUCUUGAUAAAUUUCUUUUUUCCAGCUCAGAGUAGGGAAAUGAUAUUAGCACUCCUUAAAAAAUCAAAAGCACUCCUUACACUGUAUCUAAUGUAAAAGAGGGGAAGGAGCGCUUAAGGUUUUUUGAAGGAUCAUUUCUUGAAGAGUUUGGUGGUGGUAAGGCUAAAAUAACAUGAAAAUAACAUUUUCAUAUAAACAAGUAGUCUUCAAUCCCACCCAAAAAACAAAAAAAAAAGAUGAUACGAAGAAGGUAUAUUUUUUGUACAUUAUCGAUGUGAAACAUGCUAUGGUAAGCUACAUUUUCAUUCAAUAUCAUAUUUAUGCAUGAAUUGUGAAAAUGUCACUACUGUUAGUUGUUGAUAACUUCGUACCGUCCUACUUAAUUCAAUGAAAACGGGAACGACCUUUUUUUUAAACAAAGGGUAGCUAUCUUCCAGUAUUACUUAGUUUAACAGAGAAUAUCCCCAAUAUCAUGUAAUCCUCUAGGCUUACCGCCCACCAAAUUCUUCAGCUCGAAUAGACCAGGUGCAAUAUCAUUAACCUUUUAUUUUUUGUUUUGAGUGCACAUUUUGAUCAUCUAAGAUCAACCUCGCUAGAAUUUUCAUCUGUUAUUGUGUACAGUUUUACUCACAAAACAUGGCAUUCCACACAUCUAUUAUGGCAGACUAAGAUUCAGAUCCAUUACAGACAGGCUUACAACUUACAAAAAGAUCGUCUCAGACAUAGAAUUCAAGAAACAUCAGUAUUUACAAUGAGACAUGCUACUCACUACUAAUUAAGUUCCAGAUCUCAGCUGCCGCUGGUGCCAGAGCUAACACUAUCACUACUGAGUAAUCUCACGUCCAUUUAGCUGUUCGUCAAGUAUUUGAGAUGGCCAUGAAUCUGAAGGUGAUGGAUAGCGAGGACGCGGUUUCUUCACAUUGGAGAGAGAAGCAUUGCAUUGAAAAUCUUCCGCUGUAUCAUUUUGGGAUCCUUUGUGGUAAAUAGGAGAAUCAUGAUGUAAAGGCACAACAAAGAUGGGAGCAACAACCGAAGAUGAUAGUAGUUGGUGAUCAGUGGAAGGCAGUCUCAAACUAUCUUCUUGCAGUUCUGAAGCAGCAAUGGGGCUUUGUGAAGGCCAAAUAUUUAAGUUCACUGACGACUGGGAUUGAGUCCUCUCUGUGAUCUCACUCUGAAGCUUCUCCACCUGAGAUUUGAGAGCGGAGUUUUCUUCAAUGAGCUCAUUCUUCUCAACAGCGACCUGUUUGGUAAUCAUGAAACAUUAACUUCAUCAAACAAAUAUGAUUGCCAUCUGGAAUCCCCACGUUGCCAUUCACAAACACAGUAGAAAUAAAAAAAAAAUUUUGCUCAAAAAAUUUAUCAUGGUGCUUAAAAGUAACCAAGAAAGCAAUACAAAUUCAUAAGCGUGCAAGAUUAACUCAGUCAUCGAAUUGCAUCAGUUCUGUAAAGUGAAUAGAAAUGGAUUUCAGAUUAAGCAAAAGCAAGCUCAGUUUGAAGGAGCUCACAUAAUGAGAUUCGGAUAAAAGAGCAGCAUUAUCCUUUUUGAGACUGUAAACCUGAGCAAGUAGAUCCUUAAGCAGUCGAAUGGUAUCAUUCACAAUGCAGGCCUUUCCACUGGACAGCUGAGCUGGUUCUGCAUAAAAAGACAGGAACCUGUAAUUAAAGGGAAGUUGAGAAUCCUAGUAAGUUUGUAAUGAAGAAACUAACAUAGCCAAAUAGUAUUUGGCUCCAAAUUAUUUGUUUGCGUCACAAACACAAUUUCUAACACAGAUUUUUAUCUUCCUAAUCAUCUUUUUAUCUCACAUAUGUCACAUCACAAAAAGUGCUACAGUAAUUAUUCCAAAUAAUAUUUCAAAUAAUCUCCUAUCCAAACACAAUCAAAGACGUCGGUUAUGCUAUACACCAAGCACAACAUUACAGAAUUUAGACCUAAGACAGGAGGAAGGAGAAUUAUACCAAUAGCUUUCCUGAGCUCUACAAAUAGGACGUUCAUGUGGUCACGUUUCUUCUUCUCCCUCUCUGCUUUAUGAAUUCUUUUAGAAGGUUUCCCCUGCUUCUUUUUGCUGGAGGAAUGCCUGAUGCAAAUUGUUUCAAGAAAGAUCCACAAAAAUGAGGUCAACAGGUUCCACAUCCUCGCAGAAAGAUAACAGUCACUUGGAUUCUGAAUGACAAUUGCAUAAAUAUCGGGGAACCUCAUAAUAUUAUGCUUACGGUUCCAUAGAAUGCAAUUGUCACAGUAAAAAUGCACCUUCUCUGGUGCAACUCAACAAGCUUUCCCAGAUCUAUGUCAAGGCAUCCCAAUCAUACUAAGCAAUGCUAUUUCUGACUCAAGAACUAAGGUGGAAAAAGGACUCAUGAUACAAAAAGCUAAUGAUUGCCCCAAAAAAUUUGACGGGGUAGGUAGUUAAAUCAUACAUAAAUGAGAACAAAAGUGCUAAAGGAAACAAACCUAUGGACUGCAUUGCCCUCGUCACCGUCUGGAAUAGCAGUUUCUGAAGCCAUACUCUGGUCUCUAGGUCACUUAAACCCAAUUCAAUAGCCUUUAACCUUUUUUUAUAACCUGCUAUAAACCCAAACAAUACAGAAGCAAAAAAAAAAAACCAAGAUAAUGCAGCAGAAAACAGAAACAAGAGCAAAAACUUCAACUAAGUAACAGAAAAAAUAAGUAUAGGGAAAGUCAGCCGAUGCAUAAGUAAUUACUAUAAACAGGUUUCAGUCUUUAGAAGUAUUAAAGUAUAAUUGAUAAUAAACACGGCAAAUAUAAAAAAUUACAUUUUUUCUAAAAGUCGUCGGAUCAUGGGAAAAGAUAAAAAAAAAAAAACAAAGAAGGAAAAUGCAAGAAUGGUUGAACGUAGGUUUUAAUUUUAUCGGACAAACAGCACACACGUACCUUGUGGUUGAGUGGAGAAUGAAAGAGAGAGGGUAAGCAAAUUAUUGGCGGAGUUGCACGGUAGAAACGGGGGAUGGAGUCGCCUUUCCACGCGACGGCGUGUGGCUGCCACCUUCAUCUUACAUGCGGUCCAACCCGACCACGUAAGCUUUGUCUCAAUUGUCUUUGACGAUGAUGGCCUUGCUACUCAACUUCUUGUUUAUAAGUUUUUCCUUCAUGAGUUUAAUUUUGACGAAAAUGAUUUACAUAUUUCACACCAAGUCCAGUUCGGAUGAUCAGAUGGACUCUUUCGUGCAGGAGUAAUUGAUUAAUUUCACUUGGCACGGCAAGCCUCUUCUCCUGUUGAUGUGAAUAGACUCAAUAGAGUUGAAGCCCACCGUAUAAUUUUGCAAGGUCAAUCUUUUCGAGCGUUGAUUCUGUCCACUAUGGAGAAUUUUAAUUGUUGCAAUAAAUUGCAUUCAUCAAGCCCCUGUAAAUAUCAACUUUCGACUUUUGCUCUGUGUAUUUGAAGUGAUUUGAUAACAUCAAUAAAUCAUUAAGUUUUUCUAUAAUAUUGACGACACUGUAUGCAUUAUUGGGAUGCGUUUUUGAUUGGACAUGAUGUCCAUGUAUAAAACCCUUGUCAACAGAAAUGGUUUAACUUGUAAAUUCUCCAAAUUAAAUUUUAAUAACAUGUUUGGAUAGUAAAUUUUUUUAAAAAAAUUUUUCGCUUGCAUCAUAAAUAUAUUUUUCAAUUCAACUUUUUAUAUUUUCAAUCACUUUUUUAUCUCACAUACAUCAUUUUACAAAAAAUUGUUACAGUAUUAUUCCAAAUAAUUAUUUGAAAUAAUGCUCCAUCCAAACAAAGCCAAGUUGCAUCAAAUUAAUUCGUCAAAAAGACAUGCUUUUCAUUAAUUAGUGUAUUUUUUUUUGGAGAAGAUAACUGUUGUAUAACCCAUUUUAAAAGAAGGGAAAGGACUAAAGAGACCAAAGAUAAUUUGAAGAAAAUUGAACCAUCACCGAACCCUUUUGAAUUUUUUAAACAGAGUUACUUAAUAUAGCAAUUGAUAAAUCAUCGACCUCCCAAGAAAAACUUUUCUUGUCUAUAUAUUUCAUAAUAAUCUUUAAUAGAUCUACUUCAACAUUGACUCUGGGAAAGAAGGGGUAGGACUAAACUUUGCCAUUUUUAUAGUUGGAAUAGUUAGAUGCCCAAUAAAUAAAGGGUUAUUAUCACUUUACCCCUUAAACUAUAUCACUACUAUCAGUUUACCCCCUAACAUUAUCUUUUAGUUACUUUACCCCUAUAAGUAAUUCAAAUUUUGGACAAAAAUACCCUUUUAUUUUAUAGCAUUACUACAUUAUUAUUAACACUUUAUUUGUUUAGAUUAUAGUGAUACAAUCACUUUAGUUCCUAACAUUAUUUUGUAGGCAUUUUACCUCAUCGUUAUCUAACUAGUAUGGUGAAAAUUUUUUAAAUAUAGUAACCUUUUUUAUAUAUACUUAAAAAUAAAAAAGUUGGAAUGGUUAUUCUUCCUUUUUUUUCACUUUAAGAGAUUGAAAAACAUAAAAAUAAAAAGGGUUUUCUCAAAUUUCUUUUUUUCACAUUUAUUAAUACUAGAAAAAUAAAAAGAGAUAGGAAAGAAGGAGACAAAAAAUUAGAUUUUGCAAAAAAAGAAAAUAAAGAAAAGUCUAACAUUAUUGUAUUACUUUAAAGUUGUCGAAAUUAGGAUUGGAAUUUGGCAGUAAACAAAAAAGUGAACUAAUUUUAAAAUAUAUAAAAGUAUUUAAUUCUUUCUUAUUUGUAAUUUUUAAAAAAGAAUUGAGCUCUCUCUCUCUCUCUCUCCUCUCCCCCUUCCAUCUUUCUAUUUUUUUUUCAAUAUUAAUAAGAUUGUCAAGAAGAAAGAAAUUAAUAUUUGACCUUUUUUCUUGAUACUAAAAAGGAGAAGAGUCACUCUAAAUUUUUAUUAUUUUUAUUAUGCGAAGAGGAGGGUAUUUUCUUUAAAGUUUUUUAAUUUGCUAAGUUGGUUUAAUGGUAGGAUAAAUUGCCUAAACAAUGACUGUAGGGGGUAAAUUGAUAAUGAGACUAUAUUUUAUGGGGAUAAGGUAAUAAUAAUUUUAAGGUUAAACAUGUCUUUUCACUUUAAUUAACAAACUCCGUUAAGUUUGACCGUUAGUUUGGGGUUAAAGUGACUAAAAGAUAACAUUAAGGGGAAAGUGAUAGUGGCACCAAACGUUAAGGGGUAAAGUGAUAAUAACCCUUAAAUAAAUGACUAUAAGAACACUUAUCUAUAUAUUUUGCUGUUUCAGGUAAGUCUUCUUUUGGGAACUAUAAUACGGAAAAUUCCUUUGCCUACUGUGGAUGCAUCAAAGUCUAAUGCUUUGAUGGCAAUGGUGAUUAUGUAUCAGUGUCUGAUGGGGUGCUUGAUAUGAAGCAACUGAGACAAUUGGAAGCCACUUUUUGGAAGUCCUUCUGAAAAUGAAGCAUAAUGGUGCAAUUGAUAAAACAAGGGCUGGAUUCACUGCUCUUUGCAAUCGUUUACUUUGUUCGAACAAUCCGAGGUUUGCUCAUUGAGCUCUCCUAAGUAUUUUGCGGUUAUCAAUCUUUGUGGUGUCAUGUUUAAUUAUGUCAAGAAGAGUCAUUUUUCUUUGUUAACUGCUACAACCCAUGGCAUCUUGUGAGCUACUUUUGUAAUACUUUGAUUAGGGAAUAUGGUGGAAAUAUGAAAUGAAUUAAAAAGCCGAAUUUGGUUGAAGAGUUCUCAUCCUUAUUGAACUAUUUGGUUUUUGUUGACCAUUCUGCUUAGUAUUAUUAUCUCUCUCCUGUGGAAAAUUGUUCUCAAUGUCAAUGAACUCCUUGUGAACUGAGAAUUAAUGCAUGCUUCUUGCUAAUUAAGAUAUAGAGGUAAGUAAGUGUUAAUAAAAUCUAUGACCAUCAAAUAAUAUGUUUUCCUUAAUCAGUUUUGUAUAGGACAUUUGCCAGAACAAAUACAUUAGUAUAGUAGUUUCGAACUUUAGGUUGUGUUUCUGUAUUUGAUGCUACUUAUUGUCAAGGCUAAUAUCCAUUGCAUAUUUUUGAGUGCCUUUAUUUUUUGAAUGUUUUGCCAUUCAAUGUACACAGCUAGCUAUACAUUCCUAAUCUUGUUCCUAGGCACAGUAACAAUUACCACAAACUGUCUUUUAUUUGGCUAGAGGGCUGAUUAUUAGUCUGUUACUUGUCUACCUAUGACUGGCAUCUGUAAGAUCUUCCUUGUUUCUUUGCUUUUAACUUGCCUGUUUGUUUGACAAGUUAAAAAACUUAACUUUUUCAAGUUUGAAAUGUGAGUUGGAAGCUGUUUAAGCUGUUUCUUCACGACAACCUUAAUGGAGAUUUAACAGCAUAGGAUUUACUUGUAAUAGCAGUCUUAAGUUUCUGCCCCUAUGCCAACUUUUGGAUCCUUUAAGUUGGUCAUUUUGAGUCUAUUGCAUAAUGUUGCUUCUCUUGUCACAGACUUUGCAAAUUAACAGAAUCCUGGAUGGCAGCAGAAUUUCUUUUCUUAAACCCAAAGACAGCAAGCCUUCCAUCCUCUUUGGAGCUUAGCCUGCUGAAGGAAGCUGUGCCAUUGAAUAUGAGAUGUUGUUCUACUGCUUUUCAGAUGAAAUGGACCAGUAUGUUUAGGAAGUUUUUCUCUCGUGUUCGAACUGCCUUGGAGAGACAAUACAAGCAGGGAAACUGGUAUCCUUAUGGGUCAGAAGCUAACGUUGGAGUUGCAUCCAGAAAUGGAACCAGAGAAAUAGUAGUAGAAAUGGCAGAUGAUCUGUUUAAUCUAAUGAAGUGGUUGAGUUACUUUUUUUUCUUCUCUUGCUACCCUUCUGCUCCUUAUGAGAGGAAGAUAAUGGCCAUGGAGCUUAUAUUGGUAAUGUUGAAUGUCUGGUCUGUCAUGCCACCAUCAAAAGAAAAUCAUUGUGCUCUUUCUUCUGAAACAAGUCUGUAUCCUUACAGUAAGGGCUUUAUUUUAGCUGAUUCAGCCUUGCUACUGGUUGGAUCGAUUAUUGAUAGCUGGGAUCGUUUGAGAGAGAAUUCGUUUCGUAUUCUACUGCAUUUUCCUACCCCGCUUCCUGGCAUUUGUAGUCCAGAUGAGAUCCGAGUAGCAAUUAUAUGGGCAAAGAAGCUAGUCUGCAGUCCACGUGUGAGAGAAUGUGAUGCUGGAGCUCUGACUUUACGUCUUAUAUUUAGAAAGUAUGUCUUGGAGCUUAAUUGGAGUGUUCAAUUGUCACUUGAUUUUGUCUCUUGUCAUGGCCAGGUAGAGCUGCCAGAUCGCAGGCUUGAAAUUCUUACACAUCGCUCGCCUGCAGUAGAAUAUGUGAGGUCGCUGGUUGAUUGGUUGCUCAUUACUGUGGAAGAUGGUGAGAAGGAUCUUUCAGAAGCAUGCAAGAAAAGCUUUGUUCAUGGUGUCCUGCUUACUCUUCGAUAUACAUUUGAGGAACUGGAUUGGAAUUCCACAGCCGUUUUGUGCUGUAUUGCUGAGAUGAAACUUGUAUUGGAGAAGCUAUUGGAAUUAAUUAUGCGAAUAACCUCUCUCGCCCUAUGGGUAGUCUCAGCAGAUGCAUGGCAUUUGCCAGAAGACAUGGAGGACAUGGUGGAUGAUGAUCGUUUUGACAAGGAAGUUAUGUCUAAGGUUGCAGUGGAAAAUGUGAUGGAGAAUGAGAAGCUUGUGCAAGAUGCCAGGUCAUCAGAACAGAUUGUUAUGGUUGGUUGCUGGCUUGCUAUGAAAGAGGUAUUUUCGGAGUUUUCUCUGCAUUGAUAUUGUUUGUUCUGGAAAUGCAUAUAAAACUGGCAAUGUCACUGCCCUUGUUGUUGCUGAUACUCGUUCUUAUUUUGAUGUAAGGUUAUCAAAUAAGCGUCAUAGAAUCUCCAUAGUAGUAAUCAAUAGGUCUACUUCAACACUGAGUGUGGGAAAGAAGGGGUAGAAUUAAACUUUGCCAUUUCUAUAAUUGGAAUACCUAGAUGCUCAAUAAAUAGAUGACCAGAAAAACUUUUCUUGUCUAUAUAUUUCAUAAUAAUCUUUAAUAGAUCUACUUCAACAUUGACUCUGGGAAAGAAGGGGUAGGACUAAACUUUGCCAUUUUUAUAGUUGGAAUAGUUAGAUGCCCAAUAAAUAAAGGGUUAUUAUCACUUUACCCCCUUAAACUAUAUCACUACUAUCAGUUUACCCCCUAACAUUAUCUUUUAGUUACUUUACCCCUAUAAGUAAUUCAAAUUUUGGACAAAAAUACCCUUUUAUUUUAUAGCAUUACUACAUUAUUAUUAACACUUUAUUUGUUUAGAUUAUAGUGAUACAAUCACUUUAGUUCCUAACAUUAUUUUGUAGGCAUUUUACCUCAUCGUUAUCUAACUAGUAUGGUGAAAAUUUUUUAAAUAUAGUAACCUUUUUUUAUAUAUACUUAAAAAUAAAAAAGUUGGAAUGGUUAUUCUUCCUUUUUUUUCACUUUAAGAGAUUGAAAAACAUAAAAAUAAAAAGGGUUUUCUCAAAUUUCUUUUUUUCACAUUUAUUAAUACUAGAAAAAUAAAAAGAGAUAGGAAAGAAGGAGACAAAAAAUUAGAUUUUGCAAAAAAAGAAAAUAAAGAAAAGUCUAACAUUAUUGUAUUACUUUAAAGUUGUCGAAAUUAGGAUUGGAAUUUGGCAGUAAACAAAAAAGUGAACUAAUUUUAAAAUAAUAAAAGUAUUUAAUUCUUUCUUAUUUGUAAUUUUUAAAACAAGAAUUGAGCUCUCUCUCUCUCUCUCUCCCUCUCCCCCUCUCCAUCUUUCUAUUUUUUUUUCAAUAUUAAUAAGAUUGUCAAGAAGAAAGAAAUUAAUAGUUUGACCUUUUUUCUUGAUACUAAAAAGGAGAAGAGUCACUCUAAAUUUUUUAUUAUUUUUAUUAUGCGAAGAGGAGGGUAUUUUCUUCUAAAGUUUUUUAAUUUGCUAAGUUGGUUUAAUGGUAGGAUAAAUUGCCUAAACAAUGACUGUAGGGGUAAAUUGAUAAUGAGACUAUAUUUUAUGGGGAUAAGGUAAUAAUAAUUUUAAGGGUUAAACAUGUCUUUUCACUUUAAUUAACAAACUCCGUUAAGUUUGACCGUUAGUUUUGGGGGUAAAGUGACUAAAAGAUAACAUUAAAGGGGAAAGUGAUAGUGGCACCAAACGUUAAGGGGGUAAAGUGAUAAUAACCCUUAAAUAAAUGACUAUAAGAACACUUAUCUAUAUAUUUUGCUGUUUCAGGUAAGUCUUCUUUUGGGAACUAUAAUACGGAAAAUUCCUUUGCCUACUGUGGAUGCAUCAAAGUCUAAUGCUUUUGAUGGCAAUGGUGAUUAUGUAUCAGUGUCUGAUGGGGUGCUUGAUAUGAAGCAACUUGAGACAAUUGGAAGCCACUUUUUGGAAGUCCUUCUGAAAAUGAAGCAUAAUGGUGCAAUUGAUAAAACAAGGGCUGGAUUCACUGCUCUUUGCAAUCGUUUACUUUGUUCGAACAAUCCGAGGUUUGCUCAUUGAGCUCUCCUAAGUAUUUUGCGGUUAUCAAUCUUUGUGGUGUCAUGUUUAAUUAUGUCAAGAAGAGUCAUUUUUCUUUGUUAACUGCUACAACCCAUGGCAUCUUGUGAGCUACUUUUGUAAUACUUUGAUUCUAGGGAAUAUGGUGGAAAUAUGAAAUGAAUUAAAAAGCCGAAUUUGGUUGAAGAGUUCUCAUCCUUAUUGAACUAUUUGGUUUUUGUUGACCAUUCUGCUUAGUAUUAGUUAUCUCUCUCCUGUGGAAAAUUGUUCUCAAUGUCAAUGAACUCCUUGUGAACUGAGAAUUAAUGCAUGCUUCUUUGCUAAUUAAGAUAUAGAGGUAAGUAAGUGUUAAUAAAAAUCUAUGACCAUCAAAUAAUAUGUUUUCCUUAAUCAGUUUUGUAUAGGACAUUUGCCAGAACAAAUACAUUAGUAUAGUAGUUUCGAACUUUAGGUUGUGUUUCUGUAUUUGAUGCUACUUAUUGUCAAGGCUAAUAUCCAUUGCAUAUUUUUGAGUGCCUUUAUUUUUUGAAUGUUUUGCCAUUCAAUGUACACAGCUAGCUAUACAUUCCUAAUCUUGUUCCUAGGCACAGUAACAAUUACCACAAACUUGGUCUUUUAUUUGGCUAGAGGGCUGAUUAUUAGUCUGUUACUUGUCUACCUAUGACUGGCAUCUGUAAGAUCUUCCUUGUUUCUUUGCUUUUAACUUGCCUGUUUGUUUGACAAGUUAAAAAACUUAACUUUUUCAAGUUUGAAAUGUGAGUUGGAAGCUGUUUAAGCUGUUUCUUCACGACAACCUUAAUGGAGAUUUAACAGCAUAGGAUUUACUUGUAAUAGCAGUCUUAAGUUUCUGCCCCUAUGCCAACUUUUGGAUCCUUUAAGUUGGUCAUUUUGAGUCUAUUGCAUAAUGUUGCUUCUCUUGUCACAGACUUUGCAAAUUAACAGAAUCCUGGAUGGAACAACUUAUGGAAAGAACAGUGACAAAGGGACAAACUGUAGAUGACCUACUGCGGAGAAGUGCUGGUAUUCCAGCUGCAUUUACUGCUAUCUUCCUUGCAGAGCCCGAGGGUUCCCCAAAGAGACUUCUGCCAAGGGCACUGCGAUGGCUGUUAGAUGUAGCCAACAAGUCUUUACUGGAACAGACUAAAGCAAGCAACUGCACUAAUGACUCAGCUGAUGCCCUUUUGACAAAUUCAAGUCAAGUUGGUCAAUUCGUUAUGCCCCUUGGGAUGGAUGCAAAAGAGAAAAUCUCAAAGAUCCGGGAUGAGGGUGUUGUCCCAACUGUCCAUGCAUUCAAUGUCCUUAGAGCCGCUUUUAAUGAUAGCAACCUGGCAACUGAUACAUCAGGCUUUUCAGCCGAGGCUUUGAUUUAUUCCAUACGCUCUUUCUCUUCGCCGUACUGGGAGGUGCGGAAUAGUGCCUGUCUUGCAUAUAGUGCUUUGAUUCGUCGCAUGAUUGGAUUCCUUAAUGUACAGAAACGAGAAUCAGAAAGGCGUGCUCUAACAGGGCUUGAAUUUUUUCACAGGUAUGCUUUGAAAAUUUGACUUUUAUGCCUUCAUGUGUCCUGUUACACUUUUUUCUGCCUCCUUCGAAUCUUUUGUGUCUACAUGUUGAAACCAGCAGCUAGAUUAUCUACUAAAUUUGUGGUCUUGGUACAUUUUCUCUUGAAAAGUGUAAUCAAGACUCAUUUCAACAACAUACUUGUGAAUCUGAAUAAACUCUGUGUUAUCCUUUGUAUAUCUUUUCAUGUUUGAUAGUUAUCUUUGAAAUGCUUCAUAUCACAAUGGAGGAAAAGUGAAGGUGUCAAAGUUUUUCCUAUGUGUAUUACUGUAUGAUCAACCAUGAUGUGCAUGGUUUUUUUGGUCACCCAGUGGAAUUGCUUAGCAGUUGUGUAUGUGCAGGAGAGAAGCAUGUUUUGUGUGUGCAACUUGGUCAAAAACUUGAUUUUUGAUAUUGCAGUAAUGUAUAUACUCUUACCAUUUCGUGGGAAUAUUAUACCUGCAUUCUUUGCCUAAUUUUAUGCUGAUCCUACGGAUGUCGACAGGGAAAGGAGUGUGUUGAAUUAGCAACAUGUUGUUUUCAGUAACUUCUGUUUUUCUGUUUGGCUAGUUGGUGCGUCUUUUUGGGGGUGGGGAUUGGUUUUGGGUAGUUGGCAAGGGAAACUGGGGGAUACAAUCUGCUGAGUUAGAUGAGUCCUUUGCUGAAACUUGAUUUUUGAAAUCAAAUUCUUGAAACAGUCAUGAGCUUUGAGUGGUAGAAGUGGUAUUCUGAAAUACUUCUGGCUGGCAUUGUUAACCAGGAUAGACAGAGAGAGUGAUUAAUGCAAUUACAUGAAAGCACGGUCUUAAUCAUGUUUUUUUUGAAACAGUUGGUUCUUAUGUUGCAUAUUGCAUCUUCCUUUAUCAUUCACAAGUUAAUUAGUUGAUAUUUCCAGCAUAGAACUUUUGCAUCCCUAGUUCCUUCUGGUUUUAAUGUCUUCUCUUCCAUUACUAGAAUUUGGCAUUGCUAAUCUAGUGCCUAUACCUUUUACAUGUGGAUGCGUGAGUGCUGGAACAAGUCUUGAGUAUUUCUUUCAUCCUUUUAGUUAAUUUGGAGCAUUCCAAUUACAUUACUAGGGUCCAUAGAUUUUUUAUCUCUUUUUAUUUUUGGUUCUGCUAACUGAUCUUUAAAUUCUUCCUAUUUUGAAGAGUUGCAGAUUAAAGUCAAAAAAGAAUUUCGCAAGCUUGAACCAUUAUUGCAAUCUAUUUUUGCAGUUCCAUUAUCAAGACUAUAUGAUUGUACACAAUUGCUUACAAUGUCCUAAGAUAUCUCAUUAAUUGCUUGCUUUUUGUUACAGGUACCCUACACUGCACUCUUUCCUAUUUCAUGAACUUAAAAUUGCAACAGAGUCGCUUUUGGAUGGGUCUUCUGGACAACAAGGAUCUAAUUUGGCAAAACUUGUGCACCCAAGCUUGUGCCCAAUUCUGAUUCUGUUGUCACGGCUAAAACCUUCAGCAGUUACAAGUGAAGCUGGGGACAGUUUGGACCCUUUCAUAUUCUUGCCAUUCAUCAGGAAGUGCUCUGUCCAAAGCAAUUUCCGUAUCCGAAUUCUUGCUUCCAGAGCUCUAACGGGCCUGAUAUCGAAUGAGAAAUUGCCCAUUGUGCUGCUUAAUAUUGCCUCUGAGUUACCUUGCACAAGGAAUGUCUCUUCUGAUGCAUCCAACUCAAUUGACACACAAAAUGGUACUUGCCAUACUUUUAAUUCACUUCAUGGGAUGCUGCUGCAGUUGAACACGCUUCUCGAUAACAAUUGUAGAUGCCUUGCUGAUUCCUCCAAAAAAGAUGCAAUUCUGAAGGAUCUGAUUGAAAUUCUUGCAAUACGUUCAUGGAUUGGUAAGUUUCAACUCUGCCCUUGCCCUAUCCUGAAUAGCUGCUUUCUUGGGGUACUGGAUAACAUGCUCAGUAUUGCAACAACGUGUCAAAUGAGCAGAAGUAUUGCUGCUAUUUGGAACCUCGUAUGGGAGUUAUCUUCAGAAUUUUUGGAUUUAGAAGAACCUCAGAAAUUGUCAUAUCAUGAUCCAACUAUUGUAGAACUUCGCAAACAAGCAGCAGUGUCAUAUUUCAAUUGCUUAUACAAAACGUCUAAGGAAAUUGCUGAAGAGGAUAUUUUGAUGCCUGGAACAUGUUCCUCAACUGCUUCAAGUUUGUUAAGAGUAUCUGAUUUGGACAGUGCUCUCUCAAGAUUUCAGGAAAGGCUGAGAGGCUGCAUGUCUGACACAUCAUACGAAGUUCGUCUUGCAACUUUCAAGUGGCUAGUUUUAUUUCUGAAAUCAGCAGGAUUAAAAAUUGAAGGAGGCAAUUCAUCUUCUCAUGAGAUCAAGACAUAUUUGUUGUACAAUAUUGAUCUCCAGAAAAAACUAGUGGAGCUUCUAGCGACCGAGAAUAACCAUAAAUGCACAUAUUACAUUCUUAAAAUUAUCUACAUGUGGAACAUGUUGGAAUGUGAAGAAAAGGGUGAACUAGAUGUCAGCCUUGGAUCAAUUGGUGUGGAUCGCAGUUCAUUGUGGUGGUUUUGGGACAAGUUAGUGUCCAUGUACAAGGUCACUAGACAUUCAAAGAAUCGACAAGUGCUCAUCUGCUGCAUGGGGAUAUGUGUAAAGCAGUUUGCUAGCAUAUUCUCAAGCUUUGUUUGCUCUAACAUGAAGAAGGAAGAGAUAGCCAUAUCCAGCCGAUAUGAUCUUGAUGGGAGACUCUCCAAGUUUUACGAUUGCAUCAAUUAUUUUGUUGAACUAAUACAACUACACAGUUCUGCAUCAGAGCCUGUAAAUAUGCGGAACGCAGCUGCAGAAUCAAUAGUUGCAUCUGGUUUACUUGAUCAUGCAAAGAUAGUUGGUUCUUUAGCCUUCAGUAACAGCAUUCCAGGCGAAAAUCCUAGUUCAGAAUUCAAAGUAGAGGAGGUUGUGAACAUAUAUGGCCAUAAGAUUCUGAAUCUAUGGUUGACAUGCGUAAGACUUUUGGAGGAUGAAGAUGUGGAACUCAGAAGGAAGCUUGCCCUUGAUGUUCAGAAGAGUGUUACAUCCACAACGUGUCAAAAUGUUGAACUGGUUCCCAGCCAAGUGGAGAAGGUUAUUGAGAUGAGUUUUGACCAUCUCUCUUCAAUCUUUGGUCACUGGAUUGACUACUUUGAUAGUCUCUGCAAUUAUGUUUUUAAUGCUGUAAACUCUGUGGUCAGUGUUGUGCCAAGAGGAGACCUUGUGAGACGUGUUUUUGACAAGGAGAUUGAUAACCAUCAUGAAGAAAAGCUAUUGAUCUGUCAGAUUUGUUGCUCUCACUUGGAGAAGCUUCCAAUUUCUAAAUCUUGGGCAGCUAACUCCUCUGACAAUCACAGGGUAAGGGACCUUUUACGUGGUUGGAGGAGGAGAUUUUGCCACUACUUGACAUCAUUUGCCAAUGACUCUAUUGGCCGACGGGAAGUUGAUUGGAUUGGUGGCGCCGGUAACCAUAAGGAUGCAUUUUUACCCUUGUAUGGAAAUUUACUAGCCUUCUUUGCCCUGUCAAAUUGUAUCUUUGAGGGGGAGAAAGAGAGGAGCAAGUCCAUGCUAGAUGAAGUUUCUGUGCUUGGCAGGACUCUGCGUCCAUUUCUUAGAAACCCGAUGAUAUGCAACCUAUAUUUGUUAGUGAUUGAUUCACAUGAGAAAAUGGUCGGCGCAACUGCUAGUGAUAUGAACAAAAGCUUGAUAGGAAAUUCUUCCGACUGGGAAGGUUUCAAUCCUUAUUUUCUCCUUAGGUGUGAAGUAUAAUCUUUUGUAAUUCUAAUUCCAUGAUCUGUACGCAAAGGGAUCGCAGCCAUAUCUUUUGGGAGUUAGGAGCCUCCCAAAGUUGUAGAGACCUUUUGAGUUUGCUACAUAUCUAAUACAUGUAUAACUUGCUCUAUAAUUUCCGCGAAUAUCUCUUCAUUACACACAGAGGGAUUUCUUUAUUGCUGCAUUUUUCUGUUUUACUCGGCGCCAUCUCCAUUUCGAAGGCGGAUUUCCAAUUUUUUUUUUUGGGGUAAAACUUCCUACACACACACUGCCCAACCAUUUUUCUUCUUUAAUUUAAAUCACGAAUAAAGGUGCUACAGUAAUAUUUUCCUAUUUACCCAUCUAAUCGAUCCGAUAUCGGACUGGAUAUUUAGACCACAUAAUAGAAUGGAAUCGUGUUCAUGAGACAUCACAUCCGAUCAAAUUGGUACCCUUCUAGGUAUUUCAGGAAGGCCACCGGACCUCUACCCUUGGUGUUUUUGACCCUGGAUAUAAGUUAAGAAACCUUAAACAGAACAUUUGCAUAUAAUAACUAAGGCCAUGACUACACUUGUGUAAAUCUCUUCAUAGCAGAAGAGAGAACUCUGCAGGAGGUACGUGCAGCUACAGUAAUAAAAAUUUUCCCAAGUGAUUAGUCGGAAAUAACUGAAAUUUGUGCUUGCCAUUACAAAUUUGCAAAAUACCAACAAAAGAGAGAUGCAAAAAUAACUAUCAAGUGUCAUCCUCCUCGUUGCCAUCCUCAUCAUCAUCUUCCUCAUCAUCAUCACCUUUUCCCUUAAUUAAAGAUGAGGAAAUAGACAUUAGACGCGGGCAGUAAAGGAAAGGAAAUAAAAAGGCAAAUGAUAUUUGCACUCUAGGCACUCCACACUUGCUCAUUUUCGUUUAAAGUGACAAAAAGACCCAUAACCUAGAAUCCUUGACUAUUUGAAUAACAAAAUUGCCCCCAAAGGCAUAGUAAAUGCAUAGAGGGGCAAUUUCGUCUCUUUAAAUAAUUUAUAGGUUUUUUGUGUCAUUUCAUUAACUGAUAAGCGAAGAUAGGGUGCAAGGAGCUUAUCUUGGAGUGCCAAUAUCAUUUGCCGUAAAAAAUGAACUAAAUUGUAACAGAUUAUAGAAAAAUGUUACAAGCAGUUGUAGCAGUUGACAAAUAGCACAGAAGCCAAUAUUUACAGCUCAAAAACAAGAAGGAGUCCAUGCACCAAAUACCACGAAACAGAGCUAACAGGAAGUGAAACACCAGAACUUCUCCUACUUCUGUAUUGCCACCAUAGCCAGAGUUAUCUGACCUCUGCUUUCAAAGAUAAGACCCAAGAGACUUAAAUCUGUUUCUUAUUUACUACUUAGCAUGUACUUCUUACAAAACACAACAGAUGUCAGAAUUGGAACAAAAAAGUGAAGAGAAGUCAUGAAGGUACAAGUAAAUUGGUAACCAUCCAUAUGACAACAUCAAAUAACAGAAAAGUGGCCUUUGAUAUGGAUAUUGGCAGCUUAUUAUAAAAGAAAGUGAAAACUAAAGAAAGCAGAUUGGUGUUAUAUGUCAACCUGGUCCUCUGAGUUCGUAACUAAAUGAUCACCAACUCAAGAAACAAAUCUCAACUCUUGGAUGAAUAUCCAUAGAAGUUAUGGUACUGAUAAAAUUGGAACUGGGGGACUAAAAUUUAGUCAAAUCCAGGAGAGAGGGUGCAUGAGUUAGUAAAUGAGAAGCUUUUCUAGGUUCUAAAGUGCCUGCCUGUUUCCAUGGGUUCCACAAAAUGUAAAAAAGCAAAAGCGUUGAUUUAUACCUCUUCAUCAUCCUCUUCUCCCUCGGAAUCCUCUUCAUCAGCUUCCUAUCAAAUCAAAAUAUGAAUUCUGUAAGCAAGGAGAAAGAGCUAUAAAUCAGAAAAAAGGAACAGUCAAAAUGGAUUUUACAUUGUUGAAAUAUUUCAGAGGGUUUGGCCAUAAAUCCUCCUUAAUUAUCUCUGCCACCUGCAUGUUUAAAGUAGAUGACAGAUAGAAUGAGAACAGGGAAGAAACCAUACUUCUUUAUUCAUCUAGAGCUACAAAGAUCACAAUAAAGUGAUCAUUAGAAGUAACAACUUGAAAGCCAGCCAAAAGUGUCAACCAUAUAUAUUACUACAUUUUACCACAAACAAAAAUAGCUAAUAAAGUUCUUAUAAUUGUAUGGAGAAUGAAUGUGAAAAGGCUUCAUAAAUUCAACAAGUAAUUACCUCAUCAUUAAGCCCCUCUACCUCAAGCGUAUCUUUUUGUUGUGUUUCAGAAAACCAACUAAAGAAGCUGCAUUGACAAUGCCCAAAAAAAAAAAAAAUGGUGAACUCUAGAUCAUACUUUCAGUUUAAGGGAAACAUACAGGACCUUUAGUAGAUAACUUAUAGCUUUCAACAGGUAAGUGACAUCAAUUCAUCAGAUGGUCACAACAAGAUAAAGGUGAGAAGCAUAUAUGCAGAUUUGCAUGUGCUUAACAAUUGGAAGACCAUGAAGAUUUUCCUCUUCACAAUCACAAUUGGACUUAAAAUAUAGUCCGGACUUGAGUUGCAGUUUCUAAAGAAGAGAUUUUCACUUGGUCAAUGCUCAGCUAGAAUACUAAGCAUAGCUAUUCAAGCUAAAAUGUCAGUCAACACCAUGGUCAAUGAAAAGCAUAAUCAGCAGUUGGAGCUCAAUAUGUAUCUACUAUACAUUAAACAACUUUUACAAUCUAAAACAUGCAUGCAACAAUGACGUUAACAUCUCCCUAAAUUCCUAACAGUUGGAUAAUUAUUAUCCUUAGCUCCAUGUGGUCAUCUAUAAGUUGAAGAUGCUAACAUCACAAAGCGUAUUUAUUUUCCAUGUCCAAAAAGCCAAUCAUCUGAUAUAGAGUCUAGGGAAAAAUCUGAAUAGAAAUGCAUUAAUUAGCAGAAAAUACCUGUCAUCAGAUGCUGGUCGUUUAUUUCCUUUCUUUUCAUGACUGCCUCCAUUUGCAGCCCCCUUCAAUUUUUUGAAGUUGUAGAAUUCAAAAUUAUAUACAAUAAAGGAUUCAAACUGCCCAAGAAGGAAUAUAUAUUCAAAUUAUUACCAUGCCUUCCUUCCACUUGAUAGCUGUACCAAUUAUCCUUGUUGUUCCUUCAUCUAAGAAGAUAAAUGUCUUUGUCAGCUUCGUAUCUUCAAAAUAUGGGUUUUGCUUGAAAUUCUGAAGAUCAAAAGCAAGAUUUCAGGUAAGAAUACAAGUACAAUACAUAGAUCAAUAACCAGCCUGCAAUGUCAAUUGUCCAUUUGUUUUUCUGAAGGAUGAAAGUUUCACGAGUAAAAGAAGAAACACACAAAUGUAAUUGAGUAACCCGAUUUCACAUCCUUAAAAUCCUCCACAUCAAGCGAAUCCAAAUAUUUGAAAAUCUGCAUAAGAAAUAAAUGUACAACCAAAUAAUCAGUGGCUAACAUUCACUAAAGAUGGUCAAGAAAAAAUAAAUUUAUCCUCCUAUGCUUAUAUCAGGAGGGUAAAUUGAAUGGCAAACUAAUCAGACCAAGUCAAAAGGUAAACUGAAAGGAAAAUCCUUUGGACUCCCAACCAAAAAUUUCCAAUCCACUAAAUUUCUAAGCACGUUGCAUACCUUCUGAUCCUCCUCAUUCAACAGAUCACCAAGCGCUGGAUGACUCAAAAACUGCAGGAAAAAGUAAAUUAAUAAAAAAUAAAUAACUAAAAGGAUCCCCUAAUAAGUUUCAACUUCAUUGAAAUUAGAAAAGGGAUGGCUUUGUAACUCACAGCAGUCAACCAAAAGUCAGGAAUUGUCUUUAUGAUCUCGCUUCUUCGGACAUAAACAGGCCUCCGUAAUUCAUUGUACUUCUGUUCAAUUUCCAGUACUUUGUCACUGGCAUCUUCAUUUACCUGCAAAGAAUAAGUCUUUUAGUCAAGCCCCACUUCCGCGCAAAGAAUCCCAGGCAGGAAAGAAUUAAGAGAAGAAUUCAUCUGGAAGUGUCUAAUCAACUUUUGUUUUUUUCUGUCUCCCUUAUUUAUUUAGCCAUCUUUCCUAAUUCCUGGGUGUCAAUUCUUUACCAUAUCAGCAUAUAUACUUGCCAGAAAAUUUCCAGGUCCACAUACAUCAUAUCAAGAUCAAACUAACUGGCUACAUGUAUAAACAAUUCCCAUCUUUGUAUGUCUACAUAAAUAUAUCUACUUACAAAAAUCUACACAGAAUGAAAUAAUUCAACAGCCUGUCUAACAGAUCAUAAUAUGAUAAAGAAGACCUGAUGGAAAGGCAAAAGGAUCCAAUCCAAGACACGAUUAUGCAUGCAUAAAUACAUGUAUUGAUGUAUGUCAGGGGGAUCCAAAAACGUUCUUCAGCUCAUCUUGGACAUCCCUAACUUUCUUAGUUUUAGCAGAAAGUUCAGCACGCUGAACAGGAUCUUCCUCAUCGCUAUCUCCAUGAAUGCUCGAUUUCUUUCCAGGAAAUGCAGCCAUACUUUUGUUGGAGAUAGUGAGGCAAAUAGAAAUUCUCAGGCCAAAAAAUCUUGCGGGUUUGUGAUUGUAAAUAACUUGCACUUUCAGGAGAACAUACUAUUGGCACACAGAACAGGUGGAUGGUGGAUGUCAAGUCAAAAAAAGCAAGGUCAACAUGUUUAAGUAUGCUCCUUCAGAUGUGCAAAUUCAGGGAAGAAAAAAUUUCACAUCUGUUAUGAGCAUCAUUGUCCAACCAUUCAUCCUUUCAAAUUUCAGCAAAAAAGAGUUAAUGUAUAUAUCUUUGCUAACAUCUACAGUGUAAGAGUUAGCAGGAAGGAACUACAUCAGUUUUCUCAUAUAUUAACCUUGAUUAACACCAAAAAAAUGAGGCAACAACUACAAAAACAUUAUCAAGUACUCGCCCACUCCACAAACAAUUUUUCCUUGUAGAAGACAGAAGUCAACAUAUUAACUAGCAUCUGUACAAGGAUCAAGGAAAAACAAAUACUCCCUCCGUCCCACUUUGAUAAUCUUGGUUCUUUUUUCACACAGUUUAAGAAAAAGUAGUUAACUUUGUUGAAACAAUCAAUUUAGGUAGCUAUUUUCCUAAAAUACCCUCACAUUAAUUAGAGUACAACUUUAUGGGAACUUGAAUUGAUGGUAAAAAAAGAAUAAACUCUCGUUAAAUGGGGUAAGUUUAUAGUAACAACAACUUACAUUGAACAAGGGUAUUUUAAAAAAAUUAAAAUACAACUACAUUCUUCAAUUGGAAAGUGGACUACAAUUUGGGACAGACGAAACAGGAAAACAUGACUAUCAAAGUGGGACGGAGGGAGUACAAGAAGAUUUUCACGUGCAUAAUUCUGUGCCUUCAAAAAUUAUCCUUUCCAACAAAAAUAAAACUGCAUACAAAGCCUUUUCCUCUUUAUUUCCAUUCGUUGCACCGAAACACUACAACAUUUUGCAAGGCAAACAGGGAUCACCUUUUGUAGAAAUAAACCGCUAGAAAAGUUAUAAUUGAGAGGAAGAAAAAUUAAGUAGAUAUGUAGGGGGAGAUGGGAAACAGAGGAGACCAAAACUAAAAUCAAAUUUUUUUAAUUUUGCCAAGUAAAGGAAAAGUAUUCAUUAGAAUAUUAACCUAAAAUGUGGUCUGUUUCCAUCAAACUAAAAAGUACCUUUCGCCUGAUAGGAGGGGAUAAGGAGAAGUAACAAUUGGAGGUGGGGGUAAUAAAAAUUAUAUUGCUAAUCUAAUUAAAAACUAUCAGAAGAAGCAAAUGCAAGGCAAGGAGCUUCUUGUAUCUGCAGCGAUCAACAGAUGAGUGUAUAGAAGGACCAAUUUGUACUUGCUUAAGCUCUAGCAUCUAAAUAUCAGCCGUCCACAACUCAACCCAACCCUCCAAUGUAUUGACGUAAAAACCCUAGUGGCUCUCAUCUAUGACCAUGCAGAUGUUAGUAAUUCCACGAACAAAAUCCCAAUAUGUGAAACUAGUACUGGUUCAUUCACGAUAAUGAUGACAAUUUUUUCUAAUAGAAAACUAGAAACGUUUAGUAUAAAUUAUGCAAAAGGAAAAAAAAAUAUACCUUUUCAAGCUCGUCCUGGACUUCUUGAAGCUUCUCGAUAGAGAGAACAAGCUCGCCAUCAAUGGGAUCGGAGUCUUCCUCCGCUGGAGCGGCCACCUUGGAUUUCUUUCCUCGCUCAGCCACCAUCUGUUUGUUUAGAGAAUGAAAGGAAACCCUAGGCGGGUUGUAGGCAGUUAAGCUUAAGCUUCAACCCCUGGAUUGGAUUGGUGGAAUGAGGAGUGGGGAUUGUAUGAAGCGGCAGAGUGAAGGGAGUCCAACUUCUUUUCGAGGGCAGAGACAACAAUUAAAUGAAAAUAUGUGGGCAAAUGUUUUUAAGUUACUUGUUCACCAUUUUGUGUCUAAGCUCUGCUAGUACUCAAUCGAAGCUAAUUUAUGGUCACAAACAUUCUCUUACCAUCAAUGAAAGGUUUUGGACAUAUAUAUACUGUAAAUCUUGCAUAAAAUUGAAGGUGUAUACAUUAUCGCGGUUGGAUAUAUGAUAUAUAUACAUAAUUUAAAUUUCAAAUUCAAAUUCAAAUAAUCUGUCAUGAAUUUUAUGAUGAAAGUGCAUAUACUGUUAAUACAAAAGAACGGCGCAAAAACUAUGCUAAUAUAAAAAACAACAGGAUGAAGAUAUCAGAACCAACAAUGAGCACCAACAACAUCAUCAGAUCCUCGAAUUAAGUCUAAUAAGAUAAAUCUAAUUAGUAGUUAGAAAAUAAUUUUUAUUACGAAUGUCUAACUCUAAGAUUGUAACUACCUCUUUCAAACAUAAGGGCGAUAUAAUAUAUCCUAGCAUACUCAUUGGAGUUUUUUUUCGCCUCUUUAUAUGAUCAUAUAGUAUAAUCAUGUAAUAGUAUCUCUUUUUUUUUUUCAGUGAAGGAUCAAUAGUAAUUGUAAGUUUUGUCGGGAUGAUUCCUUCGGAAAAAAAAAAUAAUGACUUGUGUUUUAGUCCUCUAUGUUAUGGCCUCUUCAAUUGAUUCUUUAUUGUUUAGAUUUGACUUAAUUUUCAGAUAUUCUUCUGACUUAUUUCAUUUUUAGUUCCCGUUGGCGUUGUAUUUGAAUGCUAAUUGAUCCUUAAAUCCGUAUUGACUUUUUUUGUAGUAUGCUUUGAGGCGUCCUCCUUCAAAAUCAAGCAUAAAAGAUGCAUGGAUCCUAUGUAUAUAUCGUGGAGUCAUUGGCAUGCUAAUCAAGAAGCCAAACUAUGCAAUUUCGGUACUCAGCUCUAUUCUGUUAUUAAUCGUUAGUUCCCCACUUCUUUUUUUUUUUUUUUGGAGAGGGAGAGCAGUAGAAUAAUAAGAUUAAUAGAGAUAAUAAUAUUUCUCUCAAAUAGUUUGUUUUAUUGAAGGGAACAAAACCCAAAAUAAGCACAACAUGAGUUGAUCUAGCAAAUCUAUGAGUGGAUGGUAUGCUUGGAACUUUCACAUAACCACAGUGGUAAUCAGUAAGGUCUAAACGUAUACUAUGGUGAUGACUCCAGCCCAAGCACCCUUCCAAUUAUUUAUGAUCCAUCAUAUCGAUCUCUCGCAGUAUCCAUCUCAAGGAAUGCUGGAAAUCAAACACAGGAGACGAAAAGACAAAUUCCGGUUAGCGAGAAAACGUAAUAAUAAUUACAGUACUAUAUUAGUAGUACGCAUCAAAAAAGAAUGAUGACGGUCCAAAUCAAAACCAAAAGCAGCAAAAAGAAAAAAAGAAAAAAAAAAAAGAAACACUAAGCGCAGCACCUGUUGCAGUUAGUACUAGAAGAGAUGGGGAAAGGCAAGGAGACACCACACCGUCCAGGAAGGCUUGUGGCAGCAUCCGGCUUGAGAUUUGGGAAGUGGCCGGCGGCAGACUUGACGCAGUUGCAUGCAGUUCGCCUAUCUUGUUGGGUAGGGAUGCUCCCCAAGUUUUUCACUCCACUACAGCAUGAACUUGAUGGAGUGCCUCCUUGGGUGAGAUACGGCACGCAAGGCUCAAGUUCGUGGGUAACUUGUUCACAGGUGAUUGCUUCACCUGGCCUUGCCACCAAGACUAGCACCAGAACAAGACUUACCACUGCAACCACCUUCAUCAUGUUUUCGCCGGAUCAACUAGUAGUAUACGAUUUGCGCGGAAUAUACUCGAGUGAGAGGGGUUACUAACAAACACUGCUCGCUUCUUGCUAGGAAUUGAGAAUGUUGCAGGCUAUUUAUAGCAGUAAAUUAACCUGCUGGGAUGCAUGCAUGGUUUAGUAGUAUUCCUGAAAUAGGAAUCCAAUCUGCGACUUCACAUGUGUCGGCGCGGCUGGAAGCGGUCAUGACAUGAGAAAAGUGGCCCGUCACUACACCUUGACCUUGCAUGCAAUUAAAUGGGAUAUAAGACUGGUGACAGUUGUUGGGAACGAAAAGGAGGGAUAGAAGAGAGUUUAAAUCGCUUUUCCCUUGUGUUAAGAGUUUGGCUCGCAUGUCAUCUAUCUACGAAGUCAUCUGUCUACCCAGGAGGCCAGGCACCCACACCACUGUCUUCUUCGAUAGGUAGACAAGGAUGAUGACCGUAAGGGCACGUGAAGCUAUCGAUCAUAUAGGUACUACAUGGCAAGAACAAGGGCAGGGUAGUCGUCAGGGCACUGAGGAGUCAAUGCUUGAACAUGACCGAUCGACAAUGGAGUUCAUCUUUUUGUGAUCUACUGAUGUUAUGCUACCGCUGAGAGUUAUGAAAUAAUUUUUUGUUUAGCUUCUUUCAUUGCAAAUUGAUACAGCAACACAACAACUAUCAGCUCAAGGGGACGAGCCAUAAAUGAAGGGUCAUUUUUUCGAAACCACCCGUACUUUUAAAUCUGCAGCAACAACCUAACUAGAAAAAAUACAAUUUAUUUAGUUUUAUCAGAAGAUGACCCAAAAUUUUGCCAUCAACAGAGAGAGAGAGAGAGAGAGUUGGUAAUGCAACGCAACAUUCAUUCUUAUUAAUCCUAUUCCAAAGCAGAAGUAGUCCAGUAAUUCUGGAACUGUUUUUGUAUUGAGAAUGAUAAAAGUUGAGCAGUCGUUGUUCGUCUAUUAACACUGUUGUUUUGUAUACAUUAAAUUCUCAAAUCCAUAUCUUAAAAUUGCUUCUCUGUACCCUGCAAAUUACAUGUAUGAGUCCGAAUGUACAGACUUUUGCCAAAUCAAGGACGUGUUUGAUAAAACUGAAGUUUAAAAUCUAAAAUCUGAAUUCAAAUUAUUGAAUUGUUAAGUAUUAAAUUUAAUACAUUUUAGUGUAUAUCACCUUCAGUGAUAAGUGAUCACUUAAUUUUAGGAAUAAGUUUUGUUUAGAAAAUUUAGUGCUACUUAGUUAAUUCAAAUGCUUAACUUUUAGUUAUCAAACGAUUGUAAAUAUGUUAAAAUCUGAAUUCAUUAAAUUUAAGUGGUAAAUUUAAUUACGAAAAAGAUCCAAGUAGCUGUACACAAUACAUUCGGUACAUCGAAGACAUCUGGUAUUGAUAGAACCAUGGGCUAUAAUUGGGCUAUGCCAGCCAAUGUCUACUGAAAGUUUAUAGUCGGCUUGUCUCAGCCCAUUUCUGCAGUUGCCCUUCCAAUUUGGGCUGUGGAGGUUGUGAUAUCGUAGAGUUUCAUGUCGACCGGUGAGCCCAAACCAAGCAUUCCACAUCUUUUCGGGUCGGGUCCAAAAUAAAAUAAUAAUUGAAAAAUAAAAAGGAAAGUAAAGCAAGGGAGGAGUGGUAGAAAGAAAACUCUUGAACUGCCAGGCUAUCUUGAACUGCUGCCGGUGCUCUGUUCCACUGGGCUCUGCGACUCAAAAAGCCUUACUCCCGAUUGGUGGGGUGGGGGCGUGAAUUGAACCAAUUUAGAAAAUGCAGAUGGUAACAUUAACAGCAGCCAAUCAACCCGCAGCACCUCCAAAAACUUCAUUUUUGGGCCGCCGAGAGCUCUGCUUCGACGGCAUUUCGUCCAUUUGCUGCUCUGACCAACCCUCCUCAGAUGACGCCGCUAUGGCUUCUGCCUCUUCUGACCCUCAAACUCCAAAUUCUCCGUAAGCAUCAUUUCGGGAAGACACUUCAGCUUAUAUUUUUUUUUUGGGGGGAGGGGGGUAGGUGUUGUUAGUGGUCAUUAUUUGACUCGUGUGUGAUUUCUUGCUUCUCUGUUUUUGUGCUUUGUGCAGGGCUGUUAAAACUGAACACGGCCAGUGCAAAGAUUUGAGUGGGCGCCUUGUGGGGAAAAUCUUCCCCGUCACAACACGCCGGACUUUGUUUGCUAGUCUAUCCAUGUAUUUGGGUUAUCAUCCUUCAAGGUACUUCUCAGGUUCGCACAUUUCAGCUUUCUUAAUUGGUUUACUACAAAUAUCAAGUUUUCACCAUCUUUUUUUUCUAAAUCAAUAUGAAUAUAUCCAAGUUCAUGUCAAUGAUCAGCAUUUCUCAUUUGUCAUCUUGAUGCCUUGAUAUGCAACAUAAUAUGGGCUGGGCUCUUUCAAGUUACAAUAAAUAGCAUUCCUACAGUACCAUGAGAUAGAGAUUUAUUGGUUGAGCUGUGGAGAGAUGUACAAUCUUGGAGGACACCAUUUGCAUUGUCAUCAAAAACAAAAUGAAGUCUUUCUGGGCAUUUAUUUGUAAAACUUUACGUUGACUUCUGAUCCUGUUUGGAUGUUGGUUUGUAAUGAAGCAUAUGCAUUGGGGGAUCCAUCAGUGACAGUUGAACAAGUGACACCACCUGUUUUUCCUUCUGGGCCACUUUUUCCUUCCGAGGUCUAUUUCAGUUUGUGUUAAAUUUUCUCUGUGCCAAUUCCUUGGGGAAUUCUUGAAAUUUAUUCUUUGUAGAUUGGAUAUUCUCAUGACAGGUGGUGAAAUUGAUAUUUGUACUUGGCAGGAAAGAAUUGUGCAACUCUUUGAGAAGAAUACUUAUUCAGUGGUCAACAUCUUUGACGUAACUCUUCGUCCUCAACUUAAUUUGUCUGGUGUGGUUGAGGUAUUCCUCUUGAUUCUCUUAGAAUUCUUUCUUUCUUCUUCUUCUUUUUGUUUUUUUUUUAAUUCUCUCUAAGUGACGCAGCAUCCAUAAACCGUGCAAUUUCCUUCAUUCUUCAAUUUAUAUUCUUUUGUUAACUUACUAAUAGCUGAACCCUAUAGCACUGCUUUUUAAUGCCAGGUCCCUGAGGGAAAUGGUUCUGGCAUUGUUUGGGAUGGACUGGGGCACAUUGUCACUAACUAUCAUGGUAAGUGCUUGUGAUGGUCUCUGUCUCUGUUUGUUUGAGAGGUGGUUGGCUGUGCAUGCCAUGUGUGUCUCCAUGUUUUUGUAUGGUGAGCCAAUUGAUCCUUUGCCAUGUUGCCCGUUUGGAAAAGAUCUUUUUCCUAAAUCACCUUUUUCCUAGGUAUGAUUGUGCAUGCACUUAUUUGCUGGAAGGCAUUGCAUAUAAUCUGUCUUUUUGUAGGUGUCUCUUGUAAUUAAAGUUGCUUUACCAGGUUACUCUUCAUAGUUGCAGUUUAUCCCUGCAAAACAACUAAGUUUACGAGAGAUGCCAUGAAAGUGAUAAUAACUCCUGCAUUGUGGAUCAGUGCGUAGGGUAUCAUUCAUCUGUGUUCAUCAUACAUAAUUAAUACGGGAAAAGUGUUGCUGUUGAACAAUUUCUUUUGGAUUCUUAGUGGAGGAUGGAAAUCCAAGUAACUUGCCCUUUCUUGGCAGUGAUUGGCAAUUCUCUUUCAAGAAACCCAAGCCGAGGACAAGUUGUUGCACGAGUCAAUAUUCUUGCUUCAGAAGGGUAAGCAAAACAGUUUAGAUAUUACUGUCAAGUGGAUUGCAUUUUUACUUAACUUCAUCCUGUUUCUCUAAUGUUUCCUUUUCUUUUCAAAAGAGUGCAAAAGAACUUUGAGGGCAGGCUGAUUGGUGCAGACCGAGCAAAGGAUCUUGCUGUAUUAAAGGUAAAAUCCUUCUAAAAAAUGUGACAUAUAGAAUACGAUGGCACAGGUAAUGCUCAAUGUACAAAGAUAUUUUUAGAUAGACCUGCUGCCUAUUAGAAGUAAUUAACUCCCACUUCACAGUACUUUAACAACCAGGAGAGCUGUCUUGUCCAUUUCUGUGAGUGCCAGUGACUGAUUUGUCUCUUUAUCAGUCUACCGCAGAAAAAUAUCUGAUAUUCUCCAGUUUUAAUGUCUGAUUGAGUUCCAGUAGUUAAUCUUAAUCUUCAGAAAAUUAGAAAAUUGUGUCUGGUAAUUUGUGAUGUCUGUAGCCUCUAAAUUAUCAACUAGAUUAGUUAAAAACCUACAUAUCUUGAUUUGCUUAUGUUUUCCGCAAAUCUCAAGUUCUGUUUAACUCUUUACACUUUCAUAUAAUUAGGUGGAAGCAUCUGCAGAUCUGUUGAGGCCAAUCAAGGUGGGGCCUUCAUCUUCUUUAAAAGUUGGCCAACAGUGUUUAGCCAUUGGAAAUCCAUUUGGUUUUGAUCAUACACUUACAGUUGGGGUCAUCAGUGGUCUAAAUCGAGAUAUAUUUAGUCAAACUGGAGUUACUAUUGGUGAUGGAAUCCAGACUGACGCUGCCAUCAAUCCUGGAAACAGGUCCUAGUUAUCAGUUCAUUCAAUAUGCUAAUACUAAAUAAGUGAACUGGCAUUGAGUCUAGAGUUGUUGUUUUUCAUUGUUGCAGUGGAGGUCCUCUGUUGGAUUCAAAAGGAAGUUUAAUUGGGAUUAACACGGCAAUAUUUACUCAGACAGGCAUAUUUCUCCUUAGCAGUUUGAAUUCUGCAUUUAGUUAUUUGUUUAUUUAUUUGGUUGAUCGAGGGGAACAAUACUUUUUAUUGUUGCCUCCUUGAAUGACUUGGAAAAUGCUGAAAACAAUAUUGUGUCUUCAGUGCAAUUUGAAAUGACUUGUCAAACGUAUCAACGUUCAACUUGUUUAUGGACAGGGACAUCUGCUGGUGUUGGGUUUGCAAUCCCAGCAUCUACUGUGUCGAAGAUAGUGCCUCAGCUUAUUCAACGUGGCAAAGUAUACAUUAUUGUUCUUCCACUUUAUGCUUUAUACUGCAAUCUACUUCAUGAGAAUCUAGUUUCCUUUCGUUUGUUUCAUGACUCUUCUAAUUGUUUGCUGGAACUCUUAAGCUCCACUGACGAGCCUUUGGGUCCACUGUCUUCAGAAAGAAAAAGAAGUGGAGAGAAAGUGAAAAGAGGUUUUAAAUUUGUUUUCCUCAAGUUGCAUCUGGAAUGAAAGAGAAAAGAGACUGUUAAAAAUUUAAUCUGAAGAUACUCAGUAUGACAAUUGGGAGGGACAAGAUUUUUUUCUUCAGGACCUAACAAAUUGAAUUGAAAAUGUGAAAAUAGAAAGUUGAUUCUCUUGGUCUUCGUAUUUUGAAUAACUCUCUCUCUCUCCUCCCCCAAGAAUCAUUAUCAACUUCAGAUUGAUAUCUUUAUUUUAAGUGUGCAUUGAGAAAAAACAAUUAAUAGCUGUGCAAAGAAUAUAUAAAUUCUAGUUCAACGUUUCUCUGUGGAACAUGCCAGGUUGUUCGAGCUGGUUUAAAUAUUGAAUUUGCUCCAGACCCAGUUGCAAAUCAACUCAAUGUUCGAAAUGGAGCUCUGAUUUUGCAGGUGUGUCCGCGUGUGUGUGUGUAUUGCUGACAGCAUUAUGACAAUGUUUUUUUUUUUUUCAUUUAUUGUUUGUAAAAUCACUUGUAUUUAGAUUCAUUCACCUUUUUAUGCUUUAGGUACCUCAAAAUAGUCUUGCCGCCAAGGCAGGUCUUGUAUCCACAUCGAGAGGCUUUGCUGGCAACAUCAUUCUUGGUGAUAUAAUUGUGGCGGUGGACAAAAAACCUGUGAGUAUCUGUUUGAUUUUCUAUGGCCUAUUAUGAUUGUUGUCAGCAAACAUCAUUCUCUGUGAUAUAAUUGUGGUGGUGGACAGAAAACCUUUGAGCUCUUUCUUCAAUGUUGCUCCCUACUACUAGAAAUGUUGUUAGUGCAGUUAAGAUAAGUGAGGCUAGAAUUGAGCAUUGAAAAAGCUCAAUUCUAUUAGAAAAAUGUUGCUCGCUACUACUAUUUAGAGCAAGUUCAAUUUUCUGGAGUUGUGUUUUUGUGAAAUAGAAGCACAAAUUCAAGGAAAGGAAGAUGCUUGCAUUCAAGCAUGAAAUCAGUGCUGUAGCAAAAUAUAUGUAAGGUGAUCCUUAACAAUAACAGUUAUCUGAGAUUGCAUCAAGUUUAAAAUGCCAAUUAAAGCUGAGAUCCCCUUAAAAUUCCGGUCUUUCCUUUGCACCCUUGUGAUUAAACAAAAGGUUCUGGAAGUACCUAAAUUUAGCUCACUUGCUAUUCUGAGUGCUACUUGUGUCAGUCUUUUUGUUGGGUUGAAAUGAUUGGUGAAGAGAUGUGCAAUUAUGUUACCGACAACACACACAGAAGUCAAAAGGACAUGCUGAAAAACUUGUAAAUUUCUUUUCAAUUUAUCCUUAUGAAUUUUCUCACACGUAUUCAUCCAUUUUCUUAUUGCAGGUUAGGAGUAAGUCAGAGUUAAAUAAAGUGCUUGAUGAUUAUAAUGUCGGAGAUGAAGUUCUCCUGCAAAUACGAAGAGGCAGUGAGACUGUGGAGUUGCCUCUAGUUCUAGAGGAGACGGCUUGAUGCAAAGCUGUGACUUCCAAGUUUUCCAGUACGUAGAGAUCGAUAUAACUUAUAUUUGCUCCUGUUGAUUCAACCAUUGAUGAUAAAGGAUCCAUAGCGGAUUGAACAAAAGAAACAUGUAUUUUCGUUUUUGCAAGGGGAAUGGAAUCCAUACAUGGUUGUUUAACGUAGCGACACUUGCAAGUGUAAAUGAGUAAUUAUAUAUAUAUUUCUCCGGUUAUCGACUUCUAGCUGGUUCAUCUUUCACUUUCUUUUCUGUCCACUUCGUAGCAAAGAGUUGCGAUAUAUUUGGCAGUCGUCGGUCAGGAAAAUUUUAUGGUUGGCAAGUGCUAAUGUAUUUUGAAAACUUCCGUUAAGACUGGCUGUAAAACUAAGCCAAGCCCAUUAAUCAUUUAUUCGAAAUUCAGUUCCAAACAAAAGUCUCUCUAGAAGUUGCAAAAUUUUUGGGCAGUUUUCCUUCGGGAAAACUGAUCAACUAACUUUACUUUUGUAUCACAUACAGAAGUUCGCCAAUCGAACAAGUACUUUCAUAUGUUUCGUCAAAAUCUCAUCAGUACCAGUACUGAGUAGUUUAUCAUCGGGCUGCUAAGUGCUAGGGCUUUAGAUUUACUUUCUAGGCAACUUUCAAUAAUUUCUUUGUGACAACAGACGAAAGAUGAUAUGCGGUUGAAAUUGAUCUCAAGUAUUGCGAGAAACUGCCCAGUUCUAUCGCGCAUAUAUAUAUAUAUAUGUAUAUAUUUGUGGAUUGCCUGGCGUAGCAACCUGAGAUUGCUCGGCAUUGGUCGCUCAAGUCCUAACUGAGAAUGUUCACAACUACAAUGAUAUUAAACAAAACGUUCUCCCUGUUUCUGCAUACUUCAUCCAUGAAAAAGACAGGGUUUCUUGGACUGUCAGGCCAUCGUAAUAAUUACAGGUUUCAUUUUAAUUAAACAACAAAAGUUCCCAGUGUCUAGGGAUCCACAGGAUGGGAACUGCAAAAAAUUCGUGUACCAUAAGUCCACAAUAAGAUGGAAUGUUCCGCGAGGGAUGUAAGGUCACUUUGCAGCUUCCCAUGUAGACGAAUGUGAAUAGGAAUUAUGGUACCGGGAUGCUGCCGAGGUUAACGUCAAUAGGUGCUUCCUACUUCUUUGUACAAUUGUUUUAUAAUGAAUUUUUUUUUUAAUCUAAAUUGGCUUAAAUCUUUUUUGGCGUUAGUCUCUGGUGGUGACUUUAAUGGGGCAAGAGAUGACAAAAUACCAUAACAAUGUUAAAAUAUACCACCAUCUUCUGUGUGUCACUUUAACGCCUGAACAGUUCAUAAUAAUCUUGACAAAAGAGUUUUCAUCAUCUAUUAAAAAAACAAACAAAAAGAAAAACAAUAGGGAAGAUAGAAGGGUGAGCUUUUCAAUUCAUAUCACAUUCGGUCCUAAGUACCUCACUUCAAUUGGCGAGAUGGUACUGCUGUGCUGUGUGGAAGCUUAGCUCAUUAUCAAAUCAAGCAAAUCCUUCGAUCCAUCGCAAUUAGACUAAAAAUCUGCGUGCUUGUAGAAGCAAGUUUGAAGUCGAGAUCUUCUUAAUUUUCUCGAGAUUAUACUAUGUUUCAUUAAGGUCUCGACAUGCAUGUUUUGCUAAUUACUACUGCUAGUUAUCAGACAGUAUCUCGUUAUCUUAGUUAAUAGCAUCCUUGUGAGAAUUAUUAGUUGCUAAGUACUAUUUCUUGUAGUGGUUUUGUCUCCGAGAUUCCAUCAUUCGGGUAAUGGUAUCUGUGUUGACGUUAAUGGGUUCCCAGCUACUUUCAACCGCAUGCAAGCGAAUCAAUAUAUGUAUAUGUGUGUGUGUGUUGCAGACCACCUGCAUGGACAUUUGUUUGCAUGACAGUAUGGGGUCUCGAUAAAAUGAGACCACCCAUACACAAUAACAAAAAAUAUGUUAGACUGCUCAAGCACCAUAAGAUUGAUCAUUAAGUGGGGAUUUUCUUUAAUGCUUAAUUAGCCUACCAUCAUUUUGUUGUCAAGCUAGGGUUGAUCAGCUCCUUAUUGUCGUUUUGGAAUGCCUUAAUCACUGAGCAAAGGAUCUGAAGUUUCACGUUCAAACAGACACGGACAUUAACUAUAUCUUUAGGGGCGUAGUUGACAACAAAACUGCUAUCUUCAUCAGGACUUGCAUUUUUUUUUUAUCUCUGUCUUUUCUGAUAUAGUAAUACCAACAAAUCAUUUAAUUAUCACAUGUUGCAUUCAUGCGUUUUACUCUUUAUCUUUUAGAUGGGAACUAAAAUUUUGAAUCAGCUUCUGCUAUGAUGGGAAUGUGCGAAAUCUCUAAUUAAAGAAGCCAUUAAAGUCACAGUCUUUCCCAGAAGAUAAGGUUUUUGAAUGGUAAAUUAACACGUAAGUUUGAUAUUAUGGUUGCUUUUAAGAGAUUAUGAUGAAGGUUCAUAAACAGAAUACUUCCGAAGAGCUUUUUAUAAAAGGAGAAACCAAAGUGGUUUGCUAGUGUAACAACAUGUUUCUCUGAUUCAACGCGUAUGGAAGACACUGAGCAGCAGGUCUCUAGUUAAAUUGGGAUGCCCAUUGCUUACAAAUUGUUCAUCUCUUAUUAUAUAUUCUUAGCACGAGUUAUUGAGCCAGGAGAAGCUUUUACAGUUUUUUUUUUUUUCAACUAUCCCAAAUUCGUAGUGGGGUAUAAAAUCAUUGAAGAGAGGAAUAUCUAAGCGAGAGAUUUCGUUUUGAAUCCUAGAAGAAAACUAUUACUAGAUAAACGCAGCUUUCGAAGAGCUAGUGAUUAUGCAAUAUGUAUAAAUCUUGAAGACGUGGUGAUUUUUUUCACCACAAUCAGUUCAGACAAGAACCAAGAAUCUUCAUUAAAUACAUACAAGAAUGCUACCUUAAGCAAGGAUUAAUCUGUAAUCCCAGAAUAUUAUACAAGAAAGCUACCUUAAGAAAUUGAAAGAAUUCUAGGAUACCCUGGAGACCUCUUACAGCCAAGCCUGCGGGUAACUAUUUUAAUCACAGCCAACAUCGUUGAUGUGGUUAUAUGGUUCAUUUUUCCUUUCACCAGGUCAUAUUAGUUAAAGCUUUCUGCUUUGUCUACCAUCAAAGAGUCUCUCUCACUAAUACAUACAUGAUGGAAAAGACCUAAAACGCAAAAAAAAAAAAAAAAAAAACAUAAAUUUACAUUAGGGAAAAUAAUAUGGUAACCAAUUCCAUACUAGGUAGUGUUCGAGAAAUUUCAAGACUCUAUGUUUUUGUGGUUGCAAGGAUUAAAGUGUACUCAAAUUCCGGACUCGUAGAGGUAGAACUGAUUUCCUUUGUUGGCUUCCGGUUGAGGUCCUGCUGGUUGAUACUCGCAGGUGCAUUACGCAAUGGCCAUAAUUAGCAGAACCUCUUACAGUUCCUAGACUUUUAACAAUCCAACAAGCAAGUCGCCUUCAUAAAAUUUAAUCAAUUAUAUCGUGUAUAUUGUUCUUAUCCGAGUCACCAUUUGAGAACGAUAAGAGAUGCUCUCCAAUCCAAGAACAUUGGUGCAUGGGACAAUAAUCAAAGACAAAACAUAAAAGAAAAUACUGCUCACUAAAACUAUCUAAUGCAGGCUGCAAUCAUAUUUCCCCUUUGCGCACCUAAGCGUCCCUGACGAGUUACCAACAGGCUUGCAAACCCACUUAAAUUACCAGCGGGUUUCACAAUACUCGGCCAUUUGAUAGUCAAAUGUUUAAUAAUUUCUCGACGAAUCUGAUCACAUAUCCACACUGAAGGUGACGUUUUCAUAUGGGGCAGAAGGGAAUGAAGAAACAGAAAGUUCUGAGAAGAACGGAACAAAAACCGACUGAUUUUGAUCCGACAAUCCUGACAUGAUAAUUUAACUGUGAGGGUUUCGCAGGAAUUUCCACAGAGGAUCUGCGUAGAUGAUUAAUAGUGAUACUCAGCUAUUAAAGAUGUGAUUAAUUUUAUCAGUAUACGGCUAUCCAAAAAACUAUUCAAGCAAACAGGAUAUUAAAGUCCUUAAAACAAAUGAUGUAAGAAUGUUGCUUUGUCCUUUUGUCUUGAUGGGGGGGGCAAAAAUAAAAUAAAAUAAAAUUUAUAUGCAGAAGAAGCAUCCAAUGGAAGAGCACGUCAAGUGUGAAAGCAGAUUUCCACACACAUUUCAUCAUCUUGUAGUCUUUUUGGGAUCGUUAAUUUGGAUUUAAACGGACCCCCCCUGCGUUCAAAAAGGGGGGAGAGCUUCUUUGAAAGUCCAUCAACUUGACUUUGGGUUUUUCUCCUCUACAACUACCCAAAAAAAGGCGGCCGAAGCUUCGGAGGCAGAACCACUUCUCAGGAAGCACACAAUGGCUUCGAACCAACUGUCCCAUGCAAAUGACUUGUAUGAUGCACAUACUUAACUGAGACUUCUACGGCCUCAAUAUUGGUUCAACUAUCUUGAACACGGACCAUAUUAAAACUCAAUCCCCAGUUUGUCCAACGUUUUUUCAGUCCUCUUUUAAGUUUUCCGUUUAGGUGACGAGAUCAAGGAAAGGAGAAACAGAAGCAUGGACGACAAGGGCGAUGGAGAUAAGAUCGAUGAUGUUAUGUUGCCUGGUUUUCGAUUUCAUCCCACGGAUGAGGAGCUUGUUGGAUUCUAUCUGAAGCGAAAGAUUCAGCAGAGAUCACUUCCCAUUGAACUGAUUAAGCAAGUGGAUAUCUACAAAUAUGAUCCAUGGGAUCUUCCAAGUAAGAUGAACUCUCUGGCCAUCACGGUUCCUUCAAAGUCCAAUUAAUCUUCUCCUUGUUUCUAUCACCUUGAAUUCUUUAAUGAACACGGAAAAUAACUCCUUUGUCCUCGUUCGUCUUAUUCAAUUCCACACUUGAAAGUGAUAUUCUUUUCGUUCCUUUCAUGUUAUUAUAUCCUAUUUCUUGCAAUCAUGAAUAAGGUCUUACAGUUACAAUCUACAGCUACAAAUCCCUAUUCUUAUCAACCUGCCAUCCAGUUCUCUGAGAGCAAACUUCUCCGAGUCGCUACUGCGUGUCACAGAAAAUGAUAUUUUGCUCACAAAUCCUCUUGCAUUUUUCAUCUCACAGAAAUAUUACAAAUAUCUCGAUCGCUACAACCCAACUUCCAUUUUCAAAAGCUAAUAUGAUGUGUAUUGCAAUGAGUUACCCAUUAAACUACUUUUCCUCUCAAAUUUGCAACAGAGCUGGCAUCAAGUGGGGAGAAGGAGUGGUACUUCUACUGCCCAAGAGAUCGGAAAUAUAGGAAUAGUGCUCGGCCCAACCGUGUCACAGGAGCUGGAUUUUGGAAAGCCACAGGGACUGAUAGGCCAAUAUACUCUUCGGAUGGCACCAAAUGCAUCGGCUUGAAAAAGUCCCUAGUCUUCUACAGGGGCAGAGCUGCCAAAGGAAUAAAAACUGAUUGGAUGAUGCAUGAGUUUCGACUUCCUACUACUUCGGAAUCAGCACCGCCCAAGAAGCUCGCAGACAAAAACCUUUCUCUGCAUGUAAGCUCACUUCAAUUUUCAUGUUCCAACUUGUCCUUCAAAACCCACUUAGAGUCAUAGUUGCUGUGCAAGUGAUACUCCGCUAAAUUCCCACUUUCUCCUUGAAUCUGCAGGACUCAUGGGCCAUUUGCAGGAUAUUCAAGAAAACUAGCUCGCUCGCUCAUAGAGCUCUUUCUCACACCUGGAUGGCCCCAGUAUCUGAAACAUCCCCAGACAUUUUCCCACAAGGUGCACAAUAUGCUCAGUAUGGUUCAGAGAAUUUAUCUUGUGCUACAGAAAGUGGAUCAACCAUGCAGCUCUACACUAACAAUGACUUACAAUCGGCUUCUACCGCCAUAUUCUCUGCCCUAAACAUCCCUUCGUGCAAACCCCUAAAUGGACUGCUUUCUAAACCAUCUUUUUUGGCUGGUCCAAAUGGGGAUAUCCCCUGUAACUUUAUGUUUCCACCUUCGGAAAUAUCAGGACCACCAAACAAGUGUUCGCUUGAUGUUCCUUCAAUGCUUUUCAACCUUUCCCCUACAUUCCUGGGGGAUGUCAAUAAGACCUCAGAAAGCAUCGAAUUUGAAGGAUCUCAACACCAUUUCAACAGCUUUUCUAUGAACCCAUCACCAGAUAUGCAAGAAGGUAUAAGCAUUGAAAACGAUGAAGGAGGGCUCAGAAAAGAUCCAAGGGACGGUGAUGCAAGUAAUCAAUGGGAAAACAUGAGAGCAAUUGGUUUCCCUUUCAGUUUGCCUUCAACUCUACCCGAUGUAUGGAAGCCUAAUCUGCCAUGGGACUCUUCAAACUGUCCUAGUGAAAUAUCCACUACCUACUCCGCAAACAAGUGUUAUACAUAAUCCUGCCUUGUUGAUAAAGAGAAACUAUUUUACCUUAUAAUGUAUUAAUCCAAUCCCCUACCAUAGAAAAUUUUUUCUUUUCCCUUUCUUGUAAUUAUGUCUGUAUUCCAAACUACUGUACAGGCUUCAGCUAUCUCCUCUGUCUAUAAAUUUGAAAAGACGCUACCUUUAUGCUGUAGCUUCAUUAGCUUUAUUUUUAGUUUACAAUUAAAUUUAGUACGGGUCCAUUUUGUUGUGCUCUUAUACUGUCAUUGAUGCAAACUGUAGAAAGUAAGCAAAUUACUGAACCUUGCAACCGCGACUCUCAUCUCAAUCACUUCCAUCGAUAAUUACUCGAUGAUUACGCCUGUUUCUAAACAAAUCAAGAAAUAUGAUGGCCGUUAGAAUUCUGCACAAGGGGUCGUCAAGGUCUCGAAACUAGUUUAAGAAGAACGUUUAAAAAGGUUAACGGUGAAUGAGGUAUCAAACACAUAACACAGCAACGUAUCUUAAAGGGGUCGGGGGAAGCAGGGCAUCUGACCGACUACCAAACAUAAAUAAAGGUUCAGAGCAAUAUGCAGUUAGCCAACUAACGAAUUACUUUAUAAGUUGGUGAAAUAUUGCUUUCUUUUUCUGGUUAUGUAGUAAAUCAAGUAGUAGUAAAUGACACUCAGGCACCUUAUACAGAUAGGGCUUCGGGUCCUCUCUGACAUACGUGAGAGUUACAUCUCUAUUACACACUCAAGUUAUAAAACAAGUAUACUACUAUAGGAGUAUCAUUUAAUUCUAAUUGUGUCGUCACCGAGUUGAUGUCAACUAUGACCAAAUGAUCCUUCUGAAAAAGUCGCAUUAUGCUCUUCAACUUCAAUUUAUGAUUAGUAGCAUCUCAUCAUGAAGUCCAAAGUGUUUUCUACCUGAUCCUCUUUUCAUUUUGGCUGACCACUUCAGCAAAUUAAAGUUAGACAGUAGAAAAAGUGCAAAACUCACGAUCAAUUAAGACAGUUUCCGGUUAUUCACCAACGCUAUGUUGAGUGUAUUUUGCAAGUCCAGCACUUCUCAGAAAUUCAAGAUGGGCGAGUUGGUCUCAGAGCCGGGAUUUGGCCUUUUUCCACGGGUAGAAAGUGUUGAAAGGUCAAACCCCCCUAUUGUGGGUCUAACUCUAAACAGGUGGCUCACCAUAAUAAAGCCAAAUCCUCCCGUUUUAUCUAAACAGACGGUCGAAGACAUUUUUUGUGUUGUCGCACACCAACAGCCAUAAGUCAAGAUGGCCGAGUUGGUCUAAGGCGCCAGUUUCAGGUACUGGUCCGAAAGGGCAUGGGUUCGAAUCCCAUUCUUGACACAGAAUUUACUUUUGGUUCAAAAUCUUGACAUAAAAUCCACUUUUGGGUUUAAUAACAUCUACUAUUAAUCCGCAGACACCAUUAGCGGACUCAAAGCCCCUAGCAUUUGAGUAGGCCUGUCAAUCGGGCCAUAUGAGCCAAACUUUCACAAGUUCAGGCUCAUUUCAUUUAAUUUAUAAUAUUUUUGGGUUUCGGGCCAUUAGUUUCGGAUUAAUAAAUGUGAAGAACAUACUCAACUCAUAAAAUAUUCUGAUUUUAAGCCUUAUUUGGGUUUAAUUCAAACUCACUUAUUACUCCUCAAUUUUCUUAAUAUAAUUACUAUAAUUAUUAAGUUGUGAAAUUAAUUUAAAAUUUGCAGGACUACAACAUUAAAAUUAGAUAUGAACGAGUAAUAGUUCUUAAAAAGUACAUAAAUCAAAAAAUUUUCAACAAUAUUUAUAUCUAGUUUGUUCAAAAUACAUGAAAAAAUAGUAAUAAAACAUGUGAUCAUAAGUCAAUACAUCUUCAAAGGUUGGAAUUUCUUCAUAACCUUGUAAUUAAAAUCCAAACAUGCUUGAUGAUUUGUAUUUUUGGAGCAAAAAGAAAUCAACCAAUAUUAUACCAACAUAAAAAUUUACUCAACCAAUCAGAAAAGUUAAGAGUUUCAGUUAAGCAUUACCAAUAUUGACUCAAGAAAGUUAGUAGAGGAGUUUUCAGACGUGUUUUUAUGUUUUGUAAUUUAUAUAUAUUUAGUAUUUAGUAAUAAUAUAUUUGAAUAUAUAAUUAUAUAUAAUAUCAAAAUAUAAAUAUUAUAUAUACAUAUAUCAUUAUGUAUAAGUAAUUAAAGGAUCGGGCCUAUAUCAAAUUUGAAUCUAAUGACGUCCAAACUCAACUCAUAUUUAAUUCGAACUAAUUUUUUAAGUCCAAACUCAGACUGACUUACUGAAAUAUCGGCUCAUCAAACUCAUUCUCGGACCAAACGAGCCAAACUCAAGUUGGACCAAACGAGCCAAACUCAAGUUGGACCAAACGAGCCAAACUCAAGUUGGCCCACUGACUUACUGAAAUAUCGGCUCAUCAAACUUUUUCUCGAAUCAAACGAGCCAAACUCAAGUUGGCCCAGCCUCAUUGACAGUCUUACAUUUGAGCCUUAUUUAGCAGCUAAAUCACGUGAAAUGUAUUUAAUUGAAAUGGCGGAUCAGAAAGAAUACUAGAUGGGAUUAUGUCGAUUGUUCUAUUUACAUACGUUCGGACAAGCGGGAGCCCAAAAUUGAGUGUGUUCCCAGGAGUCGGAAUAAUUUGUGAUCACCAGAAUGGUUCCCCGAGUACUCAAGCAUCUUCUAGCCAGACUUAGUUUUCGCAAAACAAACUUCGGAGACAUCAGACAAAUAGACACCACAAGAUUCUUGAAUAAAUUGUACUUCGGAAGCAUGAAACAAAAGUUGAAGAAGCAUUUGUUCAAACUAUUCCAUUACCGAUCAUUGAACAUUUCUUCAUCGUCAUCACAAAAGAUAAAACUUUGAAACAUAUCAUAAAUUUUUCUUAAACAAAACAACUGCGGCUAAAUAGUUGUUCCAUUUCAACUCUUCGAAGCUAGCUUUUCUUUUGCCUUUUGAAUUUUCAGAACCUUUUUCACAAUCUUUUGCUCUUCAACCAAGAAAGCACGGAUAAUCCUACAAGGAGAAGAGGGGUGAAUCAGAUUAGUUACUUGUACAACCAUUCUGAAGAAAUAGGAGUAUAUAAUAACAUGUCCAUAACAGACCUCUCCCUGACAGCACUUCCAGACAAUACACCACCAUAAGCACGAUUAACUGUCCUACGGUUCCUGGACAAUCUGGACCUCUUGUAUUCAGCAGGUCUUAAGUGAGGAAUCUACAAGAGUACAGCGAAAUAGAUACAAUUAACCAACCGCAGUCUGACAUUAUCAAUGACAUUGUUUCACAAGAGAAACAUGAAAAAUGCCCUAGAUUCUUUGCAUGAUUACACUACCACCAGGAGCAACGCGGUAACAUGAAACACACAAACAAUGAAUGUCAAAAGCUAUCUAAUACAGAGUAAUCAAAUAUAACUGGAUUUGCAUCAUACCAUGGAGAGUCUUAGAAUGUCAAUUGCAGUAGUUCUUCACGGAUUGUUCAGAUAAAAUGAAAGCUAGAUUCCAUGUCUUAUUGAAUCUUCAGUUGUAGGAUAAUAAGCUGAAUAAUAUCCAAUUUUUCACACGAAAUCUCAUACAUUUUAUACACUUCGAAAAAUCGUUAAACUCAACAACUUAAGAUCAAACUGAUACAGCAUGCAUGAUACCAGAUUCAUUUUAAGCUUUUAUCACUCUUCCUAAAUGCACGCAUGUGAAAGUAAAAAUGAUUUAAAUAACCCAAUCAGUACAAUGUCUAACAACAGUAAAUACCACUUUAAAAUACAUUAGAACAAUACCCAACACAUCAAAAACUGAACCUAGAAAUUAGAACAGAUAUGUCAAUAAAGACAACAAAUAUAUUUUCAGCAAUAGGUCUUGACAAAUAUAAUGCAGAAGUAAUAAAUGGAUAUAACUCAAAUUUGCAUCUGGAAAUUACCAUUUCAGCACAGGCUAUUUAAAUUUAUGAAGGACUUAGUCUUGUAUUGAGAUUUAUACAUGUCUUGGUUUUGUCCAAACCAAACGAGGUUUACAAGUAGCACACUAGCUAUAAUUAUCUUCAACUUCUUGAGGAUGUUUUUAACUACAAGGCUCGUAUUGAUCUGCCUUAAGAGUGAUUUGUGGUAAAUAAUCUUUCUGCAACUUAAGGAGUGAUUUUAAUUUUUUUUUUAUGCAAAGUAACUCUAUCACAACUGUGGCUCAACCAAUUAAAGGUUCACAAAACAAAUAUAUUAAGAGCUGGAGAAACAUAAGGCCCAAUCAUAAUUUAGUACCAUUCAGGUUAACCAUACUGAUUCACAAAUCCGCAACCCCCUUCAAAAAAAAAAAAGAUAUCUGUGCAAUAAACCUUUCACUAGCUUGAAAUAAUCAUCUCUCAUAACAUGAGAUUAUUUCCAACACUUCUUAGCCAGACGGUCAAUGUCAAACCCCCAGCCCAACUAACAGAAUCAGGUUUAUAAUUCAAACACGACCACAAAAGAUAAGAGGUGUGCAAAGGCACAUUAUGGGACCAGAAGCAUAACUGUGACCGACCACGUUUUAACCCGCGCAAACAGAAAAACAUGGAAAUCAAAGGAAGAAGGGAAGAGAAUGGCGUACCCCUUGGAUUCUUUUCCCAGUAACUGGACAUUUAGGACCACUGGCUCUCUUCUUGGUGCUCUGAUACACAAGCCUCCCCCCUAAAUUCCCAUUCAUAUACAACUCACAUUAGCUGACACACUCCAUUAUUAACAAAAUCAAGAAAUUAUAAGUUGCCACAUAUUGCAGUCAACAAAAACAAAUAACUUCGGAUCUAAAUAACCCCAAUCUACGUCAAAAGCUAAAGACACUCCCCAAUCUAGUACUCCAAAUCAGUAGGGACCCAGGCAAAACCAAGCGUAUCACUCUAUCAGUAUCACCAAUUCUAUACCUAAAUCAGUAGGUUAACGGCUAACAUACCAAAAUUAAAUUAAAAAUAAAGACAACCGAUAACCCAAAAAAAACGAACGAAAUGCUAUUAAGAAUUGAAGCUAGGGUUUUGGAACAGGAAGAGACAUGAGAGAACCAAUACCAGGGGUUUUGACGACCCUGUGUUGGUUGGAUUUAGUGGCAUAACUAUGCCGUUUUCGAUACGUAAGCCUCUGCGCCAUCUCCUUCAAUCCACCAGCUCCACCUCUCUCUGUCUUCCUCUCUCGGAGUGUAAGUAGAACAAUGAAUGAGAAAACGAAAAGAAAUUGAGGAAAUGCAAGAUAUGGUAUUUAUAUGGACUUUCUCCCACAGCAAAACCCUACAUCCAACGGCUGUACGGAAGCCACGCUCUCAAUGACUCACUAAUUCGGGGCUAAUUCACUUUACGCCCCUAUAAACUCAUAUAUUCAACAAUUUAGACCUUCUAUUCUGAGUAUUUUAAAUGAACCCAAACCCAACUCCAGGAUUGGAGGCCUUGCAGUUGCGGUUGCACUUGCAAUUACCGAGGGAGGUUUUUGGUUGCUCAAUUUGGGUCAUGUGCAAUUGAUCUUGCAUUUCUUUGUAUAAAAAUUUUUUAGGUUUUCGUAAGGAUAUUGAGUGUGUUUAGAUAAUAGAAUAUUUGAGAUUAUUUUUUAUAAAAAAUAUUAUAGCACUUUUUUGAUGUGAUGCAUGUGAAAUAAAAAGAUGAUUGAAAAAUGUGUUAAUAAUACAAGUAAAUAAAUUUUUUCUAAUAAACCACUGUUCUUUUUUUUACAUUUUCAAUUACCAAUUUUCCUCACAUACAUGAUACAUCACAUAUUACAAAAAAAAAUAAAGUGCUAUAGUAAUUUUUCUCUAAAAACUCUCCAAAAAGUACCAUCCAAAUUGGCUCUUAAAUUUUGAAAACAAUAUAUUUGAAUUUCACAGCUGACAGUUUAGAUUAGAGUCACAUUCGUUUAAACCUACUUAAAUUGUAAAAUUGUUUUUAAUAAGGAGAAAUUAUAUCAAUUGUCUAAUGUGAAAAUUUUGUCCUUCAUAGUCAAAAUAAGCGAUGUUAGUCUCUAACAAAUAAACAAUUAUCAGUUUUGAUCCCUACUCGUCGUUCUAGUCGAAUUUUAGCAAGAAUAUGUCACGGACAUAUUACGUGGUCAAUUUCUAAAGAGAAUUCCUCUUUCCUCCCUCCCAACUCUUUCUGCCACUAACAAAUGUCACGAAAUUUGUGUUUCCAAUUGCCUGGAUUGAAGAGAUCAAAAGGAAAUACAAAGAACUAGCAUUUGCUAGCCAACCCAAAUUUCCAGGUAGACAUCUCGAUUUAGUUGGGUAACGGUGUUAAGACCGAGCAAGCUAGGUUGAAUUUUCGACUCUUGAUUUUAUUGGGAAAAAAUGAAUUAAACCAAAUUUGUUAACAUUAUUGGUUUUUCUUCCCGGCUUUUAGUCGUCCUAAAAGAUGUCUAGCUAAAGAAGGGUACGGUCUCAAUAUUUGUGUUGUUCAAAAAAAAAUUUAUAUAUAUAUAUAUUUGGAGGGAGGUGGGGAUCGGGGAUGGAGUUUCAGGUAACAUUUAUGAUGUCGAAUUUUACAAUAUUGCGGCUUAUAUAACAAUAUUACGCACAAUAUAGAUAACUAGCAUGUGGAUUCGAAUGAUUUGUUGACACAAAAGCACUUAAAAUCAUAAAAAAUUCUUUUUGACAUGAUUAAAUUUUGUAUGCACUGAUGAUGAUUUAUGCACCAUGACAGUUGAAUGUAUGACAAAUAUAUAAAUUUUAAAUUUUAAAUUCAAAUUUGAAUUAAAAUCAAGCAUUCAUAUCUGAAGUAUAUAAAAAAAAAUUAAGUAUUUUUGUUUUGUUCUUUUUUGAAUUUACCUAAUUCGAAUUCAACAGUUGUGUGGUAUAAUUUGUGCAAACCCCAUCAACGCAUGGACCCUCCACUUUUGAGAGCGAUGAGUUCUUUUUGGUGGAUAGAUACUAAAUGAUCAUCCUUUAUCUACGGGUUGCUACGUAUGCAAAGACCCAAUAUACUUUUUGCCCAGCCAUUUGUAUGCAGAAGGGCAUCCAUUUCAUGGAGCCGGCUCCUGGGUCAAUUGCCUUUUUGGGCCGUGUUUAUCGUCUGGGUCAAUUGGCUUUGACUUCUUUUCUUUUGUUUUUUUUUUUAACAGAAACGGUAGAUAAUUGCCUUUGACUGAAUCAGAUUCUUUUUUUUGAAUUAGACUGAAUCAGAUUCUUAAAAAGAUAAUUGACAAGUGAGAAUUACCUUCAAGAUAAGUGUGAUUGAUAUGAAUGAGGAUCGGGACGGUUUCAGAUUGCAAGGGUCUAGGAAGCUUACGGGCUAAGAUUUGACCCAAAAAAAUAAAAGCAUCAAUUUUAACACUAUGUCAAUGUGUGAGGUUGAUCAAAAAGCUGUAUACAUUAAAAAAAAAAAAAAAAGAAGAAGAAGAAGAAGAACUAGCAUUCAAUUGAAUUAAACAUAUUGAAGUGUGUUCGAAUCAUAGAUUCGCCCGAUCAGAAGACCCUCCCUGUUUGAAUUGCUAUUUUUAGGAUUUUUUAUAAAAUAAUGUACUGUAGCGAUUUGACGUGGGUGAGAUAAAAAAAUAAUUAAAAAUAUAUUCAUGAAAAACAUAAAAAAAAUUUUGUUAGUGAAAAAUCACGAUACAAACAAGGCCAUGAUCGGGGAAGAAAAAGAAGGGGUGAGGUUGGUGUGGUGUGUCCCCCCGCCCCUGGGGGCUGGGUUGGUGAGUUUGGAAACGAAAACGGUUUUCUACAAUUUUGCCUACCGUUCGAGUCCCCUCCUGAUUGACACAUUUUCUCGCGCAAGCUUCUAGAUGAGGAAGAUAUUCUGUGCAUGAAGCUUUGCCGAUGUAAUUGUGUCGUUGACUAGGUCUGCAGCAUAACCCCGCAAGGAAGAAUCCCUUGGGCAUUAGUUGGAUGUGAAUGAAGAAGAAUCAGCGGGACUAGGUUGACUUGAGAAAUCAACUUUCACAACUUGCCAGAAAACUUUUUCUGAAGGAACUUGCCAGAAAACUUUAAACCCGAGUCAAAAUAGUAAUGAUUCCAGGCUUGCCAAUACUAACAAUGUGUUAGCCUGCCUGCUAACCAUGACAAUGACAAUGAAAUGAUACUUGGUACCUCCUAUUGAGUAAGUUUCGAGCAAAACCACACGUAUUGAUUUCUGAAAAUUGCACUGUUUCGAUAUCGAAAUACUACCUUCUUGACACAAGGUUUGUUAGAACUAUAUGAACACCUACCUGUUUUAAGAAUCAUGUAUGAAAUUGCUGAAGGAGUACUCAUUGUGUGCUCUUCGUUCUGUAAAGAAGCGUUCAAAUCACAUCUAUAACACUCCACGGUAUCAUCAAAGUUAAGGGAAGAUAAAUGGCAACUUACACGAAAUUAACCGAUAUUGAGUCGAUAGUUUCAAAUUGUACAAAUUAAUAGUCUAUCCGUACUUUCAAAGCUGGAAUUUUUUUCUGAAAUUGUUCGAGUAUCAGUUCUUGACACUUUUUUUUUUUUAGCUGAAGGGGGGGGGGUGUUAUUUUGCGAAUUUGUUGCGUAAUUUGCAUCCACCAGUAGAGUUGGCCAUCUGUGCAACCCAUGUGUGGUUAUAAAGCCCCACGUAAAUUUUCUGAGAGUGUCUCUCUCUCCUCUACAUCAAACAUAAUAAAGCAGCAACUAUUAUCAGCAAGGGAACAGCAGAAAUGAGGGUUCUACCUGUAUUUUCCUACUCUCAAUACUAAUCCUGCUUAAUUUACUGUGACACCAUACUAGUUGCUCAGUUGUUAGUCUUGACAUAUUUAGGACUCUAGCUACUAACUUCAAAUCUACUUGAGAGAAAAAGUAAAGAACAUGAUCUGAUUCAUCUUCUCUGCUCUUGCGAAGUCUCCUCAAAAUGCAAUUUCCACCUCUCACCACGUCUUUAAGCUUCCUCUCCUUCUGCAUCCCCAAGGGGGGGCCAAAAAAAAAAAAGAAGAACCACUUUACUAUCGCAACCUCAUGGAUCAAUUCAUGAAAACAUCCGCUAAGCCACUAAUACUCUUGAGAAUAAAUUCAAUUCAGAAUCCAAAUCAUCUUCUCCAGAAAUUACGAUUUCAAUCCAUGAAGCUGCACUCAUGCAAUUGAAGUAUAGUUAAGAAUGAAUACUUAUUAUUAAACGUAGAUAGAACCUUUUGAAGGAUGUUCUUGAUCUCCAUCAGAAGCUCCAAGUCGCCAGGAUUUUGAAGCGCUGGAGGUGCUCCUUUAUGACCUUUAGACAUUGCGCCGUUGCAAUGUUUAUCAGCUCGAACAAAUCGCCAAAAAAUUCUUAUUGAUUCCUCGAUGAUUUCUACCAUCAUGUCACUCGUGAUGACAUAUUCGGCUCUCUCUCCUCGUCUUCCCUUCCUUAAGUUGUCUUCUGCAGUAUCAGAAUACAUGACAUGCAUGUUGAGUGUGAUGCGAUUACCCAAAUUUUCUCGUAACGACACGUAACAAUGAAACAAAUAAAACAGAGUUCACUGGCCAUUGCAAUCAGCUAUAGCGAUUCUAUAGAUACCUCUGAUUACCGGAACUUGAAGAAGGUUUCGAAGUAAGCACCGACGUUUGACAUAACAUUGAACUCUUGGCCCCUGGAAAUGCUCGUCUUCUACGAAUCUUUGCAAGAGCACUUGAAACUGCUGAAAUUCUCCGGCAACUUCAUUAUACCGAUGAAUCCCACGUGGAUCAGAAUCCCAGAGAUCUAAGGCCUUCCCAUAUUGCCAAUGUAGGAAUUCCCACGAAAGGCACAUCUGUCCAACAUAGACCACUUCCAGAUCACUCUGCAAUUCCUUCACAAACUUUAUCAUUGGCUCAUUCUCACUGCUUUUAUGUUUGAGUUGCCAAAAAUUUUGUGAAAGAAGGGAUUUGAGUAUUGGACCUGAAGUUUUCGGACUUGAGAUUGGUUCAAGCGGAUCUUUCAGCUGGAGAAAACCUGUAAAUCCAAUCCACUGUAUUAGUUAGUUGGUUUUUUUUUUUUUCGGGGGUAAUGCGUAGAAAGGGGAAAAGAACAAAAUCAUAGAUGCUCUGCUCUUCAGUAUUAUUUUAGUUCUAAGAUUUCAUUAGCUAAAAAUUAUUCAUGAAUAUUAAUUACUACAUGGAUUUUCAAUGCUUUACUUACUUUUUAUUUGGACAACAACCCUCACCACCGAAUGACUAGGAAAAUGGGAACAUGAUAUGUCUCUUGCUGCUAAAAAGUAAUAAGACUUUAGAUUCAGGGUCUUAUUGUCGAGGGAGGAAAGGCUUAGACGAAGGCAAAUGAUAUGGUUUGGUUUGGUUCAAGGGACGAUGACAACUUGGGUAAUGCGUUGAGCCACUUCAGUGGUGGUCGAUUACUUAAAGAGCUAGAAAACAAAUGUGUGGUUGGAACAAAUCAGUUUCUUUUUAAAAAAUAACAGAGUAAAUUAUAGUAACUGCGUCUGCGUGCAUGCUUCUCACUCAGUCGAAUGAAUACAUCGUCUAAAUGGGAUGCCUAAAAUUUCAAUUCAAAAGGCAAAUACCAGUUUCUAACUUAAAAAGUGAGGGACAAAAAUGGGUUAGCUCUCCAUGCAUUACUCAAUUCAAUUGUCUAUUGCUUCUUGAACCAAACAUCCGCAGCCCAACCAGAAAAGAGGCCGUCACCAUCUUAUGAGGUGACUUGAAAACAUGGGAAUUCCUUGGCAAAAGGAGGUUUCAGACUACGCCUAUGGCAAAAGGAAAUCACUUUACUUCACAAGGCAUGGAUUGUCAAUUGAACUAGUAGUCAGUAUACGUUUCUUCUACAAGUUAAGGCUUUUUACACCUAAAAAGAAAAGCUGUUUCUGUCAUCUCACUAAUAUGCUUUGCAACUGAGCAAGACCCAUCAGUUUUGCGUUUAUAGGGACCCCAACUAACCUGAUUUUGUGGGUCAUGGUCGGAAUUAUGAGAAAGAUAGCCGGUGGGUAACGUUAUUCAUGAAAAUGAAUUAGCACUAAUUGGCACUCUAUAUAACACCAGCUGUGACUUAUGAUGCUAAUUGGCUGUUGGGCAAUAAUCACAAAGGACCUACGAAAAGCAAGAGGAAUAAAAAUGCAAUUAUGGCCAUGAUGAAUUGUUAUAAAAUCCAGUAAUCUAAGAAACUCUAAAAGAGAAUAGGGUUUUUUUUUUUCUUAAAAAAAAAAAAAGCUCUAAAAUAGAAGAAAAGAUGUCGAAGAAUUUGACUGACCUAUUGCAUACAUCUUCUGGUAAUUGAAGAUAUCAAAUUUCCGCAUCCUCUCCCUGUAACUCUUGUAGAACUUGUGGAGCUGGCCCAUGCAAUCUUCACGCUGGAACUUCUCGUCAAUUUUCCAGGGCUUCAAGUCUUCCGUAAUUUUGGGAAACUCAGAAUCCUCUAGAAUAGUGGGCAGACCAGUCGCCCUGACCUUUCUAAGCUCCAUCUUCAACUGCUCAAUCAAAUCUUGAUGUUCCCACAAUGUCUCCAACUUGUUUGGAUCCUCAAAGUCACACGUAUCCUUGGACGUCGCCUUUUCAGAGUCAUAAGAACCAUUCAAUGGCUUAUCAUCUUGGUCGGCCUCUGCCCCCAUUGAAUCUUCACGAAAAUCAUCCUCGGAUAAAAAUCGCGACGCCACUGCAUCUGGAUUACGUUCCAGAUCCUGUUCAAGUAAUUCUCCCUCUAGCUUCGAAAGUUCGCCCAAUAUGUCACUAUCUUCUUCACCAAAAUCGUCGGAUUCCCCAUCUUUGUCCCCAAAGUCUGCCGUUUCACCGCGUGUGGUUUUGACUUUCUCGCCAUUGACAUCCAUCGAGGCUUCGAGAUCAACAACACUGCUGUAUUCUUGUCCAAAAUCUUCGUCGGACAGAAAGCCAUCGUUGUACGAGUCACUCGUGACUGAAACUUGAUCGGGCUCAGAAUUGAUUGACUCUGAAUGGCCAUCACUUGCGAUCACGCAGUCUCUCUCAGUGUAAUCAAAGCGAAUCUCAUUGCGAAAAUCAUAAUCGCCGGUCUCCUGUGGUAUACAACUGGUGGCCUCAUUUUCCUCAGAUUUUUCUUCAUCACGCGGACCAUCGUCAACUGGCUUCUUCUUUGAUUGCACUUCAAAAGUUUCUGCAGCUUCCACGGUGAAAUGCUUAUGUGAAGCAGCAUCAAUUUCUUCGACGUUAAAGCUCUCGGAGGACAUGAAAAAAUCGGACUUACUAGAACUCGUAGAUGAGACCUGGUCAGAGUUGAAAAGUUCAGCGCUUUCUUUCUUACUGUUACUGAUGUAUUCUUCAAAAGUAGGGAAUCUGAAAGUGAAAGAGGUGUCAAAAUUUUCUCCCUCACAAUCAGCCUCGGAUUCCGUGAACCCAACCUCGUCCGUUUUUGCUUUCUUCUCCGGCUCGAAAUGUGAUCCAGUCUCUAGCUCCUUAAAUCCAACAUCGUUCAACUCCGGCUCCGGCUCUGUUUGGGGCUCUAAUGUAGGCUCUGACGGCACAUGUUUGAAAUCCUUCUGGUCGAUAAUCUCGGCUGAAUUCAUCUCAAAUUUUUGCCUCAAAGGGCUGCCAUUGCCAUGCAACCUGUAAUGGUAUCCAAUACGAAAUCACGUUAAUCGAUGAAAAAACUAUGCGAUAAACAAGCAAGGGGACAAAAGAUCUAGUAUUCCAAUACCUGAAGAGAAAAGGGCUGAUGAAGCUGAACAGAGGAAGCAGAAGUCUGGACACAGAGAAUAGAGAGGAUCCCACUAGGAGAACGAGUUUUUUGUACAGGAAUUGGGUGAAAGCACCCAUGAUCACUGUUCGAAAGAGGACCGCGAUUAAAGGAUGUAAACGCCAGGCCAGUCACCAUGGGCUUUAAAUCAAUCAGUAAAUUCAGUUGGAAGCAAAGAAACCGGGGGAAACAGAGCAGGAGUAGUUCAUGGAACUCAUGGCUCCUUUGAAUAAUUCAAGAGCGGACACGGACUUGAUACCUAUAAACAAGAACCAGAAACCCCGUAUCCCCAAAAAACUUCAACCAUUCCCAUCAAAAUCUGAGUCAGGAGACAUUGAAAUCCGACCUAAUUGGAGAAGUUUCAGGGCUGGUGAGAUUUGAAAGCAAAUAUUCAGGGGGGAAGAUAGUUACCCAUCAGCGACCAGGCCUAGGCGAAAAGGUAAAUAAAUAAUAAAAAAAAAAAAAAGAACACCCGCCGAGGGAGGGAGGUUUGGUUGCUUUGUUAGUGAGUCGUGUGACACCUUCACCAGAGAAACUGCUACAAUUAUGAACGGAUGAUAUUAGCAGCAGGGGAUAUCAUUUAUUUAUGAUGCUCUCAGUCUCAGCAGGAGAAUUGAAGGGAAUAGAAGAUUCUGUUCUAUUCUCUGUAGUUAAUAGCUAUCGGGGAGCGGGGGCAAUGAUAAAUCUGAGAAAGAUGAGAAAAAUGAAAAAGGUGGGUCCAUUAGAAAGUUUACGCCUUUACACUUCCGGAGGGGGGAGGACCCCGGGGAGGGGGGGGGGCGCUUGGUAAAUUAAAAUGUUGAUAUUUUACGUUAAUCUGACAUAAUUGGUUUUUGAGAUUUGUGGUGGGCACCAAGGGCUGGACCGCUUGCCUGGUUUCAUUGCAUUGAUUAUUGCACUUACCACUACGUCCUUUUCCAAGAUUAUAGUACCGGCAGAUGGACGAGUCACUUCCACAUUCCUUUUCCAGUUAUCACUUAGUUGACUUUCCUUUUUUUUUAAAAAAAAAAAAAAAAGCCACAUCCACAGUAUCAAAAUGUGAACGUUCAAUUCGUUUUUUUUUUUUUUUUGAAAAAAAAAAGGUUGGAGCUCGCGUUUAAUUUUUGUGCAUUCCUUUUUUUUUUCUUUCUUGUUUUUAAUUCCUGAGAACAAGACAAAGUUCAGAUAUCUCUCCUGUCAGCAAAUGCAAUACAAAUAGUAGACCACUUGAUUUGCCCAACCACCCUUGACUUCGUUCCGAAAUCCCAAAUCUGUGUGUUUUUGAGUUUUGAACAAAAGAAUCCGGAAGAUGUAAAUUUGAGUUUGUACGUAUUAUCUACAUACGGUGUGUAAUUAGUUGAGACUGGGAUAAUUUUCGUGAAUAAAAUGGGUCAAAUAGGAGUGUCGAAGCAAGUUUUUAGUCUUGGAAAACAAAAUCGCGUGCCCAAAACGAAAAGAAGAAACUCUCUGCAGUUUUAGGCAUUCACUUUACUUAACCUCAUUAGUGUCCAUAUCUAUAUAAUAUAGUAAUACUUAGAGGUGGCAAUUUGUCCCAAACCCCAAUGGGUUACCCAUGCCCAUUGAGACUUUGGGCGGGAUGGGUAUUGGAAUUUGAUAUUGGGUUUAAAAUGGGACAAAUUCCAAUUGUACCCAUUAUUUGAUGAGAAAUUUUGGAAAAUGCUUGGGUACCCAUUGGGCUCAAAUAGCAAGGGCUCCGUUUGGAUUAACUAUUUUUGGGGGGUAUUUUUGAAAUAUUUUAUUAUAGUAGUGUAUAUGAAAAAUUUUUACUAUAAAAUUUUUUUGAAAUAUUUGAUAUACUAAUAUGGAUGGGAUGUUUUUUGAGUUAUUGUAUAUUACUAUAACAUUGUAUUUGAAAAACUUAUUUUUUGAAAAAAUAGCCAAUCCAAACGGAGUCUUAGAUUCAAAAAUUAUCUUUAACAAUUUUUAUAGUCAUGAUUGUAUAUCUAUCUUUUUCUUUAUUUGUUAAUCCAAUUUUUGGUGAUAAUCCUGAGUAUAAAGCACUUGCAUGUUUAUUUAAUAAAACUAAAAGAAAUUUAAUAAAUAAAAAAUAUUAAAAUUAUAUAAAAAAUAAAAAAUAAAUUAAAGGAAAAAAAUAUGUAGAAAAUAUAUUUGGGUAUUGGGUGGAAUCAAUCUAAACCGAUCCCAAAGUGAUCCCGCCCAAGUUAGUCCCAAAACAUAUAUGGGUAAGGUUGGACCCAAACCCAUAUGACUCGGUUCCAUCUUAAACCCAAGCAAAUCCCACCCAUCCCGCCCAUUUUGCCACCUCUAGUAGUACUUAUUGGCGGGAGAGUUUUUUUUUAAAAAAAAAAAAUCUAUCAGAAGCCUCCAAAAUUCCAUUCUCUUUUUUCUACAAUUUUAUGUUUAUUUUAAUUCAAAUAUAUUAUUAAGUAACCCUUAUUCCUUUUGGGGCAUUCAAAUUUAAGUGACUCCACUAACUUCAACAACCAAAAUCCAAAUAAUUGAAAAUAACCGGCCACCACGCAAAUCACAUUUGCAAAAUUUUAAGAGUCCGAUUGAAUUACAGUUCCCACAAUCGUUUAAUAACUAAAUAAUAACACAAAGUCAAAAUCAUUCUCAAAAACUAACAAUCCCUAUCCAAUUUUAUUCCCAUUUAUUACCCACCCAAGCAAAACAAAGCGAGGAAAAAACACACUAUAUGUAUCAGCAUGGAGGGACCCCAGCUACAAGCAUUUCAACUACAAGAAAAUAAAUGGAGAUUCAACUUUCGAGAGGAAGAGAAAGAAAACAGGAGGAAAAAGAAAAAAAAUUUAGCAAAUCUCCUUGUGAAUUUUUUGGCAAUUAAAAAAAAAAUUUUUUUUUUUUGUGAUUGCAUGUUAGUGCUUAAUAGUAGUAUCAUCCCAUAUUUAGUUCAACCAAGAUCUAAAUGGGAAAACGACGAGAGUUUGGUCCAAAGUAUAAAGUACUUGGAAAUUAACUGUUGCGGCCAGAGCGGUCGUACUGUAGCAUGAGAAAUUGGGUUGAUUAGUAACAUUGUGCCUCUGGACAUGUCACACAAAUUACGGGGACAUAAGCACGAGUACAACUUCAGUUGAGUCUCGAUCAGUUGAUUAAAAAUACAAUACAAAGGGAAGACAGAAGAUGGAAAUAGCUCAAUCAGUUUUCAUUUCCUAUUAGCAAUGUGUGGUCCAAUAAUUUCUUUAAAUGGAUUAGAUAGAAUAUGUCUGCCAACCCGUCCAACUUUAAUAUUGAAUUUUCACUUAAAUGGAUUAUACCCAAUCCGUUCAACUUUAGAUUGGGUUAAUUUUGGAUUGGGUCAUAUUGGGUUAUCUCAAACCCAUGACCCAACAUAUUAAUUAAUACAUUUUAAUACAUAAACUUUUUCACAUACAUUUUAACACAUAAAAAAAAAUAUUCACACAUAUAAACACAUUUUCACAGACAUAAAUGUAUUUUCACACACUCACUUCUUAAGGUCCUUGAAAACUCAUCAUAAAUAGAAUAAUAUUUUAUAUUGCUUGUAUUGUGAAUUUUAGAUAAUAAAUUGUACAUUUAAAUAGAUUAGCUAAAAAAAAUGUUUACUUUGUACUUUUUAAUACUACUAAUUGAUUGAAACUUAUUUUUGUCACAACUUAUUAACACGUUUACUAUUCAUAUCUGCUUUAUUGUAAAUUGUAAUAUUCUAUGUAUUUAAAUUAUUGAAUGAUAGAUUAUAUUAUACUUUAAAAUGUAAGUAAGAAACAUAUAAUUUGUUGUAUACUAAUAUUGAAAUUAUAGAAAAUAAGUUUGUACUUUAGUCCUUAUAUUCUCAAAAAUUUUAUGAUUCAUGACUCUAGAAAUUUUGCAAACUGUUGUGAAAGUUCCAUGCAUCAGAACUCCAUUCUGAGGAUAAUAUGCAAAUUGCUUUCUUCCAUUAAAUGACUGGAGACAUUACUGCAUUUUGGUUCUUGGACUCGCUAAUUAAGAGGAGAAUUAAUUGUCUUACUGAUUGUAAGCUUCUCAUGAAGUUGAAGAUUAGAGGUAUUUGCUUUAGACGAAAUGAAAUCGUUGGACUAACCAUGCCCAAGUUGCUAUAAUUAAUCAAAACAAAAUAGAAUAUGCAAAUCAACUAUAUUGAUUCGAAGUUAAUAUCAUGAUCUAUAUACAUGUAAUAUAUAUUAGAACGUAUUUUUUUUUAUUGAUUUGAUACAGUUAGAUAAUUUAUCACCUGAUUAAUUAGAACAUUUAGGAUUAUACUUGAUGCUAUGGUCAUAUUAAUCUUUUAGAAUUACCACAGCUUUGAUAUAAAGUAGAAAAUAUUAUAUGCUUGUAAAAAGUAUUGGUAUUACUCCCAAAAAAUUUAUUAAGGAAAAUCCUAAACUUUUUAAGAAAUAAAUGAGAGGAGAAUUCAUGAACUAUUCUGACAUUUUUACCACAUCGGGAUCGCAUUAUUUUGAAUUAGCGAAAAAUUAGGCUGAUACAAAGUAAGCUUUUGUUUGUAAAUUUGAAGAAUCCGAAAUUAUAUAAUGCUAAAUUUUAAAAAAGAAAUUUGUACAAUAUUAUAUGUACACGAAAUAUUAACAAACAAAAGCAAUCACGAAAUAUUAAAAAUAAUGCAAUUAGAAUAAAUUUAAAACUCUAUUUUAUGUACACGAAAUAUUAACAAACAAAAGCAAGUAGCAACUUGAGAACAACUAAAAAAAAAAAAAAGGAAAAAAAGGGGAGGAAAAUAACAUAGUCUUAAAAGGCAUAAUAAAUUAUUAUAGAAGUUGAGCAAGUUUAACUAUUAUUAUAAGAGUAAAAUAAGCAUGAAUUUUUAUUUCAAGUUUUUUUUCUUUUAAAUAAAAAUUAAAAAAAUUGAUUGAAAAUAUAUAUAUGAGAAUUUUGAAUACAAAUUAAUCAAUGAAUUAUUAACACAUGUCUAAAUGCAAAUAGUUGGGCACAUGUGUAUUGAAUCUUGUAUUUAUUAUUUUGAAUUACUUUUAAACAAGUUGGGUAUUGGGUACUCAAAUAAAAAAUCCAACCUGCGCCAAUGAAUAAGUUGGAUUGUUCUUACCCAAUCCAAUAAAAUUCAUAAUCCAAUUGACCCAACCCAUCCUUUAAAAUUAAUGGACGGGUUGUUAAGUUUUGGACUUUUUUGCCAGCUCUAACUCUAAGAUAGAUGAUCAGUUGGUAGGCACUAGGCAGUAGGCAGGCAGUUUAUGUGAGGAGAAAAAACCCAGAAACUGAUAAUUCCCAUAUCAUAUGUGAUUGUCGACCCACAUUUGCGCGUUUCUUAUAAUAUCGUGUUCUUUUUUUUCGGUUAAAGCCGUGUUACGGUAAUACCAGCAGACUAAAGGAGAAGCUACGCUACUAUUUUCCAAAAAAAAAAACAAAAAGAAGAAAAGAUUACAGCAGCAGACACGCAUCACGCGUAGUCAAGAACAAAAACAAAACGAUAAUAAAUUGACGAAGAACUUGCCGCCUAGUAUUGGUAGCUUAAAGGAGUGGGAAAGUUAAAAGUUAAAACCGACAGCGUUGAGACUAAAAAAAGACGGCAAAUCUUGUGCUACUACUGACAAAAUUAACGAGAAAUCAGAAUUACUGGUACUGGUGGGAGUAUCUAAUAAGCCGACGCCGACCUCCUUGUAAGCAAACUCCUCGACGGCAACAGUUUAGUUUACUAUACAGAAGGCUUUCAUUGCAUGUCCUCCUUUAUGAACUAGUCAUCGUAGAAAAUUGAAAUGGAGACAAAUAAAAUUGGUGCACACAUAUUUCCAAACAUUCAUUUAUUGCAAGUCACGUUGUGGACUUUCUGAAGACAAUACAAAGGUCAAAGUCCAAGUUAAGGGCACCCGAGUGGUCUUAUUUUCACGCUUCUAGAUUCCAUCCAUUUUAAUCAAGCACUCUGACUCUUUUACAAAUCGACGUGGAAUAAACUCAACUCAACAAAAACUAAUCCCUCUUCACAUCUUGGCGGUUCUUAUUAAUUUACGCUUAUUAGUCGUACUGGUGCGUGUCUCAUUUUCAUCAUUUAGAACUUGCGGUGACAUCCGGGAGCGUUUCAAGGAUUUAUUGAUUUCGGCCGGCCCAGUUCCUGUAAGAUACAAACACACAAAUGGACCAUCUUGUUUUGUAGCUCUAUGUCUUCCCCACAAGUUUACUAGCCCAAUUAGAUAUCAUGAGAGGAAGCCCGUGACUCGGCCUCAGACAAGACACUUGACAAAAGUUUACAAAAUGUUCAAGCACAUUCUAGCCCACUCGUUAAAUCUCGGACAAUUGUUGCUGUAAGAUGUGCAAUAUAUUUUUUUUUCAAAGCUAUCCCAGAUGUGGUUUUGGUGGAACAUCGUGGCACGAAACUGUUUCGGUUUCCUUCUUAUCCAGAAAAUUUUUCCGUAAACAACAUAUCUUCUGAGAGAGAACACAUCUUGAAGGGUAGGUUUCAGUUUCAGAGCACAUGAUCGAUGAUUCGGCGCAACAUUGAAAGGUCAUGAGUCGCAUCAUGGGUAGGGAUGGCAACUGGGGCAAAGGACUCCUCUCCAUCCCUCGCCCCGCUGCCUAUUAAUUCCCCCCUCCCCGUCCCGUUCCGUUUCUCUCGCGGGGUUAAUAAAAAUGUGUUAUAUAAUUUUAUUAUAGUUAAAUUUUAACAAAUAAUUAAGUACUAAAAUAUCAACACAUCACCAAGUUAUUAUUCAUUGUAAUUUCACAAUUGUAACUCACAAAAACAAUCAAACAAAAGUUAUUUGAAUACAAUCCAACAUGAUGAAAUAUAACUAAAAUAGUCAAAUUUUUACUUUGGCACAAAUACAAUCAUUAAUUCAUUAUUGUGCUUGUGCUUUUUUUUUUUUUGAGAAAAAAGUGUUAUUGUAUUAAGUGUAAUUAGAAAUUUAGUAUAAAUGUAUUAGUAAAUUUAGUAUAACUAAUUAAAUUUCUAUUAGUAGAUAUAUAUAAUUAUUAGUAUAAUUGAUAAUAUCAAUUAUAUCACAUAUACUAAUAUACAUCAUAUAAUACAUAUAACUAAUAAUAUCAUUAUCAUAAGUUGUAACUAAUUAAAUUAAAUAUUAUAUAUAAUUAUAUACAUAUAUAUUUAUUUAUAUAUAUUUUAGCGGGUGGCGAAGCGGGGGAUAUACCCGGCCCCGUUUCUAAAUGGAGGGAAAAAAUUCCCUCCCACCUCGUCCCAUUAGCCCCUUGGGGCACCAUGCCUAAUCAUAGGCUUCCAUGGACCACAAUUUAAUGUGCACACAUGCUAAGAGGGUUUUCUCUCCUCUCACCAUUUCUUAUAAUUUAUUUUUUUUAGCCUUCCGGUUCAUCUCAUGUAUAUUAUAUCAUAGAAAAUAUUACAAUGUUAUAUCAAAUAAUAUUUUAAAAUAAUUUUCUAUUCAAACGCACCCAUAGAUAGAUUAGCCAGCCAGAAGGCCGCAACUUGGAAAGUUUUCGAUGAAGUCCAAUUUCAAUUUCUAUCGGGUGCCAUGAGCCAUGUGCAGGAGAAGCGUAGCAGCAUCAUAAUCAUUCGGUGGUGGUUGACGUGACGCGGGACAUACAAACCUAUGCGUUCAAGAAAGGAAAGGAAAUGAAAUGAAAUGAAAUACUACGAGUCUAGUAGUAAAAUACUACUUGUAUUUCUUUCAAAGAGAAGGCGACGGAGCAUUGGAUUGCGUGGAGUUUAGCGGGGCUGAAUAUCUCAGCAAGUCAAGGCAAUGGAGUACUGCAUCACAACUAUGGAAUUCUUACUAAUCAUUAUGCUGCUCAAAGAUGUUAACAGCACACCAAGAAAAAAAUGUAAAAGCAAUAAAAGAAGGAUGAUACUGGCUGCUAAUCCCCCUCAGAUUUCAAGGAGUUUUGGAGUUUGCAUGCAUGUGGGCCUGAAGUCUCUCCUGGGUCCUGAUUAACCCAAUAAGUUCAUUACAAAAUGUUGAACAGGUCAGACAGAAGCGUUUUCCUUCGAUAGGGAGGACCCUAGAUUUCCAUGGUUUGUCGAUUCAUUUUCCGAGAGGCCAAAGAAAGAGGCUUUUUAAUAAAAAGCCUAGUAGUUCAACAUUUUUUUUAUUAUUAUUAUUUUUUCACAUGCAGUUGUCAUUUAUAAAAUUCGAAUUUUAAACUUGACGGUAAAAAAGAUUCCAAAAGCCUUGGCCACCGGAUCGUCGAGUCGACCCCAAUGAUUACCUAGUACGUAUUUGAACUUUAGGAAUUGAAGCAGUUAGUCAUGAUCCAAAAUCAUGCAAGGGAAGUGUUCUUCUUUCUAGAUCAAUAUGGAAUUGUUCUUCUUUUUCCUUGAAAAUAAGUAGUGUUACACAAUUAAGAAGGCAGUGGUUCCAAGAUAAUCCUUCAAUAAUUGAAUAUAACUCUGUUGUAUUGUUUUGGUUUUGCACAUAUAACAUGCGUACGUUCAGACCCGUUAAUAUUAAGAAAAAAGACAUUUAUUGUAACAAAAAAAUACCGCCAUCUUUUCCCGGCAAAAUCUUAACUACACCCAGAGAAAAAAAAAAUUGUAUCACAAAACAGUAUAGUGGCAAGACCUUAAAUAGCAUUUGAAUUGGACGGACCUUCAUACCUAUAAAGUAAAUCGAAUUUACCUGGAUCCAACUUUCGGGGAUGCAAAGUCAUCCAAAGCAUGUUUGGUAUCCAAAGUUUCAAUUGAUAUCAAUCGCUUAUUAUUAUUAUUCAUAAUUGACUAUCUGCUCGUGUUGGAUCAGCGCAGCUAGGCUAAUGUUUUCCAAAGAAGAAAAAAUAAAAUAAUAAUGGUUUCUCUCUGCAUAAAACCGCCCAAGUUGUUAGCUUCGUAGAAUCAUUUCAAUAUUAGCGAGCUAGGUAUUGAGUCCCGCAUAAUUGUCCGGGGAGAUGAGUGAUAUUUUUACAGCAUCGGAGUGAAACUGUUAGAAACCUUGAAAGGGAGGUUUCUGAAAAAUUAUCCCUUCUCAAAGGGUAAUCGGUCCUUUUCCAUGAGCCGCAGGAUUAAUGAAACAUGAACAGAGGACUUGGUCGCCACACGGGAAUUCUCAUUCAAUUGGCCCACAUGCAUGGGGCAUGAUGAAACGAAAUAUUUUAGACAGAAACGUAUUCUGUCAUCUGAUUGGUUGUGGUUGACUUGGCGACGAGUCGCCCCUCCUCCAUCUGACCCAAACAUCUUUAUGUCUUUGAUCAAUCCUCCUCAAAGUUCAGGAUGUUUCGUGAUGAACCCUGAACAUACGUACAUACAUUACAAUACCCUAGCAUACAAUCAUUUCAUCCCAAGCCCAGCCAGCAACAUCUCGAAUCAACUUAAAUAUAUAUACAUAUCUGUGGGUGUGUGUAUCAUAGAAUCAGUAUAAUGUGUGUGUGUGUGUAUAUCUAUAUAUAUAUAUAUAUAUAUCUUCACCACCGCCAUCAUGACCAUAUCUUCUUGUUUUUACUAGGAUAGAUAUCAUCAUCAUCCUCGAUCACCGUCGACUUUACUAGUUUACCAACCAAUUUGAUCAUUAUGAUUCGUGAUGCACAAAUUGUAAAAGAGUUUUUUAAAUGUAUAGUUUUAGUUAUAACUCUCUUGUACAACCUUUUCUGCACCUAUUAAUGAAAGCAAUUUAAUGUUUUUUACUCAAAAAAAGGGAUAAAAAUCUGAGAAAGUUGCUCGUAAAAAAGAUUUUGAAACUUGUAGGAGAACUAUUCUAUUACUAGCUAGAAAUCGACUUUCAUUAGCAGUAGUACGUAGUUCAUACGAAUAGGUGACUAAGGAAGUUGGUUAAUAUUGCAUGGAAACCAUAAUUAGCAAGGUGAAUUGCAGUAAUGGAUCAUCAAUAAUGAAUCAGCACAUUGAAUGCUACGCGGUUUUGGUGAGGCAGAGAUUAGAGAAGAGGAGCUACAGACAGUCACCCAGCUGCUGACCUUAGCACAUUAGCUAAGAUGGAUGGAUGGAUAGAUAGGCCAUUGCAGUAAAUGCUCUUUCUCUUGCUUGCUGUCACCUUUUGACUCUUUGAAUACACCCUUUGCUUCUUUUAGGUCAGCGUUUAUAGUUAGGAGGUGGCGGAGGGGUUUCCUUUUUUUCUAUAUAUGCUUUGCAGAUCAAUAAAUCUUAGCGUUGGACAAUUGUCUCAGCUUUUCCCAAGAAGAGAAAAAUAAGCACGGAUCACGACUAGUGGUGCAGAAAUAGCUGUCAAAAUAGAGAAGAACACAGCCCCAAGUCCAGCAAAGUUUUAGGGUGCACCGAGGGAUAGCUUCUGAGAGGGAUAUCUCAGAAAGAGAUCAUCAAACGGUAUCACAGACUACAAGACAAAGGGAAGGUGAAUAGAGAGAGGGAGAGGGAGAGAUGGGUAGACCUCCUUGCUGUGAUAAGGUGGGAGUUAAGAAAGGUCCAUGGACUCCCGAGGAGGAUAUAAUGUUGGUCACUUACGUUCAAGAACAUGGUCCUGGCAACUGGAGGGCUGUUCCUGCUAACACAGGUUUCUUCAACUCUUCUGCUUACAUUAAUCUCACAUAUUCUUUCUUUCUUUUUUUUUUUUACUACAAAUUCUAAAAUAUUUGGAUGCAGAAUUCUGAUUUCUGAGUUUGGUUUGCUACAUGAUUUUGACCCGUCAGGUUUACGUAGAUGCAGCAAGAGUUGUAGGCUUAGAUGGACAAACUAUCUGAGGCCUGGGAUCAAGAGGGGUAACUUCACGGAUCAGGAGGAGAAAAUGAUCAUUCAGCUUCAAGCCCUUUUAGGGAACAAGUAUGCUUCUUAAAUUUCUAGCCCUUCUCGUUUUUACUGACGAUAAUGAUAACGUCGUUGAGCGUUUGGGUUCAAUGUAUAUAUGAAACUGGUGUUUUGGUUUGGGUACAGGUGGGCUGCGAUAGCUGCUUACCUGCCUGAGAGAACGGACAACGAUAUCAAGAACUUCUGGAACACCCAUUUGAAGAAGAAGCUUAAAAAGCUUCAAACGGGCUCAGACAGCAGCUCCCCAAGAAACGCGUUGUCAUCUUCCCACUCCAUUUCUAAAGGCCAGUGGGAAAGAAGGCUCCAAACUGAUAUCAAAACCGCCAAACAAGCCUUGCACGAUGCCUUGUCAUUGGAGGGAUCUAUCCCUGCGCCUGAUUCCAAGCCCUGCGAUGGUCAUCUGUCUUACACAGAACCUGGCCAAGGAUCGUCUACUUACGCAUCAAGUACAGAGAAUAUAGCAAGAUUGCUCAAGGGUUGGGUCAAAAAUCCUUCACCUCGUAAAUCUGAGCAAUCAAAAUCUUCCAGCACUCAGCAAUCGUUCUGCAAUGCCGCCACGGAUUGUACCUCCAGCGAUGGGACUCCUAGUGCCGAGAGCAAAAGCGGAAUAGAUUUAUCCGAAGCAUUUGAGUCCCUUUUUGGAUUUGAGUCUUUCGAGUCUUCAACCUCUGAAUUUUCUCAAUCCACCUCUCCUGAGGCCAGCAUUUUCCAAGGGGAAAGCAAACCGGACCAAGAUGGGGCACAAGUUCCAUUCUCUAUGUUGUUGGAGAAUUGGCUGCUCGACGGGAAAGAUGAUUUGACUAACUUCUCAUUCGAUGAAACUGCAAAUUUGUUUUAGUAGUAAGAAUUCUCCUUUUGAUUCUUGGUGAGAUAUUGAGAAUUAACUCUUACCAUUAUCUUGUUAAUUUUAGGCAUUGACAUUUGAACGCUUUUUUUGAGUCCUAGUGUUGCCCGCCCGUUACAGAUUUAAGAGAUUUAUUAGUGAAUCAUCUUCUGUGCCUUGAAACUCGUGUGUAAAAGCUAAUUAUGCUAAGUGAAUACAAUUCUAGCUCUUGAUUAUACAAAUUGCACCUGCUAACAGUUUUUACUUUUUACCUUUUACCGUUAGAAAGGAAAUUUUACCAAAAGGAUAUAAACCAUUUAGGUUUAUCAUGUAUGGAAUGUCACCCUCUUCGACAGAAUAGACAUCUGCAACAAUUAAUUCUUGAAACGAUGAUUGAUCCUAUCUCAGAAGGAAAACUUUAUUUUGUUAGUAUACAUACUUUGACAUGCCAAAACAAAAAAAGGGUACUUGCCUUUUACUGCAGGUUGAAUUCGUAGGCAGAUUGGCACUUACUUUAUGUUGAAAGGGUUACUGAAAUGGCAAAGUUUGUAUAUAUUUAGGAGGGCAGAUUGAACGCUACAUAAAGGGGUCAUAGAAUAUUGUGAGUGUUACCUGGAGUUAGUAGAAGAUGUUUUAUUUUUAGUACCAUCUGUUACAAACUGGUAUUGAUUUAAAGAAGACGAACAGGCUGAUGAAACAAAACUAGAAGCACCAAGAUCUUCUUCUUUUUUAACCCAACUGAUAAUAUGAGAGCGGUUAAUAGUAAAUACUGAAGCCAAAACAAAUGGAGGAUGGAGAGCUGUGGGCUUCAGUUUCAGCUUAACACUCAAAAAACCAGGCGAGAAAUAAAUAAGCAACGAAAAAGCAGUGGCUGAAUGCCCUUUUUGCGUCUUAUCUGAUGUAUUAGUUGAGGACAAAAUGGUCUUUCUUAUACUUUCUGCCUAUAUACUCUGCUUAAUUCCAUGCCUCGUAUCGUAUCUAUUUACAGCUUAAAAAGAUAAACGGGUUUGAACAGAAACUUGUUAGGCCGCUGAUCCGUAUCUGAUCCCCACGUCCAACAAAAAAAAAAAAGAAAACUCACAAGUUGUAGUGUUUCAAAGAAGUACUGUACUACUAAUUUGAAAAGGAUGGACUCUUGUUUUCUUGAUUUACUAGUGCUGGACAGGUUGUAGAAAAUUAAUUAAUUGUCAGAUUAUUGUUUGAGGAUGUGUGGAUAGCAAUCUCCUUGGACAUCUACAGUUCAGCCUUAAAUGCUUACAUGUGAAGUGUUUGAAUUCUCAUAAAAAAGCAAAAAAAAAAAAAAAGAAGUGGCUUGAAGCGCCGCAAUAGGAAGUUAUCCUACCUGUAAAACCAUACACUUAGCAUCACUCUUUGCCAAUUGGUCCGAGUCAAUUCACGGCAACAGUUAAUUGGAAAUUUUUUUUUUUUUUUGUUGUUGAUAAGAGAAUCCUCAGCCGCUCUUCGAGAGUAUAUACUAGAUAAAUUCAAUUUCGUACGAAAACUCGCCAACCACACAAAGGAAUAAGACGCAUUAAGCAGACCAUGUGUGAUAGACAGAUGUUUUAGGAGAGAUUUGAAUUCAGAGUGGUCAGAAAGACAUGACACCAACUCUACUAUCUUGACCAAUUUAAGAGACAUUUAAUCACUAACUUAACCCCUUCUUAGUUGUUAAGUAACUGAUUCCAUUUGGAUUUAAGUUACAUGAUUUUUUUUAAUUAGUAUUCCCAUCGUACCAUUUAUUCAGUCAUAUUUGGGGAAUCCAAUUUUUUAAGAAUAAUAGUUUGAUUGUAAUGUUUAUGCUUCUCUUUCUAAUUUUAUCCCCACAAAUUCAUAAUUUAAAUUUGAAUAGUAACAUGCAUAUGAUUAGAAAUAAGGGUUAUAUUGGAAAAAGAGACUAAAAGGGUGUUUUAACUUUUCUGACAUGAUAAUUGUUUCGAGACAUUCCAAAAUAGAAAGUACAACACUUUCAAUGGGACGGAAGGAGUAUUUUUGUGAUAUGAUUUAUAUGAGUUAAAAAAAUGAAAGAAACUUGAAACUUUGUGUUUAGAAAAUAAUUGACAAAAUUUUCCCCAAAUAAUAAUACAAAUUAACAAGCAGAGAAGAGAGGCAUUGAAAACCCAGAUGGAGAGAGAUAUGGACGCUGACAAGCAGAGAAGGGGAAAGUAUUAAACUUGAAGAGUCGAUUCAAGAAUUGUCACAUGGCAAGGGACCCUACUUCCAGCAGCCAAUAUCUCUUACGGGUGGCGCAUCCAUGGCAUCGCCUAUGGGCAGCUACAGCAAACAAGCAACGCAAGGACGACAGAGGCAUGUGCCCCUCCAAACGAAUUGGCCUUGUUAUGUUAACCACCGUCACCCAGUCACCUCCCCCUGCUGUGCUUGUAAUUGUAUUAAGUGAGAGGCACGUGCACCCUUUACGCUUGGGACUGUUCAGUACACAUCCUUGUUCGUUGUUCCAUUCAGGUAUCCUUUUUCCCUUUCUUUUUAGGGUAAAUUAUCCAUUUGGCCCUUGAACUUUUAGUUUAAAUAAAAUUAAGCUCCUUAACUAUUUUUAGGUAACUUUUAGUCCUUAAACUUGUAAAAUUGUGCACCCGUGACCCUUUUGGCCAGUUUAUCCAAUUUUGCAACCGAAAAGUCAAUUAACACACGAAUGGCAAUAAAUUGAGUGGGAGGGCAUUUUUGUCCACAUAUAUUCUAAGCAAAAGAGAACAACUUCUCCUCCUUCCCAUUUCCUAACCUAGUUGGUGGUGAUGGCCAGAGAACCUUUCUAGCAGAAGUGAGAUCCCGAUGAUGGGCAGCUUCAUUUGUCGACGGCGGUAAUGAUUGCCACUGCUAGUUGUAGUAACAGGAAAGGAGAAACAAGAAUAGCCGGAUCAACAAAAUUCAGCUGCAUUCCCACAUUUCAAUCAGCUACUCAACUGUAGUCCCUCCUACUAUUACAACUAGCAGAUUGAAGGGAAUUUAGAAGCGGAUUGCGGAAACAGGUGGCGGUGGUGGGGUUAGUUGGUUGUGGGAAUUAACAGGCAGGCGUACUAAAUCAUCGAAUGAUUGAACAAAUUGGAAAGGCGGGCAGCGGUAAAAGAGUACUCUAUACUCUUUGGAAAAUCACAAUCAAAAUUAGCACCGCCUCCGGCCGGAGGGGGCGGGGGGAUUGGUCGGGUGUGUUGUUAGAAUGUUAGUUUUUCGGUUAUGGGUUUGUGUAGUGGAAAACUGGAUAGCUAUUACAUUUGGGGAGGUGGGGGUGGGGGUGGUCCUCCUCCUCUGAAGUUUCAUCUUCAUCCCCAGACCUAUUGAAAUGGUAGUUGUGGAUUGCUGGUGUGGUAGCAUCGCUCACCCGUUCCCGUUAGAAGGAAGGAGAAAAACAGGAGGCUGCGGAGGAGUAGUUCCUUUUUUGCUUAGAAUAUGCGGACAAAAAUGCCCUCUCACUCAGAUUACUGCCAUUCGUGUAAAUUGACUUUUUAGUUGUAAAAUCGGAUAAACUGGCCAAAAGGGUUAUGAGUGCAUAAUUUUACAAGUUUGAGGGCUCAAAAUUGUCUAAAAUAGUUAAGGGACUUAAUUUUACUUAAACUAAAAGUUCAAGGGCCAAAUGGAUAAUUUGCUCUUCUUUUUAUCUUCUCUUUUUCCUCCUCAUUUUUCCCAAACUAGAGUUAGAAGUAAGCGGCUAUGGAUUAAUGGCUCCCUAUGGAUUAGGUGAUUUUUUAGUUGUUUUCCAAAACAUUUUGUUGUAGCAUUGUCUAGGAAAAAGUUGCACUCUAAUUAUUUAUUAGGGUGUCUUUAAAAUUUAAAACUUUAUUAGAAUUUAUAUAUAUAACACCUAUCACAUUCCACCACCCCUCUCCACCGCCACCACCCCUUCCCUCCGAUAGGGGAAGGAUGAGUUAGGUGUUAUUCAUACCGGAACAGGGAGUUCCAAACCUCUCACUUACUUAAAAAAAAAAAAAAAAAAAAAAAGGUCCAAUUGAAAUACAUUAAAAAAAUGGGCUGCCAUAAUAGUAUAUUAUCAUGACGUCAAAUCACUGCAAAUCAAAAGUAUUCUGGAUGCAUCAUCCCUAAAUAAUUAUUUUGGUUUUGUCCUCUCAAUAUAACAACAACCAAAAUAAACAAAGACUUUUUAUGUUUUGUUCGCUUAAAAAAAACACGAGACAAGUGAUACCACAAAAAGAUGAUAGGGCUUACCAUGAAAACUCUUAAAUAACCAUUGACAUCCUAAAUUGUAUGUACUUUUAGGGGAAAAAUAUACGUUGUUCAAAAAGCGCUACCAAUCCCAUUUUUUUACUAUGGCUUUAUUCUCAAUUGAUUUUUGCUUUUUUAUUUUUGAACAAUUAUUUUGUUAUACUCUCAACUAAUUUUAAAAAAUUGAUUUUAGAAUUUUUGGGCUCAAAAAAGUUGAAAUCAGAAGAAGCAAGCCGUGACGUGCUUUUGGAUCUUGAUUCUGGCCUAUUAUUUUAUGUAGACAGAAUUACCCUUCAAAUUUCAGUAUAAUUACUAAACUAUCUAAAAAUUAUAUAACCUUUUAUGGUCUUUUUAUUUUCUUCUUAUUCUUGUCUCACUUCCAAAUUCAUCUAUGCGACUCUGAUUUUUCUCAUCCACCAUUUAAUCUUUAUAAGAAAAGUAAUUAAUUAAAAAUUAAUUAAUUAGCAAAAAAAUUUAUCUAUGUAGCAUAUAAGGAGCAACGUGGUCAUUUUCUUAUCAAAAUAAGCUUUUUAACAUUCUUUAAGAACACCUAUGCAUUUAUUAAAAUUGCUUUUUUUUUAAACAAUAAACGAUAACAUAUAAAUUAUUUCUAAAAAUCUUAUUUUUCAAAAAUCAAUUUUACAAAAUCAGAAUUAGUUGAGAACACACCCUAUGUAUCCCUAGGCCACAAAAUAAACUAACCCAUAAAUAAGAUUCGAGUACACACCUCUUCUCAAAAUUCUAAUAUUCAUCGUCUCUCAAUUUCCUUUUUUCUUUUUGUUGUUAUUUUGACAUAUAAAGCAGAGCGAAAUUGCAUUUCUAUCACUACUUUUUAAAAGAAGGAAAGUGUCGGGAAAAUUGUGAUCUUGCAUUUGAAACAAGUGGAAAGGGGCGAGAUUCCCCUCAGACUAAUACAUGGAAAUUUCUAUUCUGUCAUUUGUUUCUUUAGUCAGCCCGCUGGCCUGCGAGCUGCCCUCAAAGGCCUGAGCCCGAGGUGCAAGAUCUGUCUUUGGAUAAAAGUGGAAGUUGAGUGAGGCACUAGGCCCAAAUGAAUUGAUACAAACUCUUAGCUAUGGGCCUUAAUGCACCAUGGAUUAAGGUGCUCUCCUUUGUUGGAUGUUGUUGUUCUUUUUGUGGGUUGGGCUAGUUUUAACUCUGGGAGUUAAAACUCAAGAUCCAACUUAGGUGAUAGGUACAAUUUUCAGAUGACGUGAGGUUCCAAUCAUUAAACAUUUCUUGUUCUUCCGUUUCUUGUAAAGUUUGCAAUCUCCCUUCCUACCCAAAAGAAAUUAUGCAAGAUUAACUUUCUCUAAACUAAAAUUUCAUAGUGAAAGAUUUCAACGUUGGAUAAUUUUUAUCGGGCAUUAUCAUACAAAAAAUUGAAAUUUUCAAAACAAGUAGAAAGCACAUAAAAAAGAUUUGGUAGAGAUAUUAAUAAGACAUAUGUGAAGUUUCUAGUUCGACUCAAGAAUUCUCUUGUUGUAAGCUUUGUAAUCUCUCCUUAACAAAAGAAAAAGAAAAGGCGAGCUUUGGAAAUUUGUUUACUUAAACAGAAGCGACAAUGUUAAUGGCCGGAGAGAGUACAUUUAAUAUGUUGCUCUCUUUUUUCUUCCGACCAAUGGAGUACUUUUUUUUUUUUUUUUUUUUUUUUUGAGGUUUGAACACAGGUCUUUCCAUUGUAAACACUAAUUAAUUGGUCGAACUCAAAUUGAUCAAAUCUGGGUCGUUCAUUCAAAAUUUUUUGGUUUUUGUUUAAUUUGAAUUGGAUAGCCUAGUUCUGGCGAAUUUGAGCUAGCCGAGAUUGAAUCCUUAAUCAUGAGAUGCGAUUGUUGGCAACCGCAUAAGUCCACGAUCAGUUUCACUCUCACCACCGUGACAUUAGUGGCCGCAUGGAUGAUUAUGACAGAGACUAACUGAUAGAAUAUAAUCAGUAACAAUUGAAUAAAAACAAUAAAAGUAAGACAAGAAAAUUCAUAUAUUGCACACAGUGAAUGUGCAUUUCAUAUGUAGGUUGUAUAUAUUCAAUGUGGAAAACGAUUUUUUCACUGUGUGUUUAAUUAGAGAGAAAAAGAAAAGAAGUGAAUCUUCUUUUUUUUUUUUUCUUUUCCUUUAAAAGAAAAAAAUAUAUAUCUAACGUAUUAUGUAGUUUUAGUAUAGUAGCAAGAAGGUUUUAUGGGAUCUCAAGAAAGAAAACACAAGAAGGUUUUCCUCUGAACGUCGUCACUAGUUGAUACAACUGAAAGAUCGAAGAAGGUUGACGCUCUUGAGUUGCACCAGGGCUUUCUCAGCAUUGUCCGCUGUUACAAAUGAGAUCCAAUUCGUGAACCGCGUUUGCUGUUCGACUACUACAAAAAACGAGAUAAUUUUCUAUUCGAAAUCCCGAAUCAGCAUUUUCCUGGAAAGGCCAAGCGAAGAAGUGAAGCAACUGAACUACUCUGCAUCAGUAUUGCGUCGUUUCCUUUCAUAUCUGUCAGGGCUCUCUGGCCCUAAUUCAAAUUGUGUCUGUGUAUCUUCUUCAAUUGUAAAACCAUUUGAGCAUUUGCAAGCUGAAUGGAGAUUGCCAUAAAAAACAUAGGAGGAGGUAUCUUCUUCUUCAUCUGAUAAAUGUUGCUCGUUCUGUUGUGUACGUAGUGCAAUCUGCUUUAAUUAAUUUGAGCUUUUAUGUUGAUUCGAAAAACGCAAAUCGAUGUUGCCAAAACAACACAGUCGUACAAUCUUCUUAUCUUUGAUUACGAGGAUAUCUCAAACUAAGGAAAAGAAAAGGAAAAAAAAAAAGGAGAAAACUAGAUGAGGCCUCGAAGAUUAUGGCCUUGUGUCGUUGUUGAUAUGGUUUGAGGCUGGUCCACAAUCACUGUUUGCUUCGGGAUUAAGAAAGCCAUCAAAGUGAUGCAUACUGUGAAUGCACGAUAUGGUGAACAAACAAAUACAGAAAUGGGUGUCCUGUUUGUCAAGUUGCAUCAAUCAACGCCAAACUUUCUACAACUAAGUAAGCAUUUCCCCCCCACCCCCCUUUAGUUCCAUAAUUAAUUAAGACCAUAAUUAUUGUCCUGUUACAGUGAUUUGUUUUGUCAAAUCAGAUUUAUCCGGAAACCAAAAGAAGGAAAAGCUGGUUUAGAAGCCUAAGAUGCUCUAUUAAUGGUCCCAAAAACAGCUACGACGGUAAAAUCUUUUUCUUGUGGGCAUCAAAUUUUGGAUGGGUUGGGUUGGUGAGAAGCAAAUUUGCCCUCAGCUUUCAUCAUUCUCCCAAAGCACAAUCAUGCUUGUGAGUCUCUGUCAAACUUCUACUCUGUCAUGAAUCCAGACUAACUACCUGCUUUGCCUGUCUUAAUCACCAUUAACCCCCACUAACUACUGUCCUGAUCAAACUGCGUUACUCACCCCCUGCAGCUUUCCUGUUGGCUGUCGUACCCUUACAUUCCACUUAGCACCUGUCACCUCCAAAACAAAACCUUGUACCCUCACUCUCAUCUGGUACUAUUUUUUUCUGCACUACCAACGAUCCCAAUUCCUGAUGAAACUAAUUUCUGACUUUGGCACCUGCAUCAGAACGAAAACUAGCAGCCUUAAUAUUUAAGAACCCAAGCCUGAGGAAUUUUUUUUCUCUUUGAAAGAGCUACAGGUAAAUUAGUAUUCGAAAUAGGAUUAAUUUUGUAUAUAUUGACGGAGUCACGAUGUAUAUACUAGAGAAUAUGGAUGCAUAUCACGCGUUAAAAUUUGAAGUUUAAAUUCAAAUCAAGAUUAAAUGAUAUGCAUCCAUAGAAGUUAGUAUAUACAUCGACAAUAUAUUUAAAAUCAAUCCUUCUUUGCUUUCCUCUUAUACUAUUGAAUGAGCCGUUUUCUUUUCCUCUUCCUAGUUAAACUAGGAUGAUUAAUAUAGGCUCAUCUUGGAUUGAGAGUUAUUCUCACUGACUACCUUUUUUCUGUGAAAUUUAUAGUAACAAACUUCAAAAAUAAAUCCAAAAACACACUCUCAAAUUCACUAAAAAAUAAAAAUAAAAUGAACCUUGAACUUUAUUUUUUCUUCCACAUGCCACUACCACGGGCGUUCAUCUUUUUUCUUCUUCUUCUUCUUCUUCUCUCCCUCUCUCCUUCCUCUCUUCUCUCUCUUCCUCUCUAAUGCGCUAGCCGUAAACAAUCCAAACGUGACCAGAGAGGAGGAGUAAGGGGAGAGAGGGAAGGAUGGACCAAAGAGCUCUCUAGUUGUGUUGCUCACGAUCAUAUCUAGUUGCAACUAGCGUGACCACAGAUAGGGGAGGAGAGAGGGUUGUAGAUGGAAGGAGGACCGAAAGGUCGGUGGUAACACCGGAGGAAGGUAGGGAUGGUGGUGGGUAGUGAAACUUUUAAAAAUAUUUCAUUAAAAUUCGAAUUUAAAAAAUAUCCUAAAAUACAUCUAGAAAAAACACUUAAUUCAAACAAAUAAUCUACAUUAGUUGUUUUUCACAUAUUUUGUUAUGAUAAAAUUUUUGAAAAACACUCUAAAAAGACAUCUAAUCCAUACGUAACCAUAGUUAUAGUACAUUUUUUUGGGUGCAUGAACGAUGACAUGCAUCUAUGCACACAACUCGAUGUGUUCGAACCAAAUACUCCCUCCGUCCCACUUUGAUAGUGCUGUUUUUUUUUCACACAGUUUAAGAAAAAGUAGUUAACUUUGUUGGAAAAAUAAAUUUAGAUUGCUAUUUUUCUAAAAUACCCUCACAUUAAAUAGAGUACAAUUUUAUGGGAAUUUGAAUUGAUAGUAAAAAAAGAAUCAACUCUCAUUAAAUGGGGUAGGUUUAUAGUAACAAUAACUUACAUUGAAUAAGGGCAUUUUAGAAAAAUUAAAAUGCAACUACAUUCUUCAAUUGGAAAGCAGACUACAAUUUGGGACAGACGAAAAAUGAAAACAGAACUAUCAAAGUGGGACGGAGGGAGUAUAAUUCUUUUAACUACAUGCUUGAAGUCUUUCCUACUACUUCCUGUGUAUGUUCAGAAUUUCUUUAAGCUCUCCCAGAGAUCUCUGCAUUUACUUAUUAAUGCUUUGAGCUGUCCUUUGGAAUGCGCAGUAGGGCAACUAACUACAAGGGGCUAGAAAGUGAGAGAGAAAAGUUCACCCCAGUAAUUAUUCCCUCCGUCUCACUUUGAUAGUUCUGUUUCUUUUUUCACACAGUUUAAGAAAAAGUAGUUAAUUUUGUUGGAAAAGUAAAUUUAGAUUGCUAUUUUUCUAAAAUACUCUCACAUUAAAUAGAGUACAACUUUAUGGGAAUUUGAAUUGAUAGUAAAAAAAGAAUCAACUCUCAUUAAAUGGGGUAGGUUUAUAGUAACAAUAACUUACAUUGAAUAAGGGCAUUUUAGGAAAAUUAAAAUACAACUACAUUCUUAAAUUGGAAAGCAGACUACAAUUUGGGAUAGACGAAAAAUAAUUUGGGACAGACGAAAAAGGAAAACAGAACUAUCAAAGUGGGAUGGAGGGAGUAUAAUUCUUUUAACUACAUGCUUGAAGUCUUUCCUACUACUUCCUGUGUAUGUUCAGAAUUUCUUUAAGCUCCCAGAGAUCUCCGCAUUUACUUAUUAAUGCUUUGAGCUAUCCUUUGGAAUGCGCAGUAGGGCAACUAACUACAAGGGGCUAGAAAGUGAGAGAGAAAAGUUCACCCCGGUAAUUACUUCCUCCAUCCCACUUUGAUAGUCCUGUUUCUUUUUUCACACAGUUUAAGAAAAAGUAGUUAACUUUGUUGGAAAAGUAAAUUUAAAUUGCUAUUUUCCUAAAAUACCUUCACAUUAAAUAGAGUACAACUUUAUGGGAACUUGAAUUGAUGGUAAAAAAAGAAUCAACUCUCAUUAAAUGGGGUAGGUUUAUAGUAACAACAACUACAUUGAAUAAGGGCAUUUUAGAAAAAUUAAAAUACAACUAUAUUCUUUAAUUGGAAAGUGAACUAUAAUUUGGGAUAUACGAAAAAGGAAAAUAGGACUAUCAAAGUGGGACGGAGGGAGUAAUAAUUAGAGGGGAAAAGAAAAACCAUUGACUUAAUACUCGAAAGCAGCUUUUACGCUGAGUUUAUGAGUUCAUCGAAGGCCGCCAAAAAGCUAAUAAACGUGGACUUUGUUAACUGCAUCAGUCGGUCAAUGUACAUAGCUUAAAAUAAAUAUGGUACAUGUUUACCUGGAAAGUCGAUCCGACGUCGAAUCAGCAGAACAGGGAUCACUCCUCUGCCACGACAUACAUAGCCACAUAGGAGAAAUGACCGCUGGUGUGUAGUAUCAACCAUCAACUAUCACUUGUCGGAAAUUUUUGUGAAAUUUGCAUUUUAUCAUCAAAUUAAAGGAUUUUUAUCAGGUAUUUUAUAUACAUCUAACCUAUCAUACGGAUAUCUAUUCAUAAUUAUUUUCUUUAGUUAAUUUUACCUGAAUCCUUAAAUGACAACUUAAUAAUUAGUCACUGGAUACUCAUUAAACAGAUUUAAAAUCAAAGCUGUGUCAAGUCGAAUGUUUGGUGUUUUUGCUCUCAUCGAUCGAUGACACUCAGGAAAUUAGUGUUCCAAAUCUCCAUAUUAUUGUAUUUGACCUAAAAAAUUCUUAUUAUUCCUGUAUUCUUUUUACAAAUUUCUACAAAAUAAAAUAGGAUUAAUACUUUAAAAAAUCGACCGUUUGACAAACAAAAAACCAAUAGAGAUAUGUAUAGACUACAGACGGAAUGAUUAAAAUUUUGAUUGAAAAAGAUUCAAGUUAUUGCUUUGAAGACAAUGAUGCAUGCGAAUAUUUGCCAUCAUCAUUACCCAAAACAUUUGAUUGAUUGGGACCGAGAGAGAGAGAAAGCAAAGGACAUAAUCCACAUCCCGAGAAACAAAUCUCCAUCCACUUCGAUUCAUUCGGUACUGACGGCCACGUUAGAUUUUGGUGUUUCCGUAAAAUUAGAAGGCCAACGGAUCGCUAACCCAAAAAAUUGUUACGCCAAAACAGAGUAUGAACUGUUUCCAUCGUUAUCAAAAUAAUAGAGUGCGAGUUAUUGACGGAGCAAAUGACAAAUAGCCUCUGACAGAAAAGGUUGAAUCGAAUUCGUUGGAUUUAGUGCUUCGAUUGGAGUGCUAAUCGGUCAUUGUGUCCUUAAACCUAAGUGCAUUAGGCCAAGAUCUUGUGCCUCUAGCUGAACCGUAGCAUCUGCAUUUGGAAGCUUUUUUUUUUUUUUGUAACUGACAAAUUUUCAUUGUAAAGAUCGAACCCAAUAAACCCCAUCCUAAUAAAGUUGUGAUCAUGAUUUUACAGGGAAUCUUUUAGAGUUUGAUCAGUAGCCAAUAGCGAUAAGGCGAGUCACGUACAUCUCCUGAAAGUUGAAACUGAAUGUCAAAGCAAAGAAUUCCUCGAGGGGACCGCUUUCCGGGCACAAUUUUCCCUCCCUCCAUAUGAAAUAGGAAAAAUAGUAACGCCUUUUAAAAAAAAUUAUUAUUAUUAUUAGUAUUAUUAUUGCCAAAUUGACUCGUGGUGAGUGUGGAUGUAAUUGGAUAUAAUUUUUCUUCUUCACAUGGAGAUUGUAGACUUGGAACGAGCUCCACCAUCAAUUAGUGAGGGCGGAAUAGCUUAUUAUAUGUUUCCCCUUUUGCUUGUUUUUGGUCCUAAACGUGUGGUUGUGAUUAAAAAAAUAUAUAUUUGAAUUAAUUUUGUAUAUUCACUAACAAAUAUGGAUGCAUGUUAUUGAGGCCGUGUUUAAUAAUUUAAUUGAACCCUUCAUGUUAAUGAAUUCAAAUAGAGUAUUAAUAUGCUGAAAUGUGUUUAAUAACAAAACAAUAAAAACGUCUUAAUUAUUUAAGUGCUUCUGAAUUGUUUAUGCAAAAUUUACUGAAAGCAAUAAGUGAUACAUUAUUCACUUAUUACUUAAUGCAGAAUGCUUCCAAAUAUUAAGAUUUCAGUAACUAACAAUUCAGCAAUUAAAUGAAUUCAGAUUAAUUUCAAAUACCCUUAAUUUUUAGUUUGAAUUUUAACUUCAAUUCUUGUACGCACGAUAUAAGUCCAUGCUCGUUAGUGCAUGCACUUUUAGUGUAUAUAAGAUCAAUCCAAAAUAUUUAAUGGAUUUGAAGCCUGAAAAAUUGUAUUGAAACCCAAUCGUUUUAUUGAUAAAAAUUAGCAAGUAUUGAACAUUUUGGCUUUAAAAACCGGGGGAUUCGAUGUAUCAGUAGUUAAACCAGUAAACUGUUCCUUCCACGGUAAACGUGGACAGAUAGUAGCUCCACCAGAAACUUUCCAAGUCAAUAUACAGUGAUUCAUUUCCAAUAAAAAAUAAUUCUUCCACAAGGUGUUGAAAAGAGAAUGGUUUAUGAGCUGUAUAUAAGCAUUGCCCCCUAGGGUUAGGGUUUUCCCCAGAAGUAAGAAUAGAUUUAUGUAUAUGUGAUCUACUAGCUAGCGAACAUCUCCUUCUAAAUUGAUCUCCUUUCAAUCCUGCAGGAGGGUUCUUGGCUGAUUCACCGUAGUAGUCUGAACAUAUACAUCCAUAAGGGUUCUUGUAGUAAGAGCUGGUAGAAGACAUGAAGAAGCGCCAAGUGGUGGUAAAGAGAGAUGAAUCUUCAAAAAACGCGACGAAUUCGUCGUUUACGGUAAGGAAUGUAAGAUAUGGAGAGUGCCAGAAGAAUCAUGCGGCUGGCGUUGGAGGUUAUGCUGUGGAUGGAUGCAGGGAGUUCAUGGCUAGUGGGGAGGAGGGGACAAAUGCUGCACUCUCUUGUGCUGCUUGUGGCUGUCACAGGAACUUCCACAGAAGGGAAGUGGAAACCGAGGCCGUCUGCGAAGGUUCUUCCCCGUCCUCGCUUGGGCGUACAUAGAUAAACUCUCCUAAUAUUUUUCUAUCUCCAAAAUACAAGUAUGUUGAUGGUUUGUUGUUUGCUUUAUUAGUUAUUACUAUGUUAACCAGGGGUUGAGUUGAAUUGCGUGUCUGCGUUUGUGUUUUUGUGUGGAAGCUCAAGAAACAAGCAGGAGUUCUUUUAUGUCUUUACUAAAUUAUGAGAUCGUCAAACUGCCUUUCAUGGUUUAUUACCAAGGGUGAAGUGGGUGGUAACUAGGCAUUGCCAUGGGCUAAAUUUGCUAUGUCCUUUGUUCAGAAACAUAUAUAUAUGAUUGCCUUAUUCUGUGAUUUUCUUUUUUUGUUGUACCUUGAAAUUUGAUUAAGCGGAAGUCCCGUGAGUUCAUUCCCUUGAUUCUUAAUUGCUAUGGAAUCGAAUUCUACAAUUUAUCUGUGCUCAAAGAACCCGUCUUUUCUCCUUGUAGUUGAGUUGUUUCGAUUGAUCAUUGAUCCUUCAAAUGCAAAGAAUGUUGCAUGAAUGCUUGAUGUGAAACAACACAAGAUUGAUCUCAUUCAGAACUACCACAACAUACUAUGAGAUGACCUAACUAAUGAAUUAUUAGUAUCGUAUGGUCAUCCUUAACGUCCCUUUUUUCAAACAAACAGCGAAUCUGUUAUGCCAUUUACCUGAUACCUUCUUUAACCAUGGCUAUGUUUGGUGACACAGACCAUGACGCUAGUCACGUCUAGAGUUGGGUGGCUUUGGAUUUUGCCAUGGUUCUUGGACAUUUUGGCACGUCAAACACGAUGAUAAAUAUAUAUUGGUGGUCAGGAUGAGUGGGUUCCUGAUUGUGCUGAUGAGGUGUUAGAAGUUCUAGGCCACAAAACUGAUUGCUUGGAUAUGUUACAACUAUAGUAUACCUAACCUGCAAGAGUAGUCUUUCUCUCAAGAUAAUACGCGUAACCUAACCUGCAGGAGUAGUAUUUCUCUUAUACGAUAAUACGUGUAAUGAAGGUUUUCUGCAACUGAAUGUCCAAGUCUUACCCUACGUGCCUGUGAUCGACGUGGGGCUUCUGUAGUGCCAAACGGAUGAGUUUGGGAAUAAAAAGAACCAAGAAGAUUGGAAGAAUAGCCACGUUUGUGUUCUUCCAAAAACAUGCUUAAUAUAUGCCAUGUGCUAUGGAUCAGCAAAAAGUGCCCAAGUUAGGUAAUUGAGUAUGGAGGGGGGGAGCAAUUAUUAGGUAUGCGUUGAUUUAAAUCAGGUGAAUGUCAAAUCCUCCCAAAACUGUGGCCAUUGUAUGUUUUUGCGUUUUGGACUGCUGCUCUUUGUCCCGAAUGCCGGCGGAGAAAGGCUUCCUGGCUUUGGCCAGCUCCGGGAUAUAAGCGUGAGACAUUACGCACGGAUCAGAUGCACAGAAACCACAAAUUCCAUUUUCAUUCUCUUUACGCACUGGCCGAGUCUUACAAUCCACAGUAAGGUUUUUCCCGUUACAACUUGGCCGGAGAAUCUCGGAGCUUCAUUAUGCAUUAUUGACGAUCCCCUCGUUACCUGGAGUCGCAUGACUUCCUUCCAAGGAAUAUAUCGGUCGCCUGCUCAGCCGGGAUAUGUGACUGUAACUUUUCUUGGCUCUCAUUUUCAAAGGAUGAAAGAAACCAAGAAAGAGUACUGCGUCGCAAUUCGAUUCCUUCAUUGCAAAGUAAGUACUACAUGAUUGGUAUAUUGCCAUUCGUUACUAUGAUCAAGAAAAUAUACAAGAAUAGCAAAUAUCUCGUCUACUACUCGCAACUUGUAACAAGGGCUCUGAGAGUUUUGAAGUGUGUUUUUCGUUUGCGACUUUAAUUAAUUAGGGGUGCCAUUGUCCCCAACGCGACACUCAAUCAAAAAGUCCGAUGUUGUUGGGCCAUCAGGGCCAGAAAGAGUCUGGCAAGCUUCUUGGUUUUCUUUGGACAUAUGUAUCGCUACAUCUGGAAUUGGAUCUUCAACUCACCUAAAAUCUUGGUCUAAAAUUGGAAAUUCCAUUAACCGUCGGUUCCAUUUUCCAUUUUUUGUUAAAGGAAAUCUGUUGAUCUAUUAAGUUUUUAGUAUUUUACCAUGAUCAAAAUCUGCCCCCCCCCCCCUCCCCCAAAUUUUGAGAAAAAAAAAAAGGCCCAGAUCACCCGUCAGAUGUGAAACAGAAUAAAUCGAAGCGUCAGACUAAAAACAGAGAGGUUAAGAUGGACACUGGCAAGCCCAAUGCAAAAUUGGGCCUACGGUCCAUCGUUAGCGUAAGGGUGCUUUUAGAUUUACAGGCAUCUCGAGAAAGACGGAUUGAGGUUCUGCUUAUAUUGUGACAGAAGAUGAGGGGGAUAAAAAACUCUCAUUCCUUUAGCUUUCCUUUAUUAUCCCCUUAGCCAAUUGUUAUCCCUUUAGCAUCUGUUAUUCUCGACAAGGACCCGAAGAUCCCAUCAGUUGUGCUGCACUAACGAGACCGUCAAAAAAGGAUUACAUCUUUAUACACAUUCUAUUCCCUGUUCGCAACCAUACCUUUUUCCUUUUUCUUUUUUCUUUUUUUUCCUUUUUUGGGCUUUGGGGUGGGGGUGUGUCCUUUUCAAAUUCAACUUUUGAAUUCCAGAUGAUCGAUAGAUUAAGUACCAAGACAAUUAGACAGCACGUAAAUUUUUCCUAGUUCAUGUAACUUCAAGAAUAUAAUUUAGUAUGUUGCAUAUAUUGAGGUCUCAUUGAAUUAGAGAAGAAGAUAGUACUAGUCCGUUUACUUUCUUGUUCUGCCGGUUGACAAGAAACUUUCUUAAAAGGUACUGCCUGAUUUGCCAUUGUGUCCAUCAAUACUGAGUUGAUUGAUUGGGUAUGAGCCCAUUUUUUUGUUUUUUAAAACCAUUUUUUGGGGGUGCUUGUAUCAAUUUUGAAUGCCUAAACGACUACACAAAUUACUCAUAUUUUUGGGUUAAUGGCCACCAUCAACACAUUAAGGCUUCGUUUGGGAGUGGAGGAUUCGGACAGAAAAGAAAGGGAAAGAAGAGAAAGUUAGCUUUUCUUUCGUUUGUUAGUUUUUAGUAGGAAAGAAAAGAAGGGAAAUGGAAUGAUUUAAGAGGAUGAAUAGUAUGCAAAAUUUUUCCUUCCAAAUUGGAGAGAAAGUUGGAAGAAGCUUAUGAAAUUUUUUUAAAAUACCCAUUUUAUCCUUAAAAAUGUCUUGAACAAAUAUUUAAUGACUUUCAUAUCCAAAAUCAUUCCACUAAUUCUCAAAACUCCCAAACAACAUAACAAUCCCUUCUCUUCUCUUCUCUUCUCUCAUAACUUAAGUUUUCCCUUCUUUUCUUUUCUAUCCUAAACUCCCAAACUUAGCCUAAGGCUUGGUGGGGUGGAUGACAAAGGUUCCUCCUACCAAUUUGUCACAAUUAAAUGUGGCGUUGUUUAAAAAAUUUAGACGGAUGCAUGUGUGUGUGUAUAUUUAGGUAGGUAUGUGGCAUCUACAAUUUUACAGUGUUUGGCUGUCGGCGUUGUCGCUAGAGCAUCUUCUGUUCCGGUGGAAAAUUCAGUGAGGGUUAUCGGAAAACAAUUAUAUAUGUACCCUUCUCUUUUUCUUUUUUUUUUUUUUUAUUUCAAUUACAUCCCCCCUCUGGCUGGGAUACGAGAGAGAGAGAGAGAGAGAGAGAGGAGGGAAUUUGAUUUGUAACACGUGAAUCAUGAGGAAGUUAAGUUUCUAACUCUUUUCUGGACAACCAAAGUGCGAACAAGUUCAUAAUCAUCACGUGAACGCUAUACUAAAUUGAGCAUUUUAUAAACCUUGUUAAGGACUGCAUGCAUGAUUCCUGUCGUAUGAAUAUUACUGCUGUCUCUGUAUGCUAACAUAUUUGACAGAUCGAAUCCAUCACAAACCCCACAACCCAUGCCUACGUUACCUUAUAUAUAAUUAAAACAUCAUAACAAAGUAUAUAUGCUAGCUGUACCUUCCUUAAUUGUCGACGGGUAGCAAAAAAAACAACAACAAACAAAAAAUAUGUUACCUACGGAAUUCAAGAUAACGGCCGGGUUCAACUCUGAUCACAUAAAAGGGUUCCUGUAGAAGAAAACAAGUACUCCUACAUAGCUGCAUAGACAUAUAAUAUAUGCGUAUAUAUGGCAGAAAGGAUGAGAAAUGGAGGUGGGGUUAUAACUUAUAAGAUGGCGCUCUGAGGCGGGGUUUCCUGAAAGCAUCUUUCUUUCAUUAAGCAGUCACUAGCUGCCGGUAAACUUUGGACAGCCAUUUUUCGCCGAAAAAUUGCGUCAUUUUUUCGUGAUCACAUUUCCCAAUUGCCUUUUUUCUUCACAUACAUCAAAUCGCUACAGUGAUUUUUCUACAAAAAAUCCAAGAAAAUGCAAUCCAAACAAGGCCUUAACUAAACAACACCAAUGACCAAACCAGAAGCUGGGCUACUUGCCAAUCUGGCUAAACCAACAAAUACUUGCUUCAACGCAUUAAUUGUUGACAACGAUAAGCAUAUAAAAAUGCCCUUCCUUCAAGCCAUGUUCCUCGUAGAUCUUGUCAAAUGCAACCAUGCAAAUAGUAGAGUAAAAAAAAAAAAAAAAAAAGUCAAUAAAUAGUAACUAACAAAUAAAUAUUUUUUAUUAAUAAAAGUCAUGUGCAGAACAUAAAAAUUAGACUACAGUUCUUUUCUGAUUAAGUCAAUCGUGUACAAAUAAGAAUUGUAGCUGGUUGAAUUUCAUUUAAUUUGUCAUUUGUUUUAUAUUUGUAUAAUGUUUUUUCCUAAUGUUAAUUAAUAAAAUGGUUUGGCUCAUUAGGCAUUUGAACUGAGAGUUUGUUUAUUUUAGGAAUUUACAUAAAGACAAAUUAGCAUUUCCUUCAAGUAAUAUUUGAAACUUAUAAACAACAAUUUAAGAACUAAUAAUAAUAGUCUAUGAGGAAUUUUUGAAAAGUCUAGGGGAGAAGGGCCCCUCCCCCUCCGUGUGAAAGAAGUCAUCGUAAUUAAUUAGGCGUAUUCCAUAAAAAAGUUUUUGAGUUAGUGAAACUUUGAAACACAUUAAUUACGAUAUUGAGAGGUCAAGAUCAUUAGGAGCUUUUGAAAUUUAAAACGUGCUGUUAUGCACCUAGUCCUAAUCCCUCCCUGAGGAUACAGACCCACAUUAUUCAAAGUCCACUAAUUGAAAACAAAAUUUGCCAAAUUAAGGAAGUGAACGACCGUUAAGAGAAGAAUUGAGCGGUCUGGUCUGCUCAAGUCCGUAAUCCAUACAUGCAUAUGUUACAUAAAAGUCACUCGGCGGUAGUGAAUCAUCUCCAGCGACAUCACAUGGCCGGCCAACAACAACAACAACGAAAAUAGGCCUAUCAUCAAAUUUGCUUCCGAUUUUGGUUAGACAAAGAAAGCUUUUUCUUUUUUCUAUUUUUCCUCUUUUUUUGGCCCCUUCUUUUUAACACAUAACUUUUCAAUAAUAAUAAUAUAAGAAUGCGCCUUUAAAAACGUUUUUAACAUUACUUCACUUAAUUAGACGCGCAUGGAACCCAUCGGGAGCUGUCUCUCUUUGUGAUUUAGGUAGCGUGCAGUAGCUUUCCUGGAUGCAGAGAGAUCUUGAAUACUGGACCACCGUGCUUAGACGAGUGGCGAAAACUAUUAAUGGCGGCUUUGUACGGACCAUGUGAACAUGAAUACGCUUCCCUUCUGAACAUUAGGGAUCAAGCCACCAGCUCUUUGCCCCGGUGGUGGUGGUGGUGACUGCCAAGCACUCACUCAAAAGUUUAUUAAUCAACUGCUCUAAUGCAUCGAUCAAAUUGAUUUAAGCAGUACAUGGUUGAACAGUGCCCUCGAACAAAUUUAGAAGGACGAGAUUUUCAUCAUUCGAAGAGUUAAAAUUUUAACUUUUGAUUUUUAAUGUUGAAACGAUGCGAUCAAUGAAUGGCGGUUAAUAAUCAACUUGGGAGAAUUGUUCUAUAGUAGUAGUAUUUUAAAACUAACAGGUUUUCUGGAGUCUCGCAGAAAUGAAAUGGAGCCUAGGGAACCAACGAAAAUGUACAACAAGUCGCCAGCUUGAAAUAGUGAAAGUAACUAGUAAGUACCACUCAUACAUCCUUUGUAAGACGGAGAGGAAAUUGAAUUGGUGCGACCGCAACCACGUAUGUGCCUAGCGUCUCACUCAAUUACACAACCAAGGGGACCGCUUUCAAAGGGGUGUAAUAAAGUGCACUGCUCUUUUUGCAGGGACGGAUGAGGGGCACGUGGCCCUUUUCAGUUAUACUAGUACUAAAUUUCGUUAUUAUAAAUUUCAAAGCCACGCUUUCAAAUGUUGGUCUGUUUGGAUUGUGAAUUAUUAGAAAUAUUUUUACUGUAACACUUUUUGUGAUGUGAUGUAUGUGAGAUAAAAAGGUAAUUGGAAAGGUAAAAAGGUGUAUUGAAAAUUGUAAUAAUGAUGUAAGCAAAUAAAUUUGGGGAAAUAAAGCCUAAUCCAAACAAACCAGUUAUUAUUACCAUCAUCUUUUAAAGGAUAUAAAACUUGUUACCAUUCAUUCCCAGCUUCGUGGCUUCUCAAACCCUGCGUUUGGACUAUAAUUAUUUGAGUGGUCCAUUUCUUUUCUUUUUUUUUUUUUUUUUAAAUCCAACUUAAACAUUCUUUCAUUUGCCAAAGGACACAUCUCUUGCUUUUUGAUUAGCACUCGAGCCGUGAUAUUUGAGUUGGACUCUCUUUUUUUAAAAAAAAAAUCCGUGGAUCGAAGCUGCAUUUAGCACAAUUUCCUACUUUGAAUAAAUACAUCAAGGAAAAAAAAUGAUUUUUUGUCAAAUUGCCAUUUACCCCAUCCUGUUUCCAUAGCUGUGAAGAAUGAUAAUGCAGUGACAUUAUUAUAAUCGAGGCGAAAAGCUGUAAUCCCAGGCAGGCGAAGAGAAUCCAAGCAAGAUAUUAUUUUAUCAUUACUAUUUAGUGCCUCGUCGUCCUUUAAUCCUUUUCCCCGGGACAAUGUAUGUUUGGUCCGAUCAAUACUCAAAUCGUUAUCACGUCGCGCGACAACUCAUUUCCAAUCUAUGAUCCUCCCCCCCACCGGACGCCCCCCCCCUUUUUUUUUUGUUUGGCCCCCUAUCUCGCGUUUGCAGCCAGCCAUCAACAUCCCUCAAGAUAGCUGAAAAUUUUUUAUAAUCAACCAAACGAACCCUUAAGGCAAAACCAAACUAAUAGGAGCACUAGCAUCUCGAAGUUAAUAAUAUUAUUGUUUGGCUGCUGAUGAGAAAAAUUCACGAACUAAAGGAACCAAUCCACAAAAUUAGGUCCCGAUUAGGAUUUGAUGAUUGGCAGUGGCUAAAGGAACAAUAAUUAGUACUCUGUGCGUGAUAACGAUAGGUGUUCCCAGCCCAGCUGUAUAAAUCUCAAGAAUAUCCCCCCACAAUGUUUUGAGUUAAAAUGGGGAACAGACCCAUGUUUAGGUUGUUGUUGGACCUUAAAACAGUUGGGAACUCGGACACAAGUUGUGCGAAGGAGCCCCCCACCACCUCAAGAAAACAAUAACAUUCCUGACUGACUUCACUCCUCACCAAAACCCAAACAACCCACAGAACAGAAGUUGACAGACAAGACACUACACUUCCGUCGUCUGCCUAAUCCUAGCCCCUAGCAUAAUAAUUAGUAGAAGAAGAAUUGCUUCCCUUAAAAGGAAAGAAACAAGUGUCCUAAAAGAAAUGCUAAACAAAGGCUUGAUUGUCUUUGUUAGCAACAACAUAAUCUCUUCUACAACCAAUGGAAUGGAUAGAGUGUGAUUUCUAAUUAAAUAUUAAACAAAAGGGCUUUAAACAAAUACUAGUCAAAACCACAUCAUGCAUAAUCUUUACUUUAAGCAACCCCUUGAAUUAGUGGCCUAGUACUACUUAAUUAAAUUAAGUUUAAGGUUCAUAAAAAGAGAUUGUCGGAAUUAACAAACAUUAAAAGAGAUUCUCUCCACCAUGUCUAGAAUUGUUGCAACUGGGAACCGCUAAUUAUUUGAUUAACCCCAUUUAAUUAAUUAAACCCCCCCUUCCCAAUCAUUGUCCACCACAAAAGUUAUUAAUAUACUACUAAUACUACUAGCGCUGAGGAUAAGAGACUCUCUUUUUACUUUUUUUUUAAAAGUUUUCUCUUUUCAUUCCGGAUCGGUAUUAUGCAUUAAAUCGGAAAAGAAAAAGUAAUCGGGGUGACUGAUGACGAUAAUAGUUUUCUAAGGGCGCCCGUAAUGCUACUGCCGCUCCAAAUCAAACAGCAGCUAAUUCAGACUAGACCGCUUGCUGGUUUCUUUGCUACUGAAAAUCGGACAAGAGUCAUUAAAACACUUGUUGUUUUCUCUCUCGAAUCUCCACCCCUUGGCAGUCGGUUCAGAGGAUAGCUGGAUAGGGAAUCAAAUCUCAUCUUAGAGCAUGCAAAGAAGAUUAAAAGGAAGAAGUAGUGGUGGAUCACUUUUUAACCAUCACCUCCCCCACAGAACCACCAUAAUCAAGAGUGGUGUCCACUGAACUCAAGGCAGCAGCAGAAUCCCCAGAACGAGCAAAACUUAAAAAACAAACCAAGAAAAGGUGGGAAAAUGCAAGGAUUUUAAGCAAAUCAAUGUGUCAAAACGAAAAAUAAAAAAUUUAAAUUCCCAAUUGAACAAUAGCCCUCCAUUUUUAUCUUUUACUAAAUCUUUUUCACGGAUCGCUAGUCGUUCGUUAGCUAAGAACAACAUUCUCAAAAUAGGGGGAAGAAAGGAACAAAAGAAAAUCUAAUAAAGCAGUAACUAACAGUAGCAGUCUCAGCUUAGUGUCUCCACUCUCUUUUUCUUUCUGAUAGCUAUCACCUACUAAAACUUAUUAUUCAUCCUUCAUCCAUCCAUCCAUUCCAAAAGAUCAAGAAGAAGAGGAUGACCCGUUAGUGGCCACAACAUGAGCACUAACACUAUCACUAUGGUGCAUUAACUCGUGGUUAUGACUCCCGUUUUUGUUGUCAUUGUUGUUUUCAUGAUUUUGGUGGUGGUAGUGGAUAGUGAAUUCCAUACCGUUGCCGUUGUCUGUCGUUGCUGCUGCUCCUGCGGCCGCGGAGUUGGCCCCGCCGGAGGAAAUGUUAGCUUGAUCUCUCUUUCCAAAAGUGUUUUUGUUGUUAUGCAUCCAAACUUUGAGCACCCCUUUAUCCACCCCAAUUUCGUUGCAGAAUUCCGCGAUCAAAUCUUCGUCUCUCUUCUGAAUUUUCCAUCCAACUUUCUCAGCGAAAUCCAGCAUUUUUUCCUUCUGAUCCGGAGUGAAUUUUGUCCGGUACCUCUUCCUCCCAUUCGAGUUUCCAGCCGUGACAGCGGCGCCCGCGUUGGCCGUGGGGGUUAUGGGGAUGUUGCUGUCCUGGGGCGGGCCCGACAAGCCUGCACUGAGGGCGAGAAGCAUGUGGGGAGCCGAGGGGUAAUAUGACGAGGAGAUCGGCGGAGGAGACGGAGAACUGGGGCUGCUGUGUCCACCGCUGCUACGUUGAGCUGGUGGGAGCGGAGGUGGAGGAUGGUGGCGGUGGUGGGGCUGGUACUCGAGAGCUGCGGUGGUGUUAGGAGGUGGGAGCGGCUCUUCAGGCUCCCGGCGGUGGAAGUUGCGGUGGCAGCCGCAGGCAGCGCAUUUGAGGGAGGUGGGGUCAGUGGGAGUGGCAGUAGGGGAAGGCAUGAACUCGCCGCAACCGUCGACGGCGUGGCCUCCCAAGCUGGCGGCGUGGUUCUUGAGGCAUUCCUUGUAAGUAACCAGAAGG
This 107546-nucleotide long non-coding RNA is filed under the name Coffea arabica (coffee). RNAcentral's name for it is "long non-coding RNA (CARA_LNC004834)". The stretch from base 62293 to 62373 matches the Rfam family "tRNA". Lineage: Eukaryota; Viridiplantae; Streptophyta; Magnoliopsida; Gentianales; Rubiaceae. The record is from RNAcentral.